CUAAGAUGACAAGGAUGAAAUGAGCCUUUCCUAACCACUGGAUCAUCUAUAUUGUUUGUAAUAAAGGUUCACAAAUAUAUAUACAUUUAGAUAUCCAUGGCAAAAACAAAAUGUUAAAAUAAAAUUUUGAUAAAUUAAUUAAUUUUAAUUAAUUUCUAAUUGAUUGUUAAAACAUAGAAAUUAUCAUGAUAAUUUUCUUAACAAGUAUUUAUGUAUAUCUUUUAUGUAUUAAUUAAAUAUAAGAGAAAUCUAAAUAUUCUAAAAUAAAUCAUAUAUGUAUCGUUAUUUCUUUUAUAUCCUUGAAUACAUUUAAAUUAAAUAGAUCAUUAUUUUAGCAUUAAAUAUGUUUUCAAUUUCGAUAUGUUAUUAUCAAAUAUUAAAAACUUUAUUGUACAAAUAUUACUUUCUUCACUAAAACAACUUUAAUGUGCAUAUUAUUACUUAUUUUAUCAUUUCUUAAAAACACUUUUAACAUUUUUAUGGGUUUUGAUCAAUUUCCAUCGCACCAGAAGUUUUUGUGAAAAUUUCCUUAGAUAUUUCUUGAUAUAUUUCGAUAUAUCCAUAAAAUCCACCUAUUGAUAUUUCCAUAAAAACUGAUAUUUUUAUCCUUCACUAUGUCUAUAGAGAAGAUUGUUAUAGAGAAAAUUGUGAAGGGCAUAUAUUUGCUCCUAUUGAUGAUAGGUUUAAUAUGCAGUUCUUUGUUUUGAAAAUUGAUUGCUUUUAUAAUGGCAGUAGUUCUGCUAAUAUUUUUUUUCCUUCUUAACAUGUGACUCUGUAUAAAAUUAUCCUUAAUAUACAAAACUUUCUUAUAUGUUUAGAGGCUUGUUGAACAUGAAUUCUACAAACAAGAUAGUUCUAUGUACUUUCUAUUGUUGACAUCCAAUUUCAUACUAGCAAUGGACCUAUGACGAUAAGCACUUUGACUAUCGUGAUAUGCAUAAUUAAAUGAUAUGCAGAACUUGUUUCAUUAUUAUCUCCACCCUUGUGGUUGUGUCAUCGAUUAUUGAUGCUGCAAGGAGGUAAUUACCACCGACCUAUUGCUGGAAAUAUUCCUCACUACCCUGUCAAGGGCCAACACCACUCCUACUGCUCUGACAAUGCAGAGAGGACACCUACUAUCUAGUACCCAUAUUAGGAUAGAAGCCUUUACAUCAUGAGGUCAAUGGGGGAGCUAUCUUGAGUACCCUCACAUGCUAAGGUGGGCCACUUCCCUUUGUCCCCUGGUUGGCUUUCAACCCUUUGCACUCUAUCAAGACGAUAUGUCAUGCCCCAAAACCCACUCCAAGGGCAUGACAGUCAUUUCACACCUCAAACUCGAAGGUUCAAAGUCAAAACGACACAAGUUUUCAUCUUGUAAAUAGAAAUUACCAAUUACCAAAUUGUUGUUCAAAGUAGUAAAAUAAAUAAAUUCUAAAAUCUCCAGAUAUCAAUUUAUAAAAACCAACACAUCAACUCAAGUGUUAUUGUCCAAAUAACUUCAAACUCAAAUAAUUCAAAUUGAAAAUAAAUUUUAACAUUUAAAUAAUGUUCAAAAUAAAAAGAGUUUUAACAAAUGUCCUAACAAGCCAAUUUCUCCUCCAAUUUCUCCUCCUAACCGUCACUCCUCGCCUGAAUUGAGGGUACCUGGAAAAUUAUCAACAAAGGGGGAUGAGCUCAAAGCCCAAUAAGGAACAUUAACAUAGUUUCAUAGAUCAAUUAUUUUCAAUUAUACUUAUAAACAGGAGAUAUAACAUAUAUUGUUUUGAAUGAUCUAUUUUCAGUUAUACAAAUAAUGAUCUAUUUGAUUGUUUUGAAUGAGUUCAAACCAGACAUGAUCCUUUUAUCUAUCUUCUCAUGCAUGUAUUGCUAUCCUUUGGAAUUGUCAAUUCCAUGCUGUCUGUUGUGAUAAAAUCUUAGGUCCAAGGUUUAGCCAAGAAGGAGAUGGGAUAGGGAAAUACUAAAGAGGAGAGAACAUGGAACUUUUAUUUUUUUAUUUUUUUGGCUGGUGAUGCGUGUGAUAUGUGAUGGUAUGAUAAAGUCUUGUCCAGGAAAUUUUUUUUUUUUUGACAAAUUCUUUAUAUUUUAACCUUUCUUAUACUACACAUACUUUAUCGGUGUGUAUUUCAGACUUUGCAUGGACAUAAAGCAGGAGAAAAAUUUUCAGGUCACUAAAGCGUAUGGAUUCAUAGUCAGGGGAGAGCUAGAAAUUUAAUUUAGAGGCACCCUUUUGAGAAUAUACGAAUAGAAAAAUGAAAGAAUUAAUUAUAAUACAAAAGGUUGAUUAUGCUUAUAUUCAAUAAUUUAUCAUUAAUGGGAUUUAAUGAUUUAUCUAUUUAUCUUCAUUCAGGUAUCUAAUUAAUUUUAAAUAUAUGUUUUUUUUUUUAAAUCUUAUAUAAAAAAUUUAAAGAAUAUAAAUUAUUUCUUUUAUUAAAAAAGAGAUAAAUAGCAUCCACAUUAAGUUAAUAUAGAAUUGCUUUGGAAACUAUUCUUAUUUUUUAAUUUUUUUUUUCCUUUUUUGUAAUCUUUUUUCAAAUAUUGGAAUAGAAAGCAUUAAUGUGAGAUUCAUCUAAGUAUUAUAAUUACUUAUAUUAAUCAAAUAGCAUAUGUCCCAGCUUAGUGGUAGAGCAUUUUAUAUGGAUACACAAUAAAACCCUAGUUUGUAUCAAAUUUUUUCAGCUUGUCCUAGCUUAGUGCAUUUUUGCUUCCAGGUGGUGUAGGAAAGGAUGAAAAACUUCUGCCAUUUAUUGGGCUAGUACUAGAUGAAUUGAAGGUUCCUGUGCAAAUUGACUAGUAAUAUGUUUAAAUGCUUUAGAAUUGUGUGAAGAAGUAUUAUAGGUAUUUGUAAUCACUACAAUCCAGUUUAUAUGACCAUUGGACCUUUUAUGGAUUAAGUUCUGCUGACUCAAGCACGUUAAACUUUAAUAUUAGUUUUCCUUCUAAAUUCCACACCAUCUAUAUGAGUCACUUGUGCAUGGACCUAGUAAGCUCUGCUACUAUUUAUUACUCAUUUUGGUGUUAUUAUUUUCUUUUCCUUUCAGUAGCCUUCUGGGCUGUCUUAGGGCUGAUGACCUCCUGUUUAUUCUAGUAUUUUGGAGUUCUUGUAUGUCAGUAGCUACAACUUCUCAAUAUCACUAUUGGAUUUAUUGUUUUUAUCAAUUCCUUCCUUCCAAACAGAAUGAUUCCUUCCUUCAUGCCCUAUUCUUUGUGCCUGCAAGUUAAGCAAAUUGCUAUGCUGUUGCUCCUAAAGGCCCUUGAUCGGUAACAAAGCAUGAUAUAGAACUACCCGUGAAACUUGGUCCAAAUUAUGACUGAAAAGAAAAUGUGUAGGAAGAGUAAGAAGAAACUGAUUUUUUUUCCCUUUCGCCGCCACCCCACUCCCCUCCCCCCCACCCCCCCUCUUUUUUUCCUUUUUUUUUAUAAAGAUAGCCAAGAGUAAGAUGAAACUGAUAUUGAAACACAAUAUUCUUUCAAUCAAUUAAAUAACAAAAUCUAUAAGCACAUUUAUUUUGUAGGAUCUCAGUGAAUGAGUUCAGGUUUUAAUCCUACUGAUCACAAUGCUAAGUUGCAAGGUUUUUUUCUUUUUCUUUUUUAAUAUUCUGUUGCAUUAAUAUAUUAAGCACAAGGAAGGAUGAGAAAUUCUUCAUUACACAAUCCUCUAUACAAAGUUUGAUCAAGAAGGUGGAUUUGUGUAUACCGGUUCAAUAAGUCAAAUCUAGCUAUAAUUCAUGAGGUAUAAAAUCUCCUACAAAAGAAAGCAUAUGUCUAGCUCCAUGUUUUGCUAACUUAUUUGCAGCAUGAUUGCCUAAGCGAGGAACCUGAGGGGUACAUCUUAACUCUGAAGAAAUAUCAAUAAUUUGGCAUAACCACCCACGAAACUUCCAGAAUCCUCUUCUUUACCAUAUUAUGACAAUAGUAGAAUCGCCUUUUGAAAGGGCUAGAAUUUUUGCCUUAAUGGCUAAAUCUCGACCUGCAUGUUUAGAGGUACUCUUAACACUCUGCGAAAGUGAUCCCUAAGUAACCUUUUUGUUCCUAACUACCUUGGGUUGCCCAAAGAACAUCUAUCAAAAUGAAACGGAGCAAAACCCAUUGAAGAUGGUAGUCAUUCAAAAAGUGUCUCCUUGGUCAACCUCGUGGUUCUGCAAACUAGGUUCCAAUCUAGUAGAAUAAAGCUUAAAAAUCCUUCAUUGGUGGAAGCCAACAAGGAAGAAGACAAGUAAAAUAAGUUCUUAAUUGUUUCUUGAGACCUCUACCUAUCCUUAAAAAUUCUUGCACUCCUUUCCUGCCAAGUAGUCCAAAUCAAAGUGAGGUUAGCAACGCGCCAAAGAUUCCUGCCUCGAGGAAGUCCUCCAAAACCUCUGAAGAACAUAAUCAGCAUUGCCUCCUCCUGUCCAGGUGGUGCCCAAUCAAUUCCUACAAGUCGAAACAUUCUACAUCAUGAUGUCAAUGCUACGGGGCAAUGUAAUAGAAAAAUGAUCUAGAGACUCCCUGCUCAUACACACCAUUCCAAGCUAAGUGCUUUGUAUGGUCUUCUUUUUGCCACAAGUCAUGCAAAGUGAAGACUUUUGGUGAGACUUUGAAUUUCCAAUUGAAAGUUGCAGGAAUAAAGGAGACUACAUUGAUAAAAAUAGAGAUAACCUUAAAGAGCGAACUAACUGAGAACUAUCCUAAAGAUGUCAAAGACCAAACUUUCCAAUUAAGAAAAGUGGGUGACAAAUAGACAUGGGCAAAAGAAAACAUUAGAUGAGCUAGUUCCUCAAUUUCCUGCAAAUUUCUUGUUUUCCACUACUUUUAGCCAAGGAUAUUUUGACCAGAUGGAUUUCUAGGUUAUCCACUAAAUAGAACCUACAAAUUUAAUCCUAGUGCUUCUUAUGAGAAUUAUGUUAUAGGGAAGUUCCUGUAAAGUAUUUUGGUUGCACUUUUUACUGCAAAGUAGAAUCCUUGAAAAGAAAUUCUCAUUAGCCGAAGUUCAGUUGUCCAAGCCUGUCAUGUUUGUUGUAAGCCUGAGCUAUCAUUUCAAUGUUUCAAUUGAUUACAAUAUAAAAAUUUCCUGGAAAGCUUUACUAGUCCAAUAGUCUUUUCAUGUUUAAUGGUGUAACCUCACUUAUCUCAGGAAUGUUCAUUUUUAAGAUAAUUUAUUGCUAUGUGUAUUUGAGUUCAUAAUAAUGGAUAUGCACCCAAUGCAUGGUAAGUGAUAACCAGUUGCAUCCAUGGAUAAAUAUUAGUGCAUCUGUAGUAAUGAUGACAAUCAAGAACCUAGUUGUGGGGUUGUCUCUAUGAUGAGGAUAUAUCUCCAAAAUAUACAUCAAGAAAAGGAAUUAGUGUCAGUUGCAAUAAAAGUAGGAUUAAUAUUACUUGGACUUAAAUUAGGAUUAGCAUUUGUUGGAGUUAAAUUAGGAGUAGCUAAUUAGGUUAUUGGAGAAUUAGAAUUAAAGUCAUAAUGGGUUAUUAGAAUCCUAGUAGACUUAGAUUUCUUAGGAAGCUAGGCUCAUAUUGGCCUAAUCAUAAAAAUUUUUACUUGACCAAACUGAAUAAGUUGGUUCUCCAUUGAAUCAUACACAACUUGUUUAAAGGAUCAGAGUCUCAUCAUCUGUACAUUUUCUUAGAAUCUAUACCACUUAAUCUAAUAUAAAUACUGAAAAAUAUUUAUUCUAGGUAUUUUUUAUUUCUUUGUGUGCUAGAAUAUAACUAUGUUCUUGUUUAUAAAUGUCUGUGUAGGUUGCAUCAGAGAAAGGACUUUUCUCUAUUGUCAUAAACCUGCAAGUAAGUUGCUUCUCUCCAUAACAUUUUAGUUUUUAACUAGGUGCUUCUGCAUGCUGGAAGAGGAGUAAAAGUUGUAAUCUUACAGGUACCCGGUUCAACACACUACAGUAUGAUAUUUUAUUUUGUAACUAAGGAAUUGCUAACUGGAUCCCUGUUGCAACGAUUUGUUGAUGGUUAUGAUGAGUUCCGAAAUAGCAGGCUGAAGCUCAUCCCAUCAGUUCCCAAGGUACUUUCUACAUUUUCCAGUUUUUGAAGGAUGCUCAAAUAGAAUGUCAGGACUGUUGCAGGCAGUCCUCACUCCUGCUUGCGGUGCUUAAUAAUUCGUGUCACAGAAGUCUGUCUAUUACCUGUGAAGCGAUCACCCCUGUUGUGUCCACCUGUAUGGCUCAAUAAUUUAUAUUUGGAUGAUCAUGCUGAUUACUUCUUAGCAGAUCUUUUAUGCCUCAGAAGUAUAGGAUUAAGAUAAGAUGCCACACAUGUGCAUUUGCACUUCUUUCAUAAUGUGGUUUGGGUGGAUAAUAAAUUGGUUAGCAAGCAUGUAAAGUCAUGAUUGAAGUUGCAGUGGUAAUCAGGUUUUAUCAUAUUAAUUUACUUCUUUAUUAUUACUAUUAUUUUUGUUCAACUGGAUCCAUGCAUACUUCAAUAGAUUAAAUGCUUAAUUGCUUCUACAAAUUGCUUCCAUAAAUUAUUCAAAUAACUAAACACAGGUUGUUAAGUCUAAUUUACUCUCUCCUUGUGGACCCAUGCAUAUGUGCCAUAUGUUCUGAUUUGAUACAUUGGAUUCUCAUUGAACUGCCCCAAGUGUCCUACAUUACAUCACCAUAUCCAAAUUUUGUAUUAGCAUGUGACAAUUUGCUUCAUGUGCUAAGAUGCAACGAGUGCUGAUCCAUUGGUUAGAUGCUAUUAUUGAUUACUUGAAAUUGGUUCAAGGAUCUUGAUUUGGUUAUAGAGUUGGACGCUCCUCGAGAGUUAUGGACUAUGCAUAAAUUAUACCCAUUCCAACUAAAUUGAGAGAGGGAGCAUCGCGUCCAAGGGGCAUGUCACCAUUUAUGUUUGAUGCACUAUAUGAGAGGUUGACCUGUUUCUGUGACAAACCUAGCUGUGGCCCUUGAUUCAAUAUACCCAGGAGAUCUUUGAUUGGUUGUGCAUGUUCUUGUGGUUAGCAUGGGCCUCCCAAGUCAAUAACUAUCAAAGACCUCUCAUUGGUUAAGUCUAUGAAUAUGGGCUCUUAAAUAAGGUGUAGACUACAUGAUAUACAUCAUGUGCUCAAAUCUUUCAAGUUUAAACUUUUAGGAUAAUUGGUUCACCAACAUUGUAUCAGAGCCUCAUUUGGUGGGAGGUCAUGUCUUCGAACCUCAUGACAUAUUUAUUUCCUUGAUUUAUUAAGCCCAAAUGAGGCUACUUUAUUUCCCUAGUUUAUUAAGCUCACAUGUAAGCCCGAAGUGUAAGCCUAAUGGAGGCCCCACUUAAAGGAGGGUGUUAAGAGUGCAUGAUAUACAUUGUGGGCCUAUUACAAACUUAUGCUUUUAGGAUAAUUGGUUGUUCAACAUAAAGGAUUGUAGAGGGCUCAUUGAAGAAGGAUUUUUGUCUAUCUAAAGAGUGCUCUUCAGCCAUCUUGAGUCCUUGAGAUUUCCUGUACAAGCUUAAGCCGUCCUUGGGGCACUAUCAUCUUUCUCCAUCUGCUCUCUUUUUAGCCCUUUUUGCUCUCCUCUCAAACGUUUUAUAACUCACCAUUCCCAUGGUUACUUCAGACCUAUCAUAAUAAUGCAAUAUAUUUAUUUUAGUUAAACUGACUUUGCUUCCUCAAGCAUUUCUUGGUUGUGCUUGGGUGGGUUAGUAAAUAUUUGAACACAGCCCAAAUUCAUCAUCCGGACCUUAAACAUUCCCAAGUUUCAAUACAAACUAUUAAGUCAUUGAACUGAACCUGUCCUAUCUAUGGAUUUUCAUGUUGACUAAACAUAGUUCACAGCCUUAGGAUACAUUAGUGGCUGGUAUCCAAUGGGUUUCUUGAUGGCCCUUAAAAACAGGCCAUCUCAUUUUCAUGAAACCUUAUAUUGAUGUGGGCAGUUUUUUCUCUUCAUCCUCGCUAGAAUAUUAUUCCAUUUCUGUUUUCUGCUUCUUUGUGCUCUUUGACAUCUCUAUAUUCUGGGCUUGUUCUUUCAAUACUGUUUCAUUCAGGCUCCAUGGAUGGUGCGCCGGAUUGUUGGAAGCACCCCUCAUUUCCUAGGAAAAGUAGUUGAUUGCAAUUAUAUCCGUGGUCCAAAGUACUUGGAGGUAAAGGCCCUUCUAAAUUCUAUAGUAUAUGAUUUUACCUUCAGAAAAAUUCUGAAAUUCAUUCAGGAAUACUGUAGUUUAACAUCACUCAAUUUUCUGUAGAUUGAUGUUGAUUUUGGUUCUUCAACUGUUGUUGAUGGAGCUUUGGCCUUUGUAAAUGGUGCAAUUCCUAACUUGGUUGUUGACAUGGCUUUCCUUGUACAGGUAUGUUCUCUUUAUUAAUCCUGACCAUCUUAACUGAGUGUUGAUCAGGACUUCCUACCUAAGUUGUUGAUUAUAUUCAAUGACAUAAGCAAGGAUUCACUUACAGGAGAGCUAAUCAUGUACUGACUUUCUAAUUAGAGAUGACAAAGUCUAAACCUGCCAAGUUGUUGCACAAGCCCUGGAACCUGCUUAUAUUAUUUUAAACCAAUAACUAUACAUAUUUUAUCUGAUUCAAGAAACUUUUUAAUUUGGAUAACUUACAGGAAUGUCAGUUUUUUUAUAGUACUAAAAUCAUCACCAUGUACCAACUUGGUGAGUUACAGAGAAACUUUUAUGGGAAGGGAUGGGGAGGCAAGAAAGACCCACUUGGUUAAAUAUGAGGUGGUCUGUUUGUUGAAAGUGGAGGGAUGAGCAGAACAUUGUUAGGAAAUAGCUUUGAAGAUUUGCGGAAGAAAAGGUUAGUGGAUGAAAUUAGUGUUAAGGAAAUUCAAGGGAAGGAGUUUUGGUGUUCACGAGAGGUAGGAGAUUUGUUGGGAUAGGGUUGUGGAAGGUGUGAGAAAGGGGUUUGUGUUGUUUUGCUCAGUUGUUGUUAUGGCAUGAUGAUGCUUCAGGGAAGACACUGUUGAAAGAGUGAUCUCCUAAUCUGUUCAGAGUUACAGUUAAGUAGAGAAGUGGAAAAAUACUGGAUUGUUAGGUUGGAGAGAAGAGUGGGAGAAACUGCAGUCCAAGCUUUAUCAGGGUUCUUCCCAACUGGGAAAUAUUGAAGUGAUCUGUAGUAUGGUGGGGUGGAAAACUGGGGCUGAGGUGAUGCAAUUGAGUGGAAUCUUACUGCAGAUAAAAGUAGAAUAUCUGCUGAAUCACUUUUAUCAAAGGUAAGGAUGAAUUGGGGUACGGUUGAUGCAAUUGAGUGGAACCUGACUUCAAAUAAAAUAAUUUUUUGGUAAAUCACUUUUUGUGGUGAUAGGGAAUAGGCAAUGUUGACUAUCCAGGAGAUUUGGGGUUUUUUGGCACAUGCGACAGUGGCACUCUUCAUGAGUACAGCAGUUUGGAAAAUGAUGUUUACCAUGCCCGCUGGUGAGCAGGGGAAGAAUCAUUGCUAAUCAGUGUUGUAUGUUAAGAAGGAUGGCGAGUGUAUUCAUCUCUUUCUCUGGCACAGAGGCUUGAGACUUAUGAUCUGCAAUCUUGAUCCUUUUUGGAAGUUUCAGGUGCCCCCCACAACUUAUGAGCAAGGAGCAGUCCAAUCGACAUUAUGAGUUUGUAGUGAGGAUAGGAGGAAAGGUGGAAGACUUCACAUUAUAGUUGGUUUAGUGCUUAUGGAAAGAGCAUUGUGAAAGGACUUGUAAAGGCAUUGAAACUCUAGUCUAGAAGUUGUUGGAGAUUAUCCUUGGAUGUUUAUUUCUUGGAGAAAAUACUUUUGAUUUCCUUAGCUUUUUACUUGAAUAAGGUGGAAGAAACCCUUUGGUGCUUUAAUGUAGCUUGUGCUGCACAUAUAUUUCUGGUUAGACACAAUCUUGAAACCCACUCGACUUCUUUCCAGCACUACAUCUAAUAAUCUCCUUUUAAAAACCUAUAACCCUCUCAAGCUUUGUGAUGCCCUGGAGCAUUUGCUAAUUGCUACCAGCCAUAGAGAAGACCCCCAAGGAAAAUACUCAAAAGUUUGGGCCGCCAGGAGAUUCUAUUCUAUCCCAAAAAAAUUGCAGAAGGCAAGCACACUGGUCCUCUCUUUGGUGGAUUAUGGAUUCUUCCAAUACUUUCAAACAACACUACGCAUAAAACCGGCACCUAACCCCCCCACCCCCCAACAAAAUUCUUACGCCUUCUAAUUUUUCAACCCAUUCACUUUUCUUAUAGAUUCUUUGAUAAGUAAAGAUUGGGCUUUGGUUGGAUAUAUUAUUUGUUUUUUGUUUUUCAAAUUAGAAACUUCUAUAUAAAAAGUAAAAACUCUUGUACAAAAAUAAUUGUGAAGAGAGAGAAAAAGGGAGAAUCCCUAAUUAUUGUUAUUAAAAAACUGUAAAGAAUACACAUUGGACUUGGGUAUAUAUAUACAUGUUAGUGGGAUCCACAAUACAAUAAGGAAAGACUAUACACUAUCUAACACUCCCCCUCAAGCUAGAGCAUAUAUGUUAUAUGCACCAAGCUUGUUACAAAUGUAUUUAAUUCUAGGACCUCUGAGAGAUUUAGUAAAAAUAUUUGCUAGUUGAUCAUUUGAAUUGACAAAACUAGUCGCCACACAUCCUGAUGCGAUCUUCUCUCUAAUGAAGUGACAGUCAACUUCAAUGUGUUUGGUCCUUUCAUGGAAGACUGGAUUGGAUGCAAUAUGCAAAUUGGCUUGGUUGUCACAGAUGAGUUUCAUCUAUUCAUCCUUUCCAAAUCUCAACUCCCGAAGAAGAUGUUUCAGCCAUAUGAGUUCACAUGUUGCCAGAGCCAUAGCUCGAUACUCGGCUUCAGCACUAGAUCUGGCCACUACAUCUUGUUUCUUACUCUUCCAAGAUAUUAGGUUACCUCCAAUAAAAACACAAUACCCGGAAGUGGAACGUCUAUCUGUGGGUGAGCCAGCCCAACAACUUGGGUAUGACCUCUGUUCUCGUACAACACACUUGGCCUGGUGUGCUUUUGAUAUAUUGAAGAAUGCGGAUUACAACAUCCCAAUGGCUAUCACAUGGUGACUAUAGGAAUUGACUAACCACACUUACAGGAAAAGAAAUGUCUGGACGAGUAAUGGUGAGAUAGUUCAGUUUACCUACAAGUCGCCGAUAUCUCCCAAGAUCUCCUAAAGGCUCCCCCUAUCCUGGUAUAAGUUUGACAUUUGGAUCCAUAGGAGUGUCUACCGGUUUACAGUUUAACAUACCGGUUUCUUCCAAGAUGUCUAAAGCAUACUUCCUUUGGGAAAGAACCACACCGGAACUGGAUUGAGCUAUCUCAAUCCCUAAGAAAUACUUGAGUUUCCCCAAGUCUUUAGUCUGAAAGUGGGUGAAAAGGUGUUGCUUUAGUUUCUGAAUACCAUUCUGAUCACUGCCUGUAAUGACGAUGUCGUCCACAUAAACUACCAGAUAAAUACACUGCCCCGAAGAGUUAUGAUGAUAGAAAACGAAAUGGUCUGCUGUACUGCGGAACAUGUCAAACUCUUGAACAACAGAACUAAAACAGCUAAACCAUGCUUAAGGAGAUUGUUUCAAGCCAUAUAGAGAAUGGCGUAACUUGCACACUAAACCAGACUCCCCUGAGCAACAAAACCAGGUGGUUGCUCCAUAUAAACUUCCUCAGCAAGAUCCCCAUGAAGGAAAACAUUUUUAAUAUCUAACUGAUAAAGAGGCCAAAAACGCAUAGCAGCCAUGGAGAGCAAUAGACGAACAGAAGCUAUCUUGGCAACAGGAGAGAAAGUGUCACCAUAAUCAGAACCAUAAACCUGAGUAUAGCCUUUAGCAACCAAGCGGGCCUUAAGGCGAUCAACCUGACCAUCAGGGCCAACCUUAACUGUGUAGACCCAACGACAACCAACUGUAGAUUUACCAGAGGGUAAAACAACAAGAUCCCAAGUGCCAUUGGAGUGUAAAGCAGCCAUUUCAUCUACCAUUGCCUGUCGCCAGCCUGGAUGGGAAAGAGCCUCAGGGGUGCUCUUGGGAAGAGAAACAGAAUAUAUAGCAGAAACAAAUGCAGAAUAGGAUGAAUAUAAUCGAUGGUAACUCAAAAAAUUGUAAAUGGGAUGAGGAUUACGAGUAGAUCAAUUACCUUUCCGAAGAGCAAUGGGUAAGUCAGCAGAAGGAGGCAGAGCCAGGGCAGGAGAAGCCGAAGGGAUAGGAAGUGAGUCAGCAGGUACCUCGGCCAAAGAAGGAGGAACAGCGACACGAUGACGGCGAUGAUAAACCUGAAGUGGGCGAGAAGGCACUGCAUCAGGUGGGGAGAUAAUGGGAAGGGGUAAGACUUCAGAAACAGGAAAAGACUCAGAAGUGGAGAAGAACGGUGAGUCCUCAAAAAAAGUGACAUCAACGGAGAGAAAGUAGCGAUGAGUCUCAGAGGAAUAACAACGAUAACCCUUUUGAAGUCUGGAAUAUCCAAAGAAGAUGCAUUUUGUGGCUCUGGCAGAAAGUUUGUCCUGUCCAGGAGUGAGAAUAUGAACAAAGCAAGUACAACAAAAAACACGAGGAGGAAGAAAAUAAAGUGGUUGGUCAGGGAAAAGAAGGGAAUGAGGAAUCUGAUCGUGUAAUACAGAUGAUGGCAUACGAUUAAUCAAAUAACAUGCUGUAAGAACAGCGUCCCCCCAAAAACGAAAAGGAACAUGACUAUGGAGAAGAAGAGUACAAGCUGUCUCAACAAGAUGUCGAUUCUUACGUUCAACUACCCCAUUUUGUUGAGGAGUAUGAGCACAAGAAGACUGAUGAAUGAUCCCAUGUUGGGACAUAAAUGAAGUAAAUGGUGUAGAAAAAUAUUCCCUGGCAUUGUCACUGCGCAACACACGAAUAUAAAUAUUGAACUGGGUUUGGAUUUCAGCAUAAAAUUUCUGAAAAAUAGAGAAUAAAUCAGCUCGAUUUUUCAUUAAAAAUAACCAAGUAUAUCGAGAAUAGUUAUCAAUGAAAGUGACAAAAUACUGAAAUCCUAAAGUAGACGCGAUCCGACAAGGACCCCAAACAUCAGUCUGGACAAGUUCAAAAGGAGACUUUGUCCGAUUAUUCAAACGCUUUGGGAACGAGACACGAGUAUGUUUCCCAAGCUGACAGGACUCACACGCAAGCAACGACAAAGAUGAAAAACUAAGGACCAUUUUCUGGAACUUGGAUAGACUAGGGUGACUCAGGCGACUGUGGAUGAGAAGGGGAGCAUCAGUGGAAAUGCAAACUGUAGGAGUUGAAGGCGCAGUGAGGUGAUAGAGGCCUUAAGAUUCACGUCCUAUGCCAAUCGUCUUCCCCGUACUCCGGUCCUGCAAGGUCACAAAUUUAUCAGAGAAAGUGAUAGAACAGUUAAGAGUGCGAGUUAUUUUGCUGAUGGAAAUAAGAUUAAAAGGACACUCAGGGGCAUAAAGGACAGAAUGAAGAGAUAAGGAAGGGAGAGGAUGAGCAAAACCAAAACCUUUAGCCCUAGUUUGGGAACCAUUAGUUAAAGUAACAUUAGGUAAGGCAGAGGUAGUAGUAAUAGAAGAGAAAAGAUCCUUAUUACCAGAUAUGUGAUCAGAAGCGCCAGAAUCUAGAAUCUAAGGUCCAAGAGAAGAUGUGUGGGUAAGACAAGUAGAAGCAUUACCAGUCUGGGCAACAGAAGCUGACUUGGUGGCCUGAUAGCGAAGAUAGUCAUCAUACUCACUGUCAGUGAGGGAAAUACCCUGAGAUGUGGAGGAACUGGGAGGCUGAGGCGACUGAGGAUCAGAUGACUGGGCCACGUGGGCAGUGCGGGGAGGCCGCCCAUGUAACUGAUAACAUCGAUCACGAGUGUGGUCAAGCUUAUUGCAAUAGGUGCAAUGAGGACGUUAGCCUCUACCUCGGUUACCACUGCGUCCUCCUCGAGAGCUAGUUUGAGAAACUAACACAGAAGAAUCUGAAGUCUUAUCAGAUGGCAAAGUUUGAGUGGAGGAGAUACAGAGGAGGCGAGCAAACACAUCAUCUAAGGAUGGAACGGAGGAACUGCCAAGAAUCUGAUAACGGACGGUCUGGAGAUCUGGACGGAGGCCAAUAAGCGUAAGAACCAUGAAGAAUUUGUCAAUUUGUGUUUGUUGAUCCCCAACAUCAGUAGUAAGAGGCAUCACGGUCAAGAAUUCCUUCUUAAGACAGGCAAUCUGGCCAAUAUAAGUAAAUAAAUCCAUGUCUUGUUGUCUGACAUUGACAAUAGAAGAAGCCACCUUAUAAAGACGUUGGAUAUCAUUCGUGUAUAGCCCUUUCGCCUGAUUCCAAAAUUUAAAGCGUGUUUUGUAGGCCCGAAGAUGAAGCAGAAUCUUAGGAUCAACUGAUUGCCAUAACACACUACAUAACUGUGCAUCUAUCUUCCUCCAUUGUACUCUGUCAACCUCAGGGAUAUCCGCCUCCUGUGUAACAAGGUGAUCCUCAUAACCUUGAUCCAUAAACCAAAGCUCCACAGAGGCAGACCAGGACAAAUAAUUUUCACUCCCAAUCAAUUUCUCCGAAGUAAUCAUAGGAGAUCCAAAUAUGACAGAGGAAAAAGUGAAACUUUUAGUAGCCAUAUCUACUUAUCUGGUGAACGAAAUACGUUUGGAUCGAAGAGAGCCCUAAUACGGCUUAUCGCGGACUUCCUAAGACACGUGCAGGGCUCGGGGUGGAGAGGAAGUCAUUGGAGGUCGUCGGAAAGGUGGUUUAGAGGGCCGGCGGAGACAAAAAAAACCCAAAAAAAUGCACUUUUAGGGCUCAGAUGACACAAGCGCAGAUGGAGGGUGGCUAGACGGCAUCAGGCGAGGCUGGAGGUGGAAGCGCGUGGCCGAAAAGUGCCCCACGCGCCGGCGCGUGAGAUUUAGGCCGCCGGAGAAGAGACGCUCGUGGACGGCACGUGGCUGGGAUUCUUCCUCCGGUGCUUUGAGAAAAGUUGAAGAUCUCCUCCUUGCGCACCUGAUGGUAUGGUCGGUGUCGGAAAAGGAUUUCGCUGGAAAAGGUCGCCGAAAAAGUCGCCGGCGGUGAGGGUUUUUUGAUGGCAACACGGUUGAUCAGAAGCUUUAGGAGAUGGGAAGGGUGACUGGAAUGAAACACGGUCACUGAAAGAUUUCCCAGAAUGGAUUCACGGAUAAACCGGAAAUAAUUAGGAUUUUUUUUUUUCCCUAGACUCUGAUACCAUGUGAAGAGAGAGAGAAAAGGGAGAAUCCCUAAUUAUUGUUAUUGAAAAACUGUAAAGAAUACACAUUGGACUUGGGUAUAUAUAUACAUGUUAGUGGGACCCACAAUACAAUAAGGAAAGACUAUACACUAUCUAACAAUAAUAGACUCAUCAUAUGUCCUUAAAAAUUACUUCAAAAACUUUUUAAAUUUGAGAUAGUAAAAAAAUUUUAAUUUUCUAUUCUGAGAAACAAAAAACAAAAAGUGUAUCCAAACCAACACUUAGUGAUUUAGUGAGCAAGUAUAAAGAUCAGUUGAUUUUUGUGUGUGGAUCAAGUCAGUUCUCUGAAGCAUAUUUCUUUUUUUUUAAGGGCUGGUUGUUUUGUUGUCACAUUCGUAUCACAUUUUCACUGCCAUGUCCAUCCAUGUCCAUGCUACGUAUCCCCCUGACAUGUUUAGUAUCACACUAGAACAUCAUUACAAUAUGCACCCUGCAUGUAAAUUUUUGUGACCAUAUAUCACAAAAUAUUUUCCAGUCACCAGUUUAAGGACUAUAAAAUAUGAAUAAAAGAUCAGCUUACCUUACAUUAAGAAGCCAUCUCUUUAUAAAUUCUCACUUUCCAGUAUCAGCUUUAAAGGCAAACAUUGUGUUGAAAUAGCAGGAACAAUGAUAAUAAGAUGAUUCUUUUGAGACUAUGGUUUCUUGAAGCUUUGUUCAUACCAGAGUUGUUAUGCUAAGGUUCAUCAUGUGCCCAAGAAGUCAGUCUCUUAUAUGAAAAUUUUUCUGAUGUUGUUGUCUUUGUUCUCAGGGAAACACUGAGGAUGAGUUGCCGGAGAGGUUGAUCGGCGCAGUCCGGGUUUCCCGUGUAGAUUUUUCAUCAGCUAUAGUCCCAAAAUUGGACCCAUAUACAUAUGCUUGAGUUGAAACAUUGAAUUUUAUACAAAAUCUUUUGUUUGUUUCAGGUAUGCAGACAUAUAUGUAUAUUAAUAUUGCUAGUUCGACUUUAUCAAAAGAUUUGUUAGAAAUAAACAAUGUUUUUAGAAUGGGAUUGAAUAUUGAAUUAGAAAAAUUAUCAGUUCGACGUUUAUUGAUUGAAAUAGUGGUUGAAUCAAAGUCAAAUCGGUAACAUUAUAAACAUAUAAUUUAUAUUUUAUUAAAUUAAAAAUAUAUAUUAUUACAAUUUGUAAUAAUAUUUUAUUUUUUAUAUUUGAUAUGUUAAAUUAAAUAAUAAAGAUAAAUAAAACGUAUUAAUAUAUUAAAUUUUAUUAAAUAAAAUAUAUAUAAUAUUUAAAUAUAAGAAUAUAUUUUAAAUGAAAAAAAAUUAUAAUAUUUAUUUUAAUUACAUAUCCAUGCAUUUUUUAUUUAAAAAUCAUUAUAUUAAUUAAUUUAUAUUAUUUUUAUAUUUAUCAUAAAUAAUUAUCAUAAAAACAUUCUAAGAUAAAAAUAUUUAUAUAUGUUUAAAUGUUUUAUAUGAUAAAAAUUAAUAUAUAUAGAUAUAUUUACCAUAUUAUUAAUGAAAUGGCUAUGUAACUUAUGUUUCUCUACCUGUUGUGUUAACCAGCGUAUCUUAGUAGCGGACAAAUGAGCAUGGGAGGCAGGAACAGGCAAAUGAGUUUAGAAAGAAGGAACUUGGACCAGAUGAAUGGGGAGCAACAAGUUUUUGGUCAACUGAUGGUUGACCAAUUUGUGUGAAACCAGAUGGUCUAACCGUUCGAUUAACCAAGUUUAAAUUCAGACUGGAUUGAUAGGAGAGCGGUGGAUGGUCGAGUGCAGUUCAUCAGAUCGAAUGGGAGAGGCGGGAGGACACUAGUGGACGAACGAUUGACUAUUGGUGACAAGGAAAUGAAAGAAAAAGUGACGAGAAUCAAGAUAAUUCUAUUUUUAAAUAAAAAAUAUUAUUUUGGUCCAAAACUCGGUCAAAGGCGUUUCGAAGGACAAAUAAAUGAACCGACUCCAAACUCCAAGGAGAUUGUCCUCGAUCCUAAACUUCUAGUCGACUCGGCAUUACACGACUCCCACCCUAUGCAUUAUGAAAUGUCGGGAGAAAAAAUUAUGCUACGCGGUGCAUUGUAACUUGUAAGAAAAGAAAGGAGAUGCCUCACCUCCUCUUUCUCACAUCACACCUACCAGUCAAAGUCCCUCCUACCAGUAAACCUCGCAUGCUUCUCCCCUAAGUCAUCCUCCUCCUUUCCCUCUAUAAAACCCACUACGUCUCAAUCUCAUUCCAAAAAUCCACCUAUCCAUCACUGCAACGAUGUCUGCCCAUAUCAUAGUGUUCCCUUUUUUUGGGCAAGGCCAUCUCCUCCCUUGCAUUGAGCUCUGCAGACACCUCGCCUCCCGCACCUUCAACACCACCCUCAUCAUCUCCUCCAAUCUCUCCUCCUCCAUCCCCUCCGAUCUCCGCCGUAUUCCUCUCUUCCACAUCUUUGAGAUCUCAUCCUCAUUACCUCCUCCUCCUCCGCCAUCGUCGCCCUCCCCGGAUUCCGAUCCCAUGAGCCACCACCAUCCCCACCACCAGCAGAUGGGUACGGCCAUCGAAUCCCUCCUCUCUUCCAGAUCCACAUCCCCAGACUACGUCCCACCCCUCUGUGCCAUAAUCGAUGUGAUGAUGAGCUGGAGCAAAGAUAUUUUUCAUAAGUUUAACAUCCCAGUCGUUUCUUUCUUCACCUCCGGUGCCUGCUCCGCUGCCAUGGAGUACGCCUCCUGGAAAGCCGGCGCCUUUAACAUCAAGCCCGGCGAAGUCCUACCCCUUCCCGGCCUACCCGAAGACAUGGCCUUGACUUACUCCGACCUUCAACGCGGCCCUCACGGUCCUCCUGGCGGCCCACCUGGACCCCCCGGUUCAGGAGGCCCACCUGGACCACCCGGUGCAAGAGGACCACCACGGUCGGGUCCCAAGUUCGGGGGGCCACCCAAACCGGGGCACCAGCCACCGUGGGUCGACGAGACAGCGGGCUCGAUCGCGCUUAUGAUCAACACGUGUGACGACCUGGAGCGUCCGUUCAUCGAGUACGUGGCCCACCAAACCGGAAUCCCGGUCUGGGGUGUGGGCCCGCUUUUGCCAGAUCAGUACUGGAAGUCAUCCGGUUCGCUCCUCCACGAUCGGGACAUCCGACCCAACAAGAAAUCCAGCUGCACUGAGGAGGAGGUGAUCCAGUGGCUAGACUCCAAGCCCCGUGGAUCCGUCCUGUACGUGUCAUUCGGAAGCGAGGUAGGUCCUACCAUGGAGGGCUACGCCCAACUGGCGCUUGCAUUAGAAGCCUCGAACCGGCCAUUCAUCUGGGUGAUCCAACCCGGUUCAGGCCGGCCAGGUCCACCUCGACGACCGGGUUCAGACUCAAACGAAGACAGCGGAUACUACCCAGAUGGAUUGGAGGAGAAAGUAGGAAAAAGAGGUCUGAUAAUACGUGGGUGGGCACCACAACUGUUGAUACUGAGUCACCCAUCGACAGGUGGAUUUCUAUCACACUGUGGAUGGAACUCCACUGUGGAGGCAAUAGGGCGUGGAGUGCCCUUUUUGGCUUGGCCAAUCCGUGGAGACCAGUACUCCGAUGCGAUGCUAGUGGUGAAACAUCUCAAAAUUGGGUACAUGGUGUUUGCUAAAGAUGCUUCUGAAAAUAUCGUAAAAGAGGCCAUAGUUGACGGAAUAGAGAAGGUGAUGAGUGAUAAAGACAUGAAGAAAAGGGCGGAGACGAUAAGUGGUAAGUUUGGGAAUGGGUUUCCGGCGACUUCGGCUGCUGCUUUGGAUGCUUUUAGGGAUUUUAUCAACCAAAGGGCUCCAUAAGCACUUAUAAUUAAUGUGUCAUCCAUCCAUACACCUUUUUUUUUUUUUUUUUUUAAUGUAUUUACAUAUCAUGUAUCAUGGAGGCCUAACAUAUUAACAUUACGAUCUUAUAAGCUUUAGUCUCAAUUUUUGCACUUUGAUGAUAUUACUAAAAGGAGGCCCGGUAUAAUAAUAAUUUAUCUUUUAGUUUUUUAUUUAGGUGUUUGAUAAAAUUUAAUAAAGUGAUUUCAAGUUAAUUUAUUAACUUAAAAUUUAUUAUUUAAUUUUUAUUUUGAGUACUAAAGUUAUUUGAUAAAAUCAACUUAAAAUUUAUUCUAAAUUAUUAAAUUGAUAUAUUAAUUUUUCAUAAAUUAUAAUUAAGAUAAAUAAGAUCAAAAUAACAAUAAAUGUCGUGGAAUAGUAAAGAAAAUCAUGAAAAUAAUAAGGAAUGUUUUGAAUCCAACUCACCUACCACUUUAAUGGAUAAACAUCCCAACCCUUGCAACAUACUAUAACCCCAAGUGGUAAAGAGCUGACAUCAGUAUGCCAAACCUUCUCAUUGAUGUGAGCUCUUGGAGAAAGAUUAGUAUGUUAUCCUUAAAAUAACUUUUAUUUAUUAAGCAAUGACCCUUCCAUUUGACAUAAUCGAAAUCACUAAGGCUAACUUUUGUCCCUACUUGAUGAGUGAGUCUCGUAAUUAAGCUCCUUUCUACCUUUGUACUUGAGGGUCAAUCUCCAUUCAAUUAGAGGAAACCUUUGCACGCCUUUGUUAUCUUUUAGAAAGUAUAGGAUAAAAAUAUAAAAUGAAGAUAUAGAUUUAAAAAUAAAUUAAUUAUUUUUACUUAUUAUUUAAAUUUAUUUUUUAUCUUAAAUCAUACCAUUCAAUUAUUUUAUCAUAAAUACUUGACAAUAGCAUGCAACCCCAGAUGAAACAAAGAGUCCAUGCCUGAAGGGCCUAAAUUCUAUUUUUAUUUCCAAGCGGGACCCACUAAAAUAAAAGUAUAUACGACAUCUUAUCAUUAAGACAAAUUAUUAAAGAUUAAUUAAAAUUCAACAAAAAGAUUCAAUACAACUUUUUAUUAUCAUAAUUCUGAUGCUAAAAAAAUGAAAUGUUAUAAAAAACAAUCAUCCAAAAAUUUUAAAUAUACUGCUCAUUUUGGGAUUAGGAUUGUUGUUUUCAAGUAAAGAAGAUGAGGGCAAUGUUAUAAUUUCACAUGUUAUAUUUGUAUUUUAUUUUUUCAUAGUUUUUAUGAUAAAAGUAAAUAUAAAAAAAUAAUUUUUUUUAAUAUACUUAUGGAAGUUAUUGAAAAUAUGUGAAAUUAAAAUCAUUAAAUGAAAGUAAAAACUUAGAAAAUUAAAAUAAAAAAUGAAAUCAAAUUAUAAAGCAAUGGGAUUAAAGUUGAAAAAAAAAUAUAAUAAUAAUAAUAAUAACAUGUACAAAACAAUAAAAAUCAGAUGCAUCGCCUAAUCAGGAGUAGAGAUUAGGUGUAGAGAAAACGUAACUAAUGGUGUUGGGAGUUAUAUGGAUUGUUAAGUUAUUAAUGAAGAAUAUUUGGAAGUUAUCGGUAUAUAUUUAUAAUUAUAGUUAUAUUUAUAAGAAAAGAAAUAAAAUAACUGAUUUAAUUAAGAUAUAUCUUAAGUUGUUUUUUUUAAUCUUAAAUUGUACUAUUAAAUUAUUUUAUUAAACAUAUUUAAUUUAUUUAAUAAUUUAAAUUAAAUUAUUAAAUUACUUUAAGUUAUUAAAUUGGUUUACCGACAUUAGAUAACUUAAUGAUUAACCUUCAAAUAAUUUAUGACAAUAGCAUGCAACCGGGGAUGAAACAAAGAGUCCAUGCUUGAAGGGGCUAAAUUCUAUUUUUAUUUUCAAGCUGGACCCACUAAAAUAAAAGUAUAGAUGACAUCUUAUCAUUAAGAUAAAAUAUUAAAGAUUAAUUAAAAUUCAACAAAAAGAUUCAAUACAACUUUAUAUUAUUAUAAUUCUGACGCUAAAAAAAUGAAAUGUUAUAAAAAAUAAUCAUUGAAAAUUUUAAAUAUACUGUCGGUUACAAAUAUUAUUAAAAGUAACAUGUAAUUAUCAAAAUGGAUAUGAAUUUUUUUUAAAAUUUAAACAAUUUCUUUAUUCCACUAUAUAAACCAAGCUUUAAUUAAAUAAAUUACUAUCUUAUUUAAAACCCAAUUCAUAGUAGUUUCCUUUCUAUUUUUUUUAAAUAUAAUAUUUAUAUUUUUAUACUUUAACUAAAUUCAAGUAAACUUGAUAUUAAUAAUUUUUUUGUAAUUUAUAUUUUCCCGAUGAGCAUAUAUAAAGGAAAAUUAUAAAUACAUUCACCUAAACUCUUUUCACAUCUACCCUAUUGGCACACUCGCUUAAAAACUUCUAAAUAUGUCCACCCUACAAUUUUUAAAAACCCAAAAGACCCUUCCCAUUAUUCUCUCUAAACCCAUCUUUUUCCUUUAUCCCUCAACUACAAACCCUUAUUACAAAUCAUCAUGUUUGAAGUUUAUUUAAUAUUAGAAGCCUAUUGUAACCAUGGUCAUAACUAAUUUUUGAUAAAAAAUAAAAAAAUAAAAACAAAAAAAACAUGUUAAAAUGGUUGAAAAACAAUUUGGAAGGAUGUAUGUGUAAUUUAAAAGUGAGAAAUCAUGAAUGGCUGAUGUAAAUGAAGGAUAAAAAAAUAAAUAAAAAAAUUGACCCCGUGAUAUCCAAGAAGGUCUAACAUAAUUGAGAUAUUCAAUCCUUUAAUUCCAAACAUCUCAACUAUGUUUGGUUGGUGAGUGUUAGACAUUUAAGCUAGGACCUAACAUCAUGGUUCCAUUUUUUUUUUUUUUUUGGUUGUUGAAUGGUACCUUGAGGGAUUUCAUCAUGGGGCAUUUAUAAACUCACUAAAAUAAAAGAUAAUGAAAAAGUAUAUGUAAAAAAAAUCGUAAAAGAAAAAAGAUUACUACACAACAUAAUAAACAAAUAAAUCAUGAUGACCUUUGAAAAAUGGCCUUUCACCUGUUUCAAAAUUGAUUUCAAAAUCCAUUAGAUUAUUUGGAAUCAUUUUUCAUUUACUUUUACUAAACAGUAGCCAAAAGUAAAUUACAAACGAACUCUCAAUAUGGAGUGACAUUUAACAAAGACACCAGCUGUAGACCCCCAUUUAGGCAUGGGUCACUCUUUCUCUAUUUGUUUUGCAGAUCACAUUUUUAGCCAGGUGUCGCUAUCCCAGCGGGCCACGUGUCGCAUCCUUAGUGGCCAUAAGGAUUUUGAAGCUGCAGAAGGAGUGAGACAGAAAAGGUGGUGACCGAAAAGAUGGCAGAAAAGGCAGUUGCAGGGAGGCGAGACAGAAAAAAGGUGGCAGAAAAGGCGGCUGCAGCAGAGAUCGUUGGGAAGGCAAAUCCGAGAUAGAGAGAAAGGAAGAAAAAUGAGAGGACUAGGAAAGGAGAAGGAGAAGACAACAUUGUGGGGAACGGAGGAGUUUUUUUAGUUUUUUUGAGAAUUUUGAGGGAAAGAGAUGGGGGUUUGAAUUGGAGCAGGAAGCUAAGAACAGAGGAGCGCAGAGUUGCUGGGAAGAGUCCAGGACACGGAGCUGAGAAGGGAGAUUUCCAGGUAUGACCAUUUGUUUUUUUAUGCAUAUUUUCCAUUUUUUUCAUAUUGUCCAAGCCUGAUCAUCAGUGAUUUUUCAUGUCUGCUUGUUGGGUUGUUCUGUUUUGGUGAUUACUGAUUAAAUGUUGGAAGAGUUUGUUGUGUUUUAUGCCCUAUUCUGACAAGUAUUUUCAAUCGUAACUCACUGGAUGUUGGACCCAUGGAUGAAACGAUGAAAUGGGUCUGAUAUGCUGGUUAAAGUCUUCAUUUUCUUCUUCUUGUUGCUAUCCUGUUAUCUCCUAGUUUUCCUUUCCUCCCUGAGUGCACUCAUGCAAGCGUGUCGUCAUCUCAUCCCCAUGUUUUUUUUUCCUUUAUCCGCCAUACCCAUCAUUCGUCUAUACACCUCUCUCUCUAGGUCGUCAUACCCAUUUCCUCACUCAAGCUUGCAGGAAUCAGGCAUCCUCCACUGCACCCAUUUUCCUCUCAUUCAUUCUCCAUCCCACUCCCCCACUUACAUGGAAUCUCAAGAGUGCAUGCUAUCCUUCACUCUUUCGCAUACCCGUUAAAACCACUCACCCAAGCCUCCAUAUCCAUACGAUCCACCAAACCCGUUUCUCUCUCUAAACUUUCACCUACCUGUGGGAUCCUCCCUAAAAAAAUGACACGUGGCUCUCUCUCCCUUGCACGUGGUCGGCCCCCUCGCGAUGCGUGACAUAGCUCAUUCCAUCCGGGUGUCCCACACCCGGAAUUCCUCUCCACUGCCAUUCCAUUCGGGUGUCUCACACCCGGAAUCCUUCUCCGCCGCCAUUCCAUCCGGGUGUCUCACACCCGGAAUUCCUCUCCGUCGCCAUUCCAUCCGGGUGUCUCACACCCGGAAUCCUUCUCCGCCACCAUUCCAUCCGGGUGUCUCACACCCGGAAUUCUUUUCCGCCGCCAUUCCAUCCGGGUGUCUCACACUCAGAAUUCUUCUCCGUCGCCAUUCCAUCCAGGUGCCUCACACCCGGAAUUCAUCUCCACCGCCAUUCUACCCGGAUGUCUCACAUCCGGAAUUCUACCCCGUCGACGUUCCACCUUCCUCGGAUAUCUCGCAUCCGGAAUCCUGUCCGUCGACGUUCCACCUUUUUCUCCAUCCUUUGAGCAUUUUCUUGAGGUUCCCAAGAUCCCAUCUUCAAUAAACUUGGCCACCAUUUUCUUCUUGGCGAGCAACUUUCGAUUUUUUUUCGUGUUUUUAAAAUGAUUUAAAAUAAGCGUGAAUUUAAAUCCUGUAAUUCCAAACGAUAAAGUUUAUAGAAUUAAUUCAUGCAAAAUAAACGGGCUUCGAUGGGGGCCCUGCAUAUGAGAUUUCAUGAUUGAUUGACUGAUUGAUUGAUUCAUUAGUUAUAUGUGAUUGAUUCACUAUGUUCCUUGAUAUACAUAUAAUCAUUCUGUGUUUAUUCACUAACCCCAUUCCAUGACAGCGCGUUGCUGUUUGCUGCCCAGGUACGCAUUCACUCAUUCUGAUCAUUCACUAUACACAUUUUGAUUCCCAUAUGUGCAUAAUCAAUUCGGGUAUUCAUUGAUUUCCUUAGUUAUAUGCAUAUGAGAUUUCAUGAUUGAUUGACUGAUUGAUUGAUUCAUUAGUUAUAUGUGAUUGAUUCACUAUGUUCCUUGAUAUACAUAUAAUCAUUCUGUGUUUAUUCACUAACCCCAUUCCAUGAUAGCGCGUUGCUGUUUGCUGCCCAGGUACGCAUUCACUCAUUCUGAUCAUUCACUAUACACAUUUUGAUUCCCAUAUGUGCAUAAUCAAUUCGGGUAUUCAUUGAUUUCCUUAUCAGAUGCCAUGAUUGCUUCAUUUUAUUAGUAGAGACCCAUUUUAAGGACUUAGAGGGGGUGCUACGGUCUUUAUCGUACCUUCCCGAUAAGUAACCUGACCCCCGAACCCAACCCGAUUUUUCACAGAUCACCUUUUCCAAAUAAGGAGUCACACUUAGGGUUUUCUUUCUUAUUUUGUUUACCCUUUAAAAAAUAAAACAAAAAUAAGUAGCGACUCCAAGUCAUUUUUUUUAACCAAUUAAAUCUUUUUUUCGAAAUAAAAAUCGAGCUUCACCAUCGAGUGGAAAACGCAUUGAGCCGAAAUGCAGGGCCCACACCAGCACAAAGAAAAACAACUUGGGAGUUUGAAAAAGCAUUUGACGAUGGAAUUCUACAAAGCCAGACUAAGAAGCAGCUUAUGAUGUAAUGCAUUCAACUUGGAUUUUACUGUGAGAUUGGUGAGGGCAUAAAAAUUAAACACUCACCUGCUCAUGAGCCACAGCUUGUUAGACCUCCAUUCUCAUCCGGUUAUUGAUCCAUGUAUGCUGAUUAUGUUGGGAAAUUCAUCUAUAGAACUCAGCUUCUCCAGGAUCAACCUCUCUUGCUUGGCAUCUAUGUUAUAAUGUAGUUAAGAUUUCACACGCUAUCUCAUUGAAAUAAAAUUAAAGUAGGCCAUGUAUAUGAGCAUCAUAUCUCCAUUAACAAUCUAGCUUAACUAUGGACACAGAUUGUGAGGAUACAUUCCUGAUCAGGAUUCUCAGUGAAAUUGGAGUGUAGGGCAUUCUCGACAUUGUCCACAAUGGUUGAGGUGGUCAUGGAUGAUUCAAUGCAGAGAAUGGCUGUGAUGGCAUCUAGUCUGGUGACCUCAUUUCUGAACAUCAGUCCUGCAUGUGCUGCAACAUUACCAGAGUUACUAGAGCAUCAUAUAAGUAGGAAGGUUGCGUUGGAAAGUCCAUGGAGGGCGAGAUACCUUGGGCUAACCGUAUCAAGCUUUCUAGCAUGCGCACAGUUGUUCGUUCUGCAUUACUUGAAUUAGUGUUCAUCACAUUAACCAUAAUUGGGGAAAUAAACAAGAGAAGAGAUUCAAAUUGGAAACCUCUCAUUAACCAUAAUUCCAAUACCAAGGUAAUCCAAAGCUAGAGGAGCAUCAAAUCAAGUAUCCAAGCAUUUGUCCAUAUAAACUACAGUGAUAGAUGUUAAGAUAGCACCCACUGUUCAUCUCCUCCUAAAACUAUGUUUAUGGAUGUCGAUGCCACUAUAGGUCUUUUAUUGUUUGUUUGUUGUUCUUUCAUAGUUAUUCUCAGCGUGCAAAUUGAUUCUUUUGGUACUAUGUCAUUAUACUACACUGUCAAAGGAUGUUAGGGUUUACAGAAUAAGGAACACAAAGGGAGAAGAUAAAACAGAAGUAAAUGGAAGCUCACUGCUGACAAAUGCAGUGCCCUUAAAAAUUCCAAAACUGAAAGCUAAUCCAUUGGUACAUCAGGAUGAGACAAGAGCACUGCUCACAAGUGAGAUAGGAGCACAAAACAAAGGCAAAUUCCAAAAGGACUAGCAUAAGGACCCAUCAAAUGGAUAGGUGAUAUAUGAUAGCACUAUGGAAAUAUCUUCAUCAAAGAAAACUGGUGAUCAUAAUCUUCCAAACCACAACAAAACAUGCCACUAUAUUAACUUAUACCAUUAAUAUAAUACAUGCCUAUAUUUAGUCCGACAUAGUAUUGAUAUGAGCGUAAGUGGGCAAAGACAUAAUUCCAGAUUAUAGUGCAGUCCAUACAGAUAUGUUAGCAGGCCUCUCAAAGUGGUGUUAAGGAGAUGUGUUUAUACAAAAACCAAACAUGCCAAGCUAGAUUUUAGUUAUGCUACAGUGCAAAACACUUAUAAAAGAUUUUACCUCCUAAGUAAAGGAAGUGGCCAGAUAUUUGCUAGAUUUUCAUCACGCCUGUCUUUCUCUGAUUCUUUAGGCUAAUCAAUUUCACAAAAUAAAUAAAUCAAUAAAAUUCAAAAUUUAAAAAUUUAAAUUUUUUUUUUUAAAAAAAACUAUUUUUCAAAUGCCUCGUGAAGAUUAGGGAGCUAAUGUAUCAAUUUUAAUGAUAUAUUACCACAGAAAGAAUGUGAGAAGAGACAACUGCAUCCCAUUCUGGGUUCUUUGUAGAGGUGUCCAUUGGGUCGGGUCGCCCAUUUUGGCCCGUGGCACGACCUGACAUUGUAGCAGCUAGGCCAGCACGACCCAAAAGGAGCGAGCCAUGCUGGGCCUAAAGAAACAGCCUGCGCUACCCGCCGUGCCCACUGUGCCGCCCACUUGGCCCUUUUAAAUUUAAUUUAUUUCAUUUCCUUUUAUAUUGAAUAAAAAAUUAUUUUUUUAUAUUUCAUUUCCUUUUAUAUUCCAUUAUUUUAAAUUUAUUUUUAUUUUGAUAAAAAAAUAAACAAAUUCAAAUGUAAUUUUUUUUUUUACUAUUUUUAAAAACAAAAAACUAACAUUUCUAUAAAUUUUACAACUACAAACUCGAUAAAUAUAAAUGUAAAAACUAAAAAGUAUAAUUAUUAGAGGUGUAUAAAAAAUAAAAAAUAUAAUUAUUAGAGGUAUUUAAAGUAACAAAAAGAAAUUUUAUUUAAUAAUGAAAAAAACUUAAGAAAAAAUGACUUAAAAAAUUAAAUUAAAAUUUUUAACAAAGUGGAUGGCCCAUGGGCCAUGGCCCACCAGCAUGACUCAUCGUCACGACCCGCCGGCCCGACACGAUUUGCCCACGGACUUAUGGGCUAUGCCAUGCCACCUCUUUUCCUUACAUGGGUUGGCCUGGCCCAGCACACUUUAUAAGUGAGACGUGCUAGCCCGGCACGUUGGCCCGUAAUGGCCCGGUCAAUAUCGGGCUGUGCCGACCCAGCACGGCCCAUUGGACACCUUUAGUUCUUUGUAUCCAAGAGGACAAGAACUAUAUCAAAUCUGCUCAAUAAGGGUCCAAACAGUGUUGUAUUAACACAGAGAGCUAAAUUGGGUUAAGAAAUAUUUCAAUAUCACCAAGGAUUGAAAAAUCGGAAAAUGUCGCCGAUAUUUCGGAGAAAUAUCAGAUAUCGGGCGGCACCGAAACGAUAAUCGGCACCGAUUAUCAAUCGACGGAAAAAUCGGCCAGAAAUCGCGAUAAAUCGGCGAUUUUUUGAAGCUCCCAUGCUUUUGAUUUGAUGGCCAAUUUUGAAUUUUUGAGGAUCUGAUGGCCCAGAUUUCACCCGUGUAUUUGUAAAGGCCUCCAACGGUCAGAUUUGUGAUCCAAUGGUGGAAAAUCAAUCUUCACUUUAUCCAAGGGCUAUGGAGUGUUUCCAAUGGUUAUAUGAAGAUCUAAUGGUGAAAUUUGAACCAAAUUUUGAUCCAACGGUUAAAAUUAAUUUAUAACGGCUAUUUGACCAUCCAACGGCUAGUUUGACCAAAAAAAUUCCUAUAAAUACCCACAUUCCAUUUCAUUUCAUACAUCAAAAUUCUUAUAUGAUCUAGCAAAAAUUUUUUAUUUUGAAAAUUUGGUGGUGAAGGGGAUUAACUCCAAGUCAAGGCUAAUUAAGGUAUGUCUUACCUUUCAUAAAAUUUAUUUUAUUAUGCAUAAUUCAAUUUUAUUUGUUAUAUAUAGUUUAAUUGAUAUUAUCUAAUUCAUAUGGAAAUGUAAUUGUAAUGUUUAUCUAUUUCAUAUAUGCAUAAUUCAAUUUUAAUUUUUAUUAGUAAUGAUUCUUAUCAAUUUCAUGAAUAUGCAAAUUUAAUUUGUUUUAAUUUAAUUUAAGUCUUAUCAAAAUUUUAUUGUAAUGUUUAUCUAUUUCAUAUAUGCAUAAUUCAAUUUUAAUUUUAAUUUUUAUUAGUAGUGAUUCUUAUCAAUUUCAUGAAUAUGCAAAUUUAAUUUAUUUUAAUUUAAUUUAAUUCUUAUCAAAAUUUUAUUGUAAUGUUUAUCUAUUUCAUAUAUGCAUAAUUCAAUUUUAAUUUUAGUUUUUAUUAGUAGUGAUUCUUAUCAAUUUCAUGAAUAUGCAAAUUUAAUUUAAUUUAAUUUAAUUCUUAUCAAAAUUUUAUUGUAAUGUUUAUCUAUUUCAUAUAUGCAUAAUUCAAUUUUAAUUUUAAUUUUUAUUAGUAAUGAUUCUUAUCAAUUUCAUGAAUAUGCAAAUUUAAUUUAAUUUAAUUUUAAUUUAAUUCAUAUUGAAAUUUUAUUGUAAUGUUUAUCUAUUUCAUAUAUGCAUAAUUCAAUUUUAAUUUCAAUUUUUAUUAGUUCUUAUCAAUUUCAUGCAUAUUAAAUUUCUUACAUGUUUUAUCUUUAAUAAUUUUAAAUUUGAUAUUAGUUUCAUAAUUCAAUUUUAGAAAAUGGCUAGUGAAAACGGUAUCAUGGGUCGAGAUCCUUGUUGGAAAUAUUGUACACCUAUGGAAGGGAACAAAAAUGGAACAAUAUGCAAUUAUUGUGGGUUGGCAAUAAAGAGUGGUGGGAUUACUCAUUUUAAUUUCACCUAUCACAUACAGACCCUAAUUCAAAUACAAAAAAGUGUCCUAACGUGCCUCCAGAAGUGAAACAAGAAAUAAGACGACUUAUAGAGCAAAGAAAUAAGGCAAAAGUGAAGAAAGUUGUAGAUAUAGAAGAGAUUCGAGCAGAAUUGCGAGACACAAUGGGAAGAAGACAUAGACAUGUAAUUGGUGAGGACGAUGAGGAGAACCUUGGUGGUGAUGGUGGUGGUGAUGAUGAUGAUGAUGGAGAUGAUGAUGUGUAUAUGUAUCCGGCUGACAUGCACCCUGAUGAGCGACAUGCUUAUAGAGAGGCGGUUCGAGCAUCAAAAGCUACUGAAUGGAAUUGACAACAAGAAGAACAUUUUAUAAAAGGCAAAAGAAAAAACAGGUAUAAUAUUAAUUUGAAUUAUUACUGUUUCUUAUCAACUUUAUCAAUAAUAUUAAAUUAGCAUAUAUGUUUAAUUUUAAUAAUUAUAAUAGGCGAGUCUUCACAUCCAACCAAUCCAACAACAAGGCAAAUGCGAAAAUCGCAAAGUGUUCGAUAUUCAGAUCCAUCACUGCCUGAUGCACCCUCAUUGUACAAAUCUUCAGCAGCAAGACAGAAAACUGUGAAAAAUCUUUUCAAAGGUGGUGCCAUCAAGGAAAUCAUGGGACGUUUGAUCAGUAAGUUCUUCAUAUAUGAGAGUGUUCCGCCCAGUAAAGCAGACUCUCACCACUUCAAGAACAUGAUUGUUGGUGCACAACAAGCAGGUAAUUACUAUAAUUUUAAAAGUUGUAUUUAUUUUAACAAUAUCAUUACUAUUUAUAUAGUAUGAUUGACACAAAUGUUCUUAUAUGUUUUAAUUAUAUAUGGAUGGUAGGUAUGGGUAUAGAACCAUCGUCUCCUUAUGAAAUCAAACACAAGUAUUUGGAUAUGGAGUACAAAGACAUGGAAGCUUAUGUCAAUAUUCAAAGAGAAAAGUAGAAGACUUAUGGAUGCACGAUUAUGUCUGACGGAUGGACUGGGCCCACGAAAUUAAGCAUAAUUAAUUUCAUGGUAUAUUCAAAAGGUAGCACAAUCUUCCUCAAAUCCGUUGAUGCAUCAAAUAAUAUAAAGGACAACAAAUACAUAUAUGGUUUGUUGAAGGAUGUGAUCAAGGAAGUUGGCAAACAAAAUGUGGUCCAAAUAGUUACAGAUAAUGGGUCGGCAUUCGUGAAGGCGGGGAAGUUGUUAAUGAAGAAAUACAAUCUUUAUUGGACUCCGUGUGCAGCACAUUGCAUUGACUUAAUGUUCGAAGACAUUGGUAAAAAGACGAGUGUUGCAGAUCUAAUUACAAAGGCUCGAAAGAUAACCAACUUCAUUUAUAACCAUGGUUGGUUGCUUGCACAGAUGCGGAAGGUGUGUGGUGGAGACAUAGUUCGUCCUGGAGCAACAAGAUUUGCAACCAAUUAUAUAGCCCUCGACAAUCUUUUGAAAAAGAAAGCAAACUUGAAGAAAGUGUUUAUCAGUGAUGAAUGGGCACAACACAACUUAAGUCGCACAUUAAUCGGCAAAGAGGUUGAAUCACUUAUGUUUGACCAUGAGUCCUGGGAAAGAGUGGGAAAGUUAGUGUCAAUAUAUGAGGCGCUAUACAUAGUUCUUCGCAUUGUCGAUUCAGAAGUUGUUCCUACAAUGCCAUUUGUGUAUGAAUUGAUUCGAGUUAUGAAAGAGAACCUCAUUCGACUUAAUGCUAAAGAAUGGGUGUUAGAAAUAAUUGCAGAUCGUUGGGAUAGAACUCUUAAACAUUUUCUUCAUGCAGCAGGUAAGUAUUAUUCAUCUUUGAAAUUUAUUGGUAUUUAAUAUGUUUCUUUCAUAACAUUCUAAUUUUACAUUUCUACUUUACUAUUGUAGCAUUCUUUCUUAAUCCAAGAUUUCAAUAUAAACGUGGAGUUGGUACUAAUCCUAAUCUACUUCAAGCUGUUCAUGAAGUCUUUGCGAAAUUAGAUCCUACAUCAGAAGGUUUUAGUCAAUUUGGAAAUGAGGUAAAUUAUUAGAGUUAUAAUAUAAAUUAAAUAAUUGAAUUUCAUUUACUCAACUUUUUCACUUUCAAUUAUUUAAUAUGUAGAUUAUACUAUUCCGAGAUGCAAAAAGAGGAUUUGGUGAUCGAGCAGCGAUUGCUUCGAGGUCAGAAAUGGUUCCCGGUGAGUAUUAUUUGUGAAUUAAUAAUUCAUUUCAUUAGCAUACUAUUGUAACUUUCCAAUAUAAGUAUUGAUAUCAUUUAUUUGGUUGUAGUUGAAUGGUGGUUCAUGUAUGGACAUCACGUUCCUACAUUGAGAAGGUUGGCCAUCAAGGUUUUAUCGCAAACUGCAUCAUCUUUAGUUUGUGAGAGAAAUUGGAGCACGUUUGCCUUAAUCCAUACAAAACAAAGAAAUCGGCUUGCUUACCCGAUGCUCCAACAAUUAGUUUUCUGUUAUUAUAACAUGAAACUAAAGAUACGUGACAUGGAAGCAGAACAUGACAAAGUUGCAGAGAAAGAUUACCUCAAUUUACUUGACAUUGCAACUGAGGUUGGUGAAGAAGAAGAUAACCAAUUGUUUCAAUGGGUUAGACCUCUUCAUUUAGAUGAUGAAGAUGGAAAUCCCGACCCACGAAUUGCCGCACAUGUCCGAGAAGCAGGUGUUGAUGUUGAUCGAGUGUUAUCCGAAGAAGUUCAUACUGAUAGUUUCAGCCAAGACACGAGAGAUUCAUUUCGACAAGGAAUUUCUCAGCCGGCAGUCACUUCUCAACCUUCUUUUGACUCCAUGAGUGUUGAACAUAGUAGUAGAACUAGUGCUACUGGUACUUCCGCUUCAGGUUAUGAUGGUUCAAGAGGAGAGGGGACCAAUGAUGGUAGCGACCCUGGAAAUGAUGAAGGGGAUAUUAGACAACAACAACAAAGUAGACAAUCAUUGGCAUUUACUUGUGAAGAUGAUUUCACACAUUGUACUCAAGAUGAAGACCACGGCUCUAGAAGAGCCGGUCCAGGUGUUGGAGCCAUUGGAAAGCCAUAUAGAGGAAGACAACGAAGGAUGAUGCCAUACAACGAGGACUCAUUGUCGGCCAGUUUUGAGUCGAUGAGUGUAGAGACUCAAUUCAGUGAUUCAUCAAAUGAAGCCAACAUUUAUGCCCCUUAUGCAAUGAGUUAUGGUCAACCUCCUCAAAAUCUUUCAAGUUCCACUGAUGAAGAGUAUGAAAGGUAUAACUAUCCUUCUUCCACACAAAUGCCAUACUACCUUCCACAUCAGCUGCAACAACAAGGAUUUCAAACGAGCACUGGGAAAACCCUGGAUUUCCUAUCCAUGGACAAGUUGUUGGUAGGACUCAAGAAACUUAUGCAUGGCAUGUUCGUACAUACAAUCAAUACUAUCGAAACUCCAUGUCCUGGUAUGAAUAUUGUCUUCAACAAGAUGGACUCCUUUCAUCUAACAAUAACAAUAUGAUGGAACCACAUCGAUCUUCAUUUUGGUAUUAAGGACCAUUGCAAUGUCAUAUACUCAUAUGUAUUAUGUUUAUGUGUAAAUUGUUUUCAUUUAAUAAAAUCAAAUAUUUCUUAACUCAAUUCUAACUUUCUAAGUGUACAAUUCCAAAUUUCAUAUUUUCUAUUCUUAAAAUCCAAGUAUCGUAAACUGUUUACCGAUAUUUUUUUCUUUGACCAUAUUUAUGUCAAUUACACUUAUAAAAUAACUUUAACAUGUAUAUUCUUGCUUAUUUUAUCAUUCUUUGGAUUUUUCUAAGCAUUCCCAUCAAUUUUGGAUAAUUUUUGUCUCACCGAUAUUUAAUGAAAAAUAUCCACCGAUAUUUCUCCGAUAUUUCCGAUAUAUCCGUAAAAUCCAAGUACCGAUAUAUCUGUAUUUACCGAUAUUUCAAUCCUUGAAUAUUACAAGGAAACAAAUAGAAGGAGAGGCUACUUUUGGUAAAGAUAGAUUUAAGAACACCUAGCUAAAGUAUAUUUCAUAUUUACCUCUUUUGUUAUGUUACAUGGAUUCAGGUGCUAGUGUGCUUGUAGGCAUCCAAUCCUUCAAAUUCCAAAAUUUUAGGAUGUGGAGACUUUAAUAAAAAGGAUCCAUUAGCAACUACUGAUACAUGGAUACAACGUAAUAAUGAUUGAAAUACUACUAAGCACACUUCCCAAUUAAGUCAAACAUAGUCUUGCAUUCAAGCAUAUUUUAUUUGACUUUCAAUCUUCUCAAUUAUGAGUUAUACCAGUAAUAAGCUUAUAUUUCCAUGUUCCCUGAAAACAAGUCUCUUCAAAAGCGGCAACAAUCCUUUUAAGGCAAGGUUGCAAUGAUCUCUAGAGAACAAAAGAAAAAACUCCCUUGUAAGCAAGAGAGUAGUAUCCAAGAAGGAUUUCAUGCCAUGUUGACACGGGAACUUAGGUGAAGUAAAAGAGGUUGAGUACCACAAUUUCUGUGAGACAAAUGCAAGAACAUAUAUUUAACAGGAAACCAAAUAAUAUAAACAAUCAAGUAACCAUAAUUUAAAGACAUAAAUUAGAAAACUAGAAAUUCUAAAUCAAAAUGAUACAUUGACCAGGAUCAUAAUGUCCUUUAGGAUUUGUUGCACCAAAGACAAUUGUCCUGGUACAAAGAGACGUCACAAGGCUAGCCUGAAAAAGGAAAAUAAUUAGUAAGAGAAUGUCAUUCAUGAAUUAUGCUUCACUAAACAUUAAAAGAACAAAGAAAAAGGCAGUCGAAUUUCUAUUUAAAAAGUUUAAACAAAUGGAACAAUAACAAAGUGAACAUACGGUAAAAAUAACAAUAAAAGGUUUUAAUUAAUCUCACCAACUUAUAAACCAUUGAAGGGGAAUUGGAACACUAGAGGAGAUAUGUAGGUGAAACAAAUACAUAUACUCUCAAUAGCAAACCCUUAAUACAUUCAUUUGUGGAUUCUUGCCUCUAACAUACCUCCUCUCUCAUCAAGAGUUCUCAACUCUACUUUCCUAGAACCUCUACUGGCUUAAAGGUCAUCCCUUAGAAGGUAUUCUAAGGGAUGCACAUUCUGAUAUCUCUAAGGAUGAAGCUUCUCUCUCACAAAAAAUUCCUAAAAAUGCCUUUAUUUCGAACCUUCAACUUAGCUUCAACAUACUUCAGUUUGCCCAUGAAUUUAUAGCCUUUCCACCAAUUAACCUAAGUCUGUCUCAACUCCCUCAAUCUUCAAACCCAUGGUAGUGAAGCUGCAUGCCUAGAAAAUGGAAGGAAACCAAACUCCAAAUAAUUUGGUUAGAAGUCACCAGAAUAGGGCAAUGCUUUGAAACAGGGCUUCACAUUGCUUCUUGUACAAUGUGGGGAAUUCUAAAUUCCAAAUGUAGGAAAUAAAAAUAUCUUUCACAAAUGGGGUUGCCCUCGGCAAUGCAAGUUUGGUGAAGUCAAAGACAUCCUUAUAAAGGGAGGAUCAACAAAACUACAAGCAAUGGCAAUGUUAUAAAAGCCCAUCAUAUGAAGUUAGUUAAGAGGAUCCAAGCUUCCCCAAAGCUCUUCCAAAGAGUAAGUUAAACCAAAUAAGUCUUCCAAUUUGAUCUAGAUGUUCAAUUCUAGAGAUAAGCUAUUUGGAUUAUAAGGUGCUUCAACCAAUAAUCCUCUAAACAAUCCAAGGAAAAUAUAACAGAAAAUGAUUAAGAGCCUAACACCAUCUCACAUGUCUUUUGCAAGUAAAAUAUCUAAAUAAUCCAAGCCUCAUAAGAGGGCAAUUCAGCUAAUUCCUUACUUCAACCCUCUAAUAGGAUUCAAAUAGUUUUCCUACCAAUAUGUUCCAGUUUGGUUUGUUAGAGAAUAACAAUAUCCAAGACUCACUUUCGAAGGAAAUAUCAAAUUGCUUCCCUAUUACUCCUAGACCUCAACCCACAAAUAUUUUUUAAUAGGCAAGAAAGAAUUUAUUAGAAAAUUUUCCAAACAAAAGACCCACCACCUAAUGCCAAAUUGUAUACCAACUACAUUGCUAGAAUGCCAUUGUGAAAUCAUCAGGCCUAGGGCCAUAUCACUUCCCAAACCAUUAAGAGCAUAAAAGAACUCUUCUUCCCAAAAAGCCUCAUCUCACUUCUCCACAACCAACCUUUCUAAAGCUCUAAAGACCUUUUAAUAUUGGGCCUCCAAUCCCCAAAAUCUGAGAACUGAUGGAAAAACUAGCAACCCAUUCUUUCAUUCAUCCUUCUCAAAUAACCAACCCUAUUUAUCAUUAAUUUUCCAAAAUCAUUCCUUCUAAACUGGUUUUGAGCCAUCCUAUGGAACAUUUGAGUGUUUCUAUCACCUCCCUUUAGCCAUGACUCCUAAGACUUCUAUCUCCAAGAGGUCACCUUUAGGUUUGCUUGAUAAUAAUAAUAUGCCAUAGCACGCUUUCUAGCCUCCAAAUCCUCAUCUUCCAAAGACCCAACUCUCUCCUUAUUGUACUAGUAACCAGUGUUGUCAAAGGUAAAAGGUGAUGCCAAGGCGAGAAGACCCUUUUUAACCUGAGGUGAAAGGCGAAAAUUAAGGCAAUCACCUAACUAUAAUAAGGUGAUAAAAUAGUAUAAAUAUAUUUACCAUUUUACCUAUUCUAUAAUCAACCAAUAUAAGUAUUCUUCAAUAAUCAAUACUACUAAAUUUUCAUCCCCUGUGAUGCCUUAUAAAAUUAAGAAAAUAGUAAUAAUCAUUCAAAGUGUUAAAUAUAAUACCCCACAUCAUAAGAAAAGUCAUACUAUUUAGAGAAAUUCAUCAUGUCCAUAUGCAUAUUCUAAUGUUCCAAACAUUCAAAAAUUAAAAUAAGAAACAAAAUAAGAUAAUGAAUGCCCUAAAGAUGCUUUAAGCAUCAUCAUUGUAGUCAUUAUUGAAAUUAAAAUUGUCAUCACUUCCAUCAAGACUAUAUUGGCAUCCCUCCAUCUCAUUAUCAUCCUCUUCAAUGUCCUCUAAAUUGCUCUCUUUCUCUUCAAAAUCAAGUUGUGAAGUAGUAGCCACUAAAUCCCCCUUUAAACUUGUCUUUGAUCUUGCUCAAAGUCUAGUGGAAAUAUUUGCAUCUCCCACUCCUGCUACACUUGCCACUACACCCCAUGUCUAGCUAUCAUCUACAAAAACCAAGCCAUCCUCCACAUGAAUGGUGGUGUCUUCUUCACUUAUUUUUCCAAUCAACCACUCAUUACUUUCGUCAAUAUCUACUAAUGAGAUGGGGUCAAUGACAUUGCAUCUAUCAUAUCGUGCUUUAAGAGCUUGGUUGUAUUUAACAAACACCAAGUCAUUUAGUCAUUUUUGCUCUAAUUUGUUUCUCUUCUUGGUAUGAAUUGGUAAACAUUUAUUAGUAAAUUUAACCACAAGCUAUAUUAGUUAUAACCAUGGAUUCAAAUAUUGUGUUUCAGCGGACCUCGACAUAAUAUAUAGAAGAGAAAUAUUGAUACUCCGAUAUUUCGUCAAUUUAUCGAGAAUUUUGCCGAUAUCUCGUAAUUAUCAUUAUUUUAUCGGUUUUUUAGCGAUUUAUCACGAUAUUUUGUUGCGGUCAAUGCAGAGAAGUGUGGUCAAAGGUAAAAACUCACUUGAUAUUUUUUGUAGCUAAGGGAGGUCGAACCCCAACCAAAAGAUUCAACUUGUAGAUGAACCAAGCUUGUUUCUUAUAAUAUAUACCACAUCAAACAUAUAUAACCUAAAACUCAUCAUAUAAACAUAAUAUUAAAAUAACAUUUUAAUGAACAAAUUAAUUAUAAUUAUUUUAUAAUUAAAUGAAAAAAUUUCAUUUAAUUGAUUAUCAAAAAUAUAAAAAUUAUCAUGAUAAUUUUCUUCAUAGUGUUUUUAAUAUCAUUAAUAUAUUAAUUAAAUAUUAAAAAUUAUACAUAUAUUAAAUGAAUUAUAAUUUUAAUAUUAAAUAUAUUUUAAAAUUAGACAAAGUAUAAUAAAAUAUCACAACAUUAUUAUCAAAUAAUAUUUGAUAUAAUUUAAUAAUAAAUAUAUAUUUAUGAAAUUUAUAUUUUUUAUGGAUGUAUAUAAUGUUAUUAUGAAACAUGAUGAAUUAUAUUAUACAUAUAUCAAUUUCUUGAACAAAAUAACUUUAAAAUAUCUAAUAUACUUCUAAUUUCAUUUUUGAGAGUUUAUUUUUUUAUUUUUUUAUUUUUUUAUUUUUACAUUUGUAUAAGUUUUGAUUAAUUUUAGGUCCAUCGAUAUUUUGUGUCAAAAUAUGCACCGAUAUAUCUCUGAAAUAUCUGUAAUUUCUGAUAUUUUUAUCCUUGGUUAUAACAACUUAAUUUACUUAACUAAUAAAAUUUCUAAUUUUAUAAAUUUAUAUAUUAUAUAAUCAACAAAGUAUUAAAUACUUACAUGCUCAAACACACUUCAAUUACGUUCACAACCCGAUGCACUACAAGUCAAGCUAAGAAUCUUUAUGGCUACUUGUUGUAAAUUUGGGGUUGUGUUGCCAUAUAGUUUCCACCAUUCAGCUAUAAUGUUUUAAAUGGAAACAAAAAAUUAGUAGAUUAGCAAGUAAUAUUUGAUCUAAUAGCUAAAAAAAUAAGUAAUUUAAUAUCUUAUUUAGAAAUAUAAACUUUCUUAAAGUACUUUAUAGUUUAUACCUGGAGUUAGCGUCUUCCUUGAUCUAAUGGCUAUUGGAAUACCGAAGAGACCCUCCGCAUUCUUAUAAGUUGACAACUCACAAAUGAUCUUAUCUUGCACAUCAAUAUUAGAAACUAAUCUAUCUAUACAAGAAUAUAUUCUUGAUGUCACUUCUUCAUCAAACUUCACAGGAGGGUUGUCAUAGAAAAAUUCCAAGUUUAAGAAGCACCUACUGCAUGCAAGGGACAAUAGAGUUGACAUUCCCAUUUCUUACCAAUAAUAGAGAAGAUCUCCUUGUACCUAUCCUCAUUCUCGUUAAAUGACUUUUUGAUAGUCUCUUUACAUCUAUCCAUAGCUUCAUAUAUGUACCCCAUGUUAAUGUUACCAUAUACAAUUUAGGAAUCAGACUGGUUGUACAUAUACGAAAAGAUUGAUAGUUAUGUUAAUGUUACCAUAUACAAUUUAUGAAUUAGAUUGGCAGUAAUGUUACCAUAUACAAUUUAAGAAUUAGAUUGGUUGUACAUAUACGUUUGUAUAUAGAUGGAUGUAGAGAAUAAUAAAAACAGAAGGGAGUUCUCGGUUUCUAGGGAUUUUUCUGAGUGUUUGACAUGGUAUCAGAGCCAGGUUUCGGCACCUUCUGAGUGAAGUUCGUGCUUCUUGGAGGUUUUGGCACUUUCUGUUGGUGCAUUUAUGUUUUUUUUUUUUGUGAUUGCUAUGGGUGUUUUUUUGGGUUUUGAUCCAUUUCAUCGCGACCUGAUUCUUGGCCAUUUUUGGUGGAAGGUGCGAGGAAACUAGAAAGAAGAGGGGAUGAAAGAAAAUUGGGUUUUGUAGAUGAUCUUAGGUCCAGUUUCUCUCAUUGGAGACAACUACAAAACUUCUAUUGUUGUGAGCGACUGGAACAUCACAUCCGUACAUUCUGAAUCAUCAUUUGCUGCACCAGAAUUUUAAGGGGAGAGUCUUUAGUCUAGACAACUACAGAUCGGGUUCCAAAGCGUGAUCCUCCAUUGCUCGUGUUGCCGCAACACUUUGUGCCAUACCCAUGCAUCUCUGGCAACACCCUACUGCCAUUAGAGAUUCGCACCAGCUUGUUAAUCCUGCCACCUAAACACCACAGUCGCAUCAAAAUUUUAAGAGAGAGGCUUCCAUCACUCUAGGGAUCUUCACAACUUUAUCUCCAAGAGCACAAGUGUGCACCCUGUCAAAGGGAAUUUCUCUCCAUUAACGUGUUGCAUUAUGUCAUCAGAUAAUUUGGAAUCAUUUCCUAUUAGAUUUACUGGAAAAAAUUAUUAUGCUUAGGAGUUUCAAUUUAAAUUAUUUGUCAAAGGAAAAGAAUUAUGGGGUCAUAUUGAUGGGAGUAAUCCUACACCUCGUGAUGUCGAGGCUUUGUCUAAGUGGGAAAUUAAGGAUACUCGGGUUAUGGCUUGGAUCCUUAGCUCGAUUCAACCUCAUCUUGUUCUCAAUCUGAGGCCUUAUAAAAUUGUUACUGAUAUGUGGAAUGAUCUCCACACAGUUUACAAUCAAGACAACUCUGCUAGGCAUUUUCAAUUGGAGUAUGAGAUGGCUAAUUUCACACAAGGAAGUCUCUCAAUUGAGGAAUAUUUUUUCUGGUUUUCAAACUCUUUGGGUUGAUUAUUCUGACAUUGUUUAUGCUAAUGUUCCCGUUGAAGCUCUCUCUGCUAUCCAAACAGUGCAUGUAACCAGCAAGUGAGAUCAAUUCUUGAUGAAGUUACGACCCGACUUUGAAAUUGCACGGUCUAAUAUGAUGAAUCAUCAUCCUGUACCAUCUCUGGAUGCCUGCUUGAGUGACCUUUUACGUGAGGAACAACGUAUCAUAACUUAAGCUACCAUGGAACAUCGGGCUAAUGUUAGUGCAUCUGUUUCUGUGGCUUAUGUAGCACAGGGGCAGAAUAAGGGUCAAGACAUGCGUGUUGUCUAGUGCUUUAGUUGUAAAGAUUUUGGUCAUAUUGCUCAGAAUUGUCCUAAGAAGUUCUGUAACUAUUGCAAGAAACAAGGUCAUAUCAUCUCUGCUUGUCCUAUUCGGCUUGAAAGGAAGCAGGGUACUGCUUAUCAUGCCUCUACUGAUACCUCUAGUUAUGCUACAUUGCCUGUUGUCUCGUCAGUUGUUCCUAUUCCUGCUCCUAUAGCCUUAGCAAACCUGAAUACACUCACUCCUAAAAUGGUACAACAAAUGAUCAUUUCUGUUUUUUCUGUCUUUGGGCUCUCAGGUAAUCAUACGGUUUCUUAUAAGCCAUGGUAUUUUGACUUUGGAGCCUCUAACCAUAUGACGAAUUCUAUUCUUUCUCUUUCCAAUGUUAGAAAUUAUGAUGGAAAUAUGAAAAUUAACACUACUGAUGGUAGUUCUGGCCUAUCAGUGCUGUUGGUGAUCUUUCCUCUUCCUUAACUGAUGUUUUUAUGUCUCCUGAUCUCUCCACAAAUGUUAUUUAUGUUGGUUAAUUGGUUGAUAAUAAUUGUAAUGUCAAUUUCUCAUGUUCUGGUUAUGUUGUGCAGGAUCAAGUGUUAGGGAAGAUGAUCGCGAAGGAGCCUAAAGUGGGACGACUCUUUCCUCUUCAUGUUUCUCCUUCUACUAUUAUUCCUAGUCUUCAUUUAUUUUCCUAUGCAUGUAAUGUUGUUGGUUCUGGACAUAAGAUGUGGCAUAGACGUCUUGGCCACCUAAACUUUGAUGUACUUCGUACUUUGUUUAAUUCUAGAUUAUUGGGAAAAAAACAUGUUCUUCUCUUGAUAUUUCUUUCAAUUGUACGUCAUGCAAACUUGGCAAAAGUAAAGUUCUACCUUUUCCUCAUCCUGUAUUUUGUGCCUCAUAAUGUUUUGAUAUUAUUCAUAGUGAUGUUUGGGGGAUUACACUUAUUGUUUCUCAUGCACAUUACAAGUAUUUUGUUACUUUCAUUGAUGACUUUAGUCGCUUUACUUAGGUUUACUUCCUCCGGGCAAAGGCUAAAGUUUUUUUUCAGUCUUUAAGCGCUUUCUUGCAUUUAUUGAGACUCAAUUCUUUGCCAACAUCAAGGUCUUGCGCUUAGAUUCUGGCAGAGAAUACACGUCUAAUGAGUUUCAGGACUUUUUUCAAAGCAAAUGGAUCAUCUCUCAGCGUUCUUGUCCUUCGACACCACAACAAAACGGUGUUGCUGAGAGAAAAAAUCACCACCUUCUUGAUGUGGUAAGAACUCUUUUACUUGACUCAUCUAUUCCUCCUCGUUUUUGGUGUGAAACACUUUCUACUGCAGUUCAUUUGAUCAAUCACUUACCCUGUCCUAUGUUAAAUCAUGUUUCUCAUUUCUCUAAGUUGUUUGGUCAUUCUCCUUUAUAUUCUGAUCUUCGUACAUUUGGUUGUGUUUGUUUUGUGCAUCUACCUACUCAUGAACAACAUAAACUUACUGCUCAAUUUGUUAAGUGUGCUUUUCUUGGUUAUACUAUCCCUCACAAGGGUUAUGUUUGUUGUGAUCCCCAUGCUCAUCGUAUACGAGUUUCCCGGAAUGUGAUUUUCUUUGAAAAUCAAUAUUUCUUUCCAUCUCAUGUUGAGUUGCCAUCUGCAUCUGUAUCUCUUCUGCCUAGUUUUUCUGAAUCCCUAACAAUUUUGGAAAGGUUCAAACCUGGUUUUGUGUAUGAAAGACAUAGUCGACAUGAGUUCGGUUCCACUUCCUCUAUGCCCUCUUUCGAUCUUGACCUGACGCCUGAUCCUGCUCCUGCUUUCACCACUCUUCGUCUGUCUACUCAUAUUUUUCGACCCCCUGAUUGGUAUGGAUUCUUCUUUUAUGUCUUUCUUGUUGCUACUUUAUCCGCUAUUUCAAUUCCCUCUUGCUACAAAGAGGCUAUGGAACAUGAGUGUUGGCAAAAUGCAAUGCAAGCAUAACUUCAAGCACUUGAGGAGAAUCAAAUUUGAGAUAUUGUUUCUUGUCCUCCUACAAUCAAACCUCUUGGGAGUAAAUGGGUUUUCUCAAUAAAACUUCGUUCUGUUGGCUCUUUGGACCGGUAUAAAGCUUGCCUUAUAGCUCUGGGUAACAAGCAAGAAUAUAGGGUUGAUUAUGAGCAGACAUUUGAUCUUGUUGCCAAAAUGACCACGGUUUGAACCAUCUUACUUUGGUAUGACUAAUUCUUCUCCUCAUGAUGUUUAUAAGCUAAAAUGUUCUUUGUAUAGGCUCAAGCAGGUGCCCCGGGCUUGGUUUGAGAAGUUUUGCAGUACAAUUCUUUCCUUUAGUUUUACCUAAAGUCAGUAUGAUUCUUCCUUCUUCUUCCACACGUCUGCGUCGGGUACAAUCCUUCUCUUGGUUUAUGUGGAUGAUAUUGUCAUUACUGGCACUGACUGUGGUUUGAUUGCUAAGCUUCAACGGCUAUUACAUACAACUUUCCAUAUGAAAGAUCUUGGACAACUCACAUACUUCUUAGGAUUGGAAGUUCAUCAUCGGGCCAAUGGUAUUUUCGUGAACUAGCAUAAGUAUAUUCAAGAUCUUAUCACUUUGGCUGGUUUGAAGGACACUGCCUUUGUUGAAACUCCUAUGGAGAUAAAUGUCAAAUAUAGGAAAGAUGAAGGGGACCUUCUGGAUGAUCCUAUUCUUUAUCGGCGCCUGGUUGGGAGUCUUAUCUACUUGACCACUACUCGACCUGAUAUCUCCUAUGUUGUUCAUCAGGUCAGUCAGUUUAUGACUUCUCCUUGGCAUCUCUAUCUUGUUGUAGUUCAACUCAUCAUCCGCUAUCUUCGAGGUUCACCUACUCGUGGGUUGUUCUUUCCUACCGGCUCCUCUCUUCAACUUGUUGCCUAUAGUGAUGCCGAUUGAGCUGGGUGUCCAGAUACAUGUCGAUCUACUAUGGGUCGGUGUAUGUUUUUAAGUGAUGCCUUAAUUUCUUGAAGAUGUAAGAAACAAGAUCGCGUUUCUAAAUCCUCUACCGAGGCCGAGUAUCAUGCCAUAUCUACUACUUGUUUUGAAAUUGUAUGGCUACACGGUCUUCUUGAGGAGCUUGUGUUUCCUCAAACUAUGUGUACACCUCUUCAUGCUGAUAACACUAGUGCUAUUCAGAUUGCCACCAAUCCCGUUUUUCAUGAACAUACCAAGCACAUUGAGGUUGAUUGUCAUUCUAUUUGAGACACCUUGGAAAGUCGGGUGAUAUCUCUUCCUCACAUCUCUUCUGAUCUCCAAGUGGUUGAUGUCUUCACCAAAGCUUUGACUCUACAACGACAUCAAUUUCUUGUUGGCAAAUUGUUGCUGGUUGACUUACCAGCAUCAAUUUGAGGGGAGAUGUUAAUGUUACCAUAUUCAAUUUAGGAAUCAGAUUGGUUGUACAUAUACGAAAAGAUUGACAGUUAUGUUAAUGUUACCAUAUACAAUUUAGGAAUCAAAUUGGCUGUAAUGUUACCAUAUACAAUUUAGGAAUCAGACUGGUUGUACAUAUACAUCUAUAUAUAGAUGGAUGCAAAGAAUAAUAAAAACAGAAGGGAGUUCUCGGUUUCUGGGGGGUUUUCUGAGUGUUUGACACCCCAUAGCUAGCUUUCUUUCAUUGUCAACAAGUCGAAGAACUUUAACAAGAGGACCCAUCACCUUAAGAAUAUAAACAACUUGAUUCCAAAAUGAAGGCAUCAAAACUAUUUUUGAGACUUGUUUUCCCUUUGCUUCCUUUGCCCAUAUACUAGUUAACCACUUGUUAGAAGUGAACAUCAAUCUCAAAUUACGCUUUUGCAUAUGGAUACUUUGUAGGGUAUGAAAACAUGUUACAAAUUGAGUUAUGCCUGGCCUAACCAAUUCUCUUUGUUUGGUGAACUCUCUCAUCAUAUUUAGCACUCCCGCAUGAUUGUAGAUGAACCCAUUCAAUGUGAUGGCUCUAGUCAAAGUCCUCUUAAUUAUAGGAAGUUUCCCAAUAUCUUCUAAAAUGAGAUCUAUGCAAUGAGCUGCACACAAGUGUCCAAUAUAAAUGUGGUCGUUUUGCCUCUAGGAACUUUCCUAUAUAAAGUCAAAAUCAUAAAAACCAUAAUAAAUAAAAAUUAUGAAUAAUAUCUUAAAUUCAUAAUAUAAUGUUUCAAUUCAAAUGGCGCAAAUAAAACCUAAAGAACUUCAUCAAAUAAAAUCUUACCUGUCAAUACAUAGUUAGAUCCAUUGUCAACUAUUACUUGAACAACAUUUUUCUCCCUAAUGCGCUCCUCAAACUUGUCUAAUAAUUCAAAUGUAUUCUCCCCAGUUUUCCUGAUUGAACUAUCAUCAAUGGACUCCAUAAACAUUGUUCCAACUGGGCAAUUUACCAAAAAAUUCAUCAAGGUUUGAUUUCUUUUAUUUGUCCACCCAUCAGACAUAAUAGAAACUCCAUACUUCAUCCAUGCAACAUUAUGAUCUUUCAAUUUUUUAUUUUUUUUUUGUACUCCACUUCUUUAUGAAGGAUUGGAACUCUUAAUUCAUGAUAACUUGGAGGUUUCAUAUUUGGAUCAUAUUGUCCAAUAACUUCAACCAUCCAUUUAAAACUAUCUAGAUUUGCACAAUUAAAUGAUAUUUCUUCUUGAUAAAAGAAUCGACCUAUGUAUUGACAUACGGUUUCUCUUUUCUUUUUAUCAAACACAUCAUUAUAGAACUUUGUUUGAUCUUUCCCUCUUUCCAAAGUUGAACUACUUUUUCUAGCUUUUGAGACACAAAAGCAUCAAUGGACCUUUUGUUGUUGAAUUCAUCUUCUUAUUACUUUCCAUGCCAUUUUUUUUUAUUAUCAAUCACUUUUUUCCCAUGCAAAUUGACUUCUUCAAGUUCCUUUUCCUCAUCAAUAUCAACAAUGUUUUCUAAGCCACCAAAUUCAGGAAAAAAAACUAUAGUUGUCUUUUUUAUUCUUUUUAUUAGUCAUAUACUGCUCAAACUCCUCUCUUACUUCAUCUAGACAUUUUAAACACCUUGCAACAUUUUCUUUUGUUUUCCUAUUUGAUGUUGUUUUACUCUAAAUAUUCCACAUUUUGUCUCCUUCCCACAAAAUAAACAUGUAUCUGAAUUUGUAUGUUUGGAUCUUUCAAAAGAUUAUAUUUCCAAUGCGGAAUUUUUUUUUCGAACCUUUUGAUGAUGUGCCAUCUUCUAAUGCCAUUUCCAAAAUCUAAAUUUAGUUUUUUUUUAAAAAAUAAUUACAAAUUUAAAAUUUAAAAUAUAAGGAAAAUAAGACAACAAUGUAAAAAAGUUAUAAAAUACAAAAAACUUUUAUAACAAAUAAUAAAAUUCUCAUGCAAGAAGCAUGGUCCGUUGAAUGAUAUAUUUUCAAUAAUAAGAACAUAUAAGUGGUGAAAAUGGUGGGACCCAUUGAAAUGAUGAGUCUAAGGAAGGUGGAGUAUGGCUUUCUGCAAUGUGCAGUGGCAGUAGAAAAUGGUUAAAUCUUUGCAGUGUGUGUACUGUGUAGUGGCAUUGUGACAGGCUUAAAAAAAAUUGGUCUAAGAAGGUAUAGUAUGGGUCUCUACAAUGUGCAAUGGCAGUAGAAAAUGGUCAAAUCUCUCUGUGUAGUGACACUAUUACAGGUAGCUCUAUAGUGUGUAGUAUUUCAGUGACAACACAGAGUAAAAUAUAUAUAUAUAUAUAAAAGUGGCCCUUGUGAGUCUUCACAUCACAAGCAAAGACAAGUUUUUGGUUUGCAGAGAAUAAAAUGAAAAAAACAAUAGUCAAUAGCUAUAAAGUGUGUAAAAGAAGGCAGUCUUCAUUCUUCAAAACACAAGCAAAGAUAAUAUUUUUCUUUGCAAAGAAUAAAAUAAAAUAAAAAUGAGUCAGUUCAAAGGUGCAUCAAUCAAAACAUACUUUUUUUCUUUUAAAAAAAGUUGGCUUCAUUGUUCAAAACUUCAAAUCGUGAAGAACAUAAAACAAAGGUCAUAAGAAGAGUUAUAGUGAAAAGAAAGAUGAGAAAACAUUGCCAAAGUGAACCAUAAAGCUGCUGAAAUCUUCAUCCCUUCAUCUUGUCUUUUUAUUGCUAAAAAGUAACAAAAAACUUUCUUUUCUUCUUCCCUCCGCCUUAUCUUUUUUCUUAAGCCUAAAUCUUGUUAUUUUCUUUUUUUGCCCUUUUAUUAAGGCUUUGUUAUAAACCUUUUAGCUUCUCCAUACCUCAACUUUCCAAAUUUUAUUUUAUUUUAUUUUAUUUUCCAAGUUUUCAGCCUUAUGAAUAAAGGCAAUCACUAUUACACCUUAAACUUUAUCCUAAGGUGACCACCUAGGGGUUGCCUCUUUGAAGUUGCCUCACUUAGGUCUUUAAGAGGCGUUUUUUAUUUUUCUCACUUCGCCUGGUGGCCUAAGCAAACCAAGCGAUCUCCCUUGACAACAUUGCCAGUAACCAAUUUGCUCAUAAGGAGCUACUAUGCUAACUACCAUGUUACCGAAGAGUCGUUUAUGUAAAGCUUUAAUAUCUUCUUUCAAAGCUUUCAGCUAGUUCAAAUAAACAAAACUCGAUGGUCCAGUCAUAUUGUAGCUUUUCCACUAGUUCUUCACAAAGCCCUAAAACCAUCCACCUUUAGCCACAUAUUUUUAGACCUAAACAUAAUCUUACCGAUUGUAACCCCAUUACUAUCCAAUGAAAUCAAUGUAUUAGCAUAGAUUGGCCUCGACAACACGCUUUAGACCAAAUUAAAGAAAUGAUCCUCUUGAUCUGUAAUCACAAGAAAGAGAUCAAGAGAAUGGGAAUCCCUUCUUGCCUCCCCACUCCAUGGAAACUCUCCUCUUGAAAAUGUCAUAUCUAUUAUACUAAAAUACCUUAAAAACUUCAUGAAGUGCCUCAUCAUUGCUAAAAUAUGGAUGCAAUGUCCUUUUUCUUAAGGAAAUCCCACUAUAUAAAAGUCUCUCCUAAUACACCAAAGAUCCUCCCACAACCCCAUAAUAUCCCCUAGUUGUUUUCGAGAAAUCCUCCUUGUCCCAUUUCGAAUCCAGGUGCCCCUAAAAGCCCACACAAAUUAUCCUCAAAACUGGUAAAAUAGUAGGAAAAUAAAAAUGCUCCAUUUCUCCUACUCCCACCUCAACCAUCUCAAAAGCUCUCUCAUAAAAAUAAAAAUAAAAAUAAAAAAACUAUUGGGGCAUGAAAUACAAUAUGGGUUCAAAUCCUACUAGCUUAAGCUUUUAGGAAAAUUAGUUGUUCAACAUGAUACCAAAGCUUCAAUUAAUUGGAGGUCAAGAGUUUGAAUCCUCUCUCCAUAUAUUUAUCUGUCUUAUUUUUUGUGAUCUGAAAUUUGUGAUUUGUCAACAUCUACUAUUGUUUGUGACUCCCACAAUGGGUAUAGGCCACAAAGGAGGGGAGAUGGUGGAGCAUGAAUUACAUUGUGGCUUAAAUCCUACUAACUUAAGUGUUUAGGAAAAUUACUUCUUCAACAAAAAAUACCCACUUCCCCAAACCUCCCAUUGCCCUUAAAGCUUCCAAAACUAAAAAUACCUGCACCCAAACUUCUCAGCAAAUAUAUCAUCUGCUUUGCUAUCUUGCAAGCAUACCAAAUCCAACUUCCAAGACAGGAUGAUAAUCUUAACAAUUUUCAUCUUCUACCGAUUAUUUAGGCCUCCUACAUUCCAUGACAACAUCAUUAUUUUCAUUGUGUUGAAGAUCCAUCUCUAUCUCCUUUUGAUCUACUUUCCAUGUAUUGGCCUUAUAAUUCCCAAAGCGCUAAUUUUUUCAAUUCCCUCUGUUUCCACCUAAAGCCUCUUGCUUUUCACUUUCUAGCUUAUACUAAGAAUGACUUUCUAUGUUUUGCCCCUAUUUUUAUAAUCAAGGUCAGAAUUUCUUCCUCAAAACUAUCAAAGGAUGUGCCCACAAAUCUAUUGAAUCCCACAAAUUUACUAUUAGACUAUAGCAAGGAACCUUUUUAACCAUUUCCAACCAAACUUCUUAAUAACUACUACUCCUAGAAGAAUCUAGGGGUAACUCAGACAAGAGAGAAAUAAAUGGUGAUGAAAUGAGGAGAACGCUUCUCAUUAGGGACCAACUUCCAUGAAUUACAUGGCCCUGAACUAGAACUAGAUUCUCAGGAAAAUCCAUUGAUCUGUCAUCUUGCAAGAUCAUUCUCAAGGGACCUCAUCCGCCAUAGCAAACUCUAGAGCUUAUCUCCCUCACCUUCUAGAAAUCCUUUUGCACUAACCUCAUAGGAGAAGCAAUCUAAGAAGAAAAUGUAGGAGUAGAAGACUCAUCCCCAAGCACCAAAACCUAGUAAUAGACUAAGAACCUAGGGUUCAAGAUACUAGUACCAAGAAAAGCUUAAAAGCAUGGUGUUUUCUUAAGAAAUCAAUUAUUUGAUGUGCAAGAUGUCCUCAUCAUCUAGCUACUAGAACCAAAUAAUUUUCUGUACUUCACAUGCCUAUUUAUAUGGAUGUCAGUGAGAUCACCUUCACCUAGGCAUUACAGACAUUUUUACAAAGAAUAUGAAUUGAUGAUGAAUUUUUAUAAAAUUUGUGUCACCCAUUUUCAUUAAUAAUCUACCUAACUUAGAAGUUGAAUCUAGAAAAGUGAAACAAAUUCACCAUUUCACACUCAGAUGAUGACUUAAAUUAAGGGCAAUUCAAACUAUAUAACACAAGCAUUUGUAGUAAAGAUAUAGCGAGCACAAAGUAAUAAAGAUAUACCAAGUACAAAUUUAACUUUCCUCUAUUGUUUUCAGUAUCUUAUAUUUCAAAAUUAUUCCUAAUGUGCAAAAAUGAAGGGAGUCCUGCUAGGUAGAAAUCCAGCCUUAAAACCCUUAAAACCUUAUGAACAAGUCAAGUUCAAAUCUAAAUAGAAUCUUUCAAUAAAUUUUCAAAAUAUAGUCAGAACAAGUAAUUUACCUUGGCAAUACCUAUAGUCUGUUACUCCAUUGCUUCAUGUAUGGUUGCCCUAUCAUGUUCCCUCAUACUGUCAAAUAGAACAUGAUUUAGAUUAAGAAUUAAGAAAGGGGAAGACAAAAUGGGGGGAGAGAGGAUAACAUGAAAACAAGAUGAGAGAUGAUAGGAGAAAUAAUAAUAAAAAAAUUAUAUAAAAGAUAGAGGUUUUAUAUAUAUAUAACCUAACACCAGGUUGUUAAAAUAUAAUAUUAGGGAUAUUUAUGUCUUAUGUAUGUUAGAAGGGUAAUAGGUAGUUGCCUCAUGUUUUUUUACUCUCAUUGUUUCCUUCUAUUCCGUUUUUUUUUUUUUUUUUUUUUUCAAACCAGGGAAUUCACCAUAAUACUAGCAAAUAUAAUUAACCAUCUCAUUCAAAUAACUAGCAACCUAAUAAUAGAUCAUUUUGGGGGAAGCAAGUCAAAUUCAUAGUGGAUAACUAUGACUUUAUCACAAACCUCCAUGCUAGAAAAUUUCAAUUGCCUAAUUAUGUCAACCACAGUUAUUAGUAGAGUUAUUUCUUUAAGGGGGUAAAAAAAAAGGGAAAAGAGAACAACACAACUACCAAAAUGAUAAGAAUAACAAGACCUAAAGAGAGAACCAUAGCUGGUUGAUAUUUUUUUCCUUCUCCUUCUCAAAAUAAGGUUCAGAAAACAAAAUAGAUUAUGCAUGUCGAGUUUGAUACACGAUUUACAAAAGCAAAGAGAAAGGUUGCCCUAUUUAAAGUUAAUGAUGUACAAAAAUAGAUUUUUCAUUCAAUCAAAAUGGCAAUACCUAUCAAAUUCGUCUAUACAACAAAGCCCACCAUCUACCAAAACAAGAGCCCUAGCUUCCAACAUCCAUUCCCCUAAAAAUUCCUUAAAAGUGGUUAGUCUUUUUAGUUGAAUUGAAUUUCACAUAUGUGGUUAUAUUAUGUAAUAGAGAAAAUUUCAAGGAUGCCCAAUGAAAUUUCUAAAAAUAAAUGGUGUACAUACUUAUAUGAUGACCUACAAAGGGCUUAAAAAAGCAAUAGAUAAAAUUUCAAUAAAGUAUGGGAUUGCUUGAUAUUCUGCAAAAUGGGGAUUGCUUCGUCUAUUUAAGUUCUCGAUGUAAACCAAAAUUUUUCAAUAAAGUAUCAUUUAGUUUCUCUUUCAAAUUCAAUAUGGUAUCAAAGCCCAAGAUCUGAACAUCAACAUGGUGAAAAUUGCAAUGAUAACAUCUAGCAAGGUCUUCGAAUGUCAUUUUCAAUUCUUUUUUUGUCAAUUCCGAUGGUAAUGGUGGUUUUGAAAAUUCCGUUCACCACAUUACUAUCCACAAAUUCAAUGGCAAGAAUUAUCUCCGAUGGUCUCAAUUAAUAAUGAUGUAUAUAUGUGGGAGAGGUAAAGACGAUGAUGACUAUAUCACAGGCGCGAAUAUGAAGAAUGAUGCAUCUUAUAAAACCUGGUUUUCUGAGAACAAUAUGAUUAUGUCUUGGCUUACUAAUUCCAUGGCGCAGGCCAGACGUUCCUCUUCUACAAGACAACAAAAGAAAUCUAGGAUGCAGUCAAAGAGACGUUUUCAGACAACGAAAAAUGCAAUAGAGGUGUUUGAAAUCAAAAGUCAAUUUCUAGAAUUACGGCAAGGGGACCUCAAUGUGACCCAAUACUUUAGCAUUCUCUCUUGAUAUUGAAAGAAACUGGACAUGUGCGAAGAAUUGGAAUGGGAUUGCACUAGUGACAACAUCAAAUAUCAGAAAAUUGUGGAAAAAGAAAAUAUCUUCACAUUCUUGGCGGGACUCAACAAAAAUCUUGAUGAAGUCCAAGGAAGGAUUCUUAGCACUAAGCCACUCCCAUUACUUUGAGAGACAUGUUCUAAAGUCCUGACAAAAAGAGAGUCGAAAGAAAGUCAUGAUGAAGGAUCAUAACUCAUCACAGUCUUUUUCGAGCAACGACGGAUUAGCUUUGGCCACCAAGUGACCAAAUUCUCAACACUUUGAUUCAAAAAGGAGAUCUAACAGGCCAUGGUGUGAUCAUUGUAAUCAAGUUGGUCACACUCAAGAAACUUGUUGAAAAAUUUAUGGGAAGCCAUCUAAUUGGAAAAGUAACAGAACUUAGGAAAAUAAACCUCAAGGUUAUUGUGCCACCAAUGAUGAACCACCACAAUCCAAUAACUUAGCUAACAAAACACCUUUCAACUAAGAACAGAUGGAGCUACUUCAGAAACUCCUCACAUGUGAUCCUUCGAGUAUCUCCACUAUAAGAUCAAGUUCCAUUGCCUAGAAAAGGAAUAUGUUCCAAAGCCUUGAAAGCUUUUUCAAAGUCAAACUCAUAGAUUAUCAACUCUAGCGCAUCUGAUCACAUGACCGGUGAUAUAACUUUUUUUCACUCUUAUUAGCCUUGUUCUGAGAAUUAUAAAAUUAAAAUAGCUGAUGGUUCUUACUCACCAGUGGCCAAUAAAGAGUGUCGUUCUUCCAAAUAGCUUUAGAUUGCUCUCUAUUCUUCAUGUUCCCAAGCUUACGUGUAACUUGCUCUCUAUAAGCAAAGUCACUAAAGAUCUGAACCGUGUUAGUAAAUUCUUUCCUAAUCAUUGUGAAUUUCAGGAAAUGGAAACGAGGAAGAUGAUUGGUUGUGCCUAGGAGCAUGAGGGUUUAUAUGUCUUUGGAAAUAAAGCUUCAAAAGGACACACUUAUAAGGCAAGCUGCAAUGUUCUUUCAUCUUUUACAAAUUCCAGUGACCAUGAAAUAAUGGUUUGCCUUUUUAGGCUAGGCCACCCAAGCUUUCCAUAUUUGAAAAUAUUGCUUCUAUCGUUAUUCAAAAAUAAAAACUUAAGAGUCAUUUCAUUGUGAGUUCUAUCAAUUGUCUAAACAUUGUUGAAAUUCUUAUGUUUCACAACCUUAUAAAAAAUCUCAUCAUUUUUCACUCAUACAUAGUGAUUUAUGGGGACUUUCCAAUAUUAGAAACAUAACAUGCUCUAAGUGGUUGAUUUCAUUUAUUGACAAUCACACACAAAUAUGUUGGGUGUAUUUGUUAAAAGAAAAUUUUGAAGCAAAAGAGAUUUUCAAAAAUUUUAAUAAUAUGAUUACACUCAAUUCCAAACCAAAAUCCAAUUUUUUCGCACUAACAAUGGUACUGAAUACUUAAUUCAAUUCUUGGACCAUAUCUUCGUGAACAUGACAUUAUUCAUCAAAGCUCAUGCAUUGCUACACCACAACAAAAUGGAAUUUCAAAAAGAAAAAACCGUCAUCUAUUGGAAGUUGCUUGAUCCCUUAUGUUCAUGACAAAUGUUCCUAAAUAUUUUUACGAGGAAACCGUUCUCACUGCAUCAUACUUGAUAAAAAAAAUGCCCAUUAGAGUAUUACAAUACCAAACUCACAUCGAAGUCCUAAAAAAUUGCUACCCUAACAUCGGCUAGUGUCAUCCCUUCGACCAAAAAAUUUUGGUUGCAGCGUUUUUGUCAACACUCAUGCCAAAAAAAAAAUGAAACUAGAUCUAAGAGCCCUCAAAUGCCUUUUCUUAGGAUAUUCUUCAACCCAAAAAGGUUAUAAAUGUUACUCUUCAAUCACAAAAAGGUUCUAUGUUUCCAUGGAUGUAACAUUCCUUGAGAAUCAAGCCUAUUUUCCCAAAACUCAGCUUCAGGGGGAGAUUUCAGGGAAUUCCAGAUCAGAUCAAUUUUGGGAUAUUGCUAUUCCAACUAAUAUUGCUCUUUCAGCCCUAAUUUUUGAAUCUGCCACCUCAACUGCCCCUGUAACAACAAGUAAGUCUAGCCCUGAAACCACUGUUGUUCCAUUCAAACCAAAUUUUGUACCCAAUCUUCUAGUAAAUUUGACCUCAAAGCUUUAGGUUUAUUCCUGAAGAAAAGUUGCCAGGGAUAUACAGACUCCCAUGCCCUCAACUCAUGGCCAGUUAACUAAACCUAAUCCGGAUCCUCAUGACCAGAAUUCAGGUAACACGGUAACUGAUACUAAUCCAGCUGUAUUAAAUGAUUUGGAUGUUCCUAUUUCAUUUUGCAAAGGGGUUAGAUCGUGUAUUGCACAUCCCAUUGUUGAUUUUGUUUCUUAUGAAAGAUUAUCUCCACAGUUUCGAGCAUUUACUACUAAUCUCUCUAAAGUUGAUAUACCCAGGGACAUUCAUGAGGCAUUACAACAUCCAAAUUAGAAAGUAGUUGUGCAUGAGGAGAUUAAAGCUCUUGAAAAAAAUGGAACCUAGGAAUUAACUAAAUUGCCUUUUGGAAAAUCGAUUGUGGGAUGCAAGUGGAUUUUCAAUAUGAAACAUAAAGCUAAUGGGAACAUUGACAUAUAUAAGGCAAGAUUGAUGGCUAAGGGAUUUACGUAAACGUAUGGAGUAGAUUAUCAGGAAAAUUUUGCUCUAGUUGCAAAACUUAACACUGUUCAAGUUCUACUCUCCAUUGCAGUCAACAAUGAUUGGCCUCUUUAUCAACUAGACGUAAAAAAAAUGCAUUUCUAAAUGGUGAUCUCAAUGAAGAAGCCUAAAUGGAUAUUCCACUAGGAUUCAAAGACAGAAAAAAGAGAAUCAAGUGUGUAGGUUAAAGAAAUCUUUGUAUGGCUUAAAGUAAUCACCUAGGGCCUGGUUUGACCGGUUCACUUUAGCUAUUAAGAAAAUUAGGUAUAGUCAAGGACAAUCAGAUCAUACGAUGUUUUUCAAACAUUCAUUGGAUGGGAAAAUAGCUAUUCUUAUUGUCUAUGUGGACGACAUAAUUCUUAUAGGUGAUGAUGAAGCAGAAAUGAUAAAUAUGAAAAACACCCUCUCUCAGGAAUUCGAAAUCAAGGACUUGGGAGCUCUUAGGUACUUCCUUGGUAUGGAGGUGGCUCAAACUUCAAAGGGAAUAUCAGUCUCUCAACGAAAAUAUGUCCUUGAUCUUCUAGAGGAAACUGGUAUGCUUGGAUGUAGACCAACAGACAUACCUAUGGAGCAAAAUGGCAAGCUUAGUGAUGAUGAAGAAAGCCCUUCGAUUGACAAAGGUCAAUACCAAAGACUUGUUGGGAAGUUGAUCUAUUUAUCCCAUACUAGGCCAAACAUAGCCUUUCUUGUUAGUGUGGUUAGUCAAUUCAUGCAAGCCCCCAUUAAAGAACAUCUUAGUGUAGUUCACAUAAUUCUCCGAUACUUGAAAAUGACACCUAGAAAGGGGUUAUUUUUUUGGUAAAAGUACCAAACGAAUAAUCAAAGUAUAUUCUAACGCAGAUUGGGCAGGUUCCGUGAAGGAUAGAAGGUCCACUUUAGGCUACUGUACCUACAUGUGGAGUAAUUUGGUUACUUGGAGAAGUAAGAAGUAGUCUGUAGUGGCUCAGAGUAGUGUGGAAGCUAAGUUUCAGGCUAUUGUACUUGGUGUAUGUCAAAGACUAUGGCUAAAACAUGUGAUGGAGGAGUUGAAGAUUUCAACCGAGUUUCCAAUGAAAAUGUUUUGUGAUACCAAGCAACCAUCAACAUCUCCCAUAAUUUGGUUCAUUAUGACAAAACCAAACAUGUGGAAAUACACCGACAUUUCAUUAAGGAGAAAGUUGAGAAUGAGGAGUUUUUAGUGCAGUACACACCUACCAAACUUCAAACUGCAGACAUUCUUACAAAAGCUCUACCAAUAUAGCAUUUUAAUUCUCUUAUAAGCAAACUAGGAAUGAUCAAUCUCUAUUCCUCAGUUUCAGGGAGAGUGUUGAAACUGUAGGUUUGAUUUUUAGGAGUUUGAAUUUAAAAAUAAAACCAGAAGAUAAGACUUGACCGAGUCCUAUUAUUUUGGACUGUUUAGUUUGGAUAAGUCCUAGAUUUUUAGGAGUUUGAAUUUAAAAUAAAACUAGAAGAUAAGGCUUGAUUGAAUCUCAUUAUUCUAAACUGUUUAGUUUAGAUAAGUCCUAGUGUGUUUAAAUUUGUUUUUAUCUCUAGUUUAAAUUAGAGAGAAUAUCGGAUGAUAUUUUGCAGUGCUACAUUCUCUUAACUCACAUGCAUGGCUUGAAAAUCUAAUUCACCUGACAAGACAUGCAAAAUACAUGUACUAAUGCAUUGCCAUCAUUUUCUAUUUUACUAGUGAUAGGAAUAAGAAUAAGAUAUCUAAGAGUUUGAGAUACACAUGUCUACUAGCAUGUAUCAAGAAAUGGUUGUGAGCUUCUUUCAUUGGAAAGAGAGUUAUAUAUAUAAAAGGACACAAAACAGGAUGGCCUAUGGCAAGCAUGCAGAAGGAAUACAAGCAACACCCUAAAAAAAAGAUGGAAAAGAAAAAAAAUGGAGACUUCAAGCAUUUCCAACCUAGCAAUGAAAUUCAAAAAACACACGCUCCCCAACAAGUCCACUGGCCAAACAAACAAUGACUUGAGAAUAAUUUCUUUCAGUUUCAACCCCGAAAACCCACUUGGUUAAAAAACUUGGUGAUUCCUCUUCCCCAAAGACACUAGGCUAGGUACAAUGAAGUUGUGAUCUACAUUUUCAUUUUCUUCAUCGAUCAACAAAGCCAACUAGAAAGAUAUUCCUUCAGUCUAGACAAGAUGCAAGCCACCUCAAAAGGAAUCAGCCAUAGACCAGAGGUUACAUAACUGUUGUAUCAAGAGAUGUUUGGUGGACUUCAACCAAAAUAGAGUUCCAAAUUUUUACAAUGCGCCUAUUGAAAUAAAAUAUUAAAAGUAGCAAAGCAGAAUUUUAUGACAAAAAAAAAACAAUUUUAAAAAAAACGCAUAACACUUUCCUUGCAUCAAAGAAUACACUGUUUAGAUGUUCCUUUAUAAUAGUAUCAAAGUUCACUACCCUAAAGAGGCCCGAUAGCAAGGGUUGGCAAUAGCAAUACACUGUCUAGAUGUUCCUAGGAAUUUUAGCAUUUAUGUGGUCUUAUAUAAAAAAGAAGCAUGUCCUUAUUUUAAAACACAGAUUUGAUCAACUCAAUUGCACAAACGUAUUGUUGGAAGGGAUCCAAAAUUAAAACUUAAAAUCAUGAGGAUCUAUUGGAUUGGCAUAGCUUAGACAUCCAAUGUCAUGUGAAUCUUGGGAAAUAAUAAGUCUUGCAAAGUGCCUUAAAACCCAGAAUUCUUGAUGGAUUGAGAUUCUCUUAAAUUUCUCAAGUUAGGAUCUCAGUUUGAACUUCCACAAUUCAACAAGAGAAAGUUUUCCAAUCAAAUUCAAGCUUGAAUUAAAGUGUUUCUGAUUCAAGCCUUAAUGUAUUUAUCCAUUAAAAAUUAUUUUAACAAAAAUAUACAACUUAACCUAAAUUUGAAAAGGCUAAUACUAAGAAUAACAAAGCCUGAUGGUAUCAGUCAGGAAAACCAGAGAAGAAAUUACCAGGAUCACCAACUAGAAGCAAAUGAGAUUUUCCUCGAACCUUAGUCCUAGAAGCAUCAACAUGUUGCACACCUCCAAUAAGUGUUAAUGCAACUAGAUUAAAAUAAGAAAAGUUAGAUGUGGUAAGUGAAGUAUGAAGCAAUAAAGAUUAUAUAAUUUUAAAGAAAGAAAAAAAUAUUAUCUCAAAAUUUGGACCACAUUAGCAUGUCCUCUGUAAAUAGGAGUUUAAAGGUGAAACAGUACAAUGGGAAGUUAAUCUUCAAAAUCCGUGACAAUGGAACUUGACAUUGGAAAGGAAUAUACUUGCAAGUUUCACAAUGAAGAGUCCAAAAACUUGUGGGCAAAUACCCCUAAGAAUGGCAUUUCUCCUUGGUACAAUUAAGCUACUUUAAAUUAAAAGUAGAAGAUGCCAAAAUUCACAGAGCAACUCUAAAUAAAGGAUGCUAAAAGAAUAAAAAUGAAUAGAGAACACACUUUUUUAACAAGACAUUCCUUAAAUAGCCUAAAUCUUCAUAUGCUGAUAUAGAAAAAUUAUGAAAUUUAUGUGAAUAACUAAUUUUCACCUUUUAAUGGGGUAUCUUUGAAGUCUAACCAGAACUGCUUGAAUUUCAUAAUGACCUAAUCAAGGAUAUCCAUGUCUAAUCUAAGCUCAUUAGUUCUCCUAAAAACAAAAAACAAAGAAAAUAAUAAACAAGAGCAAGUUAAAAAAUACCAUGCUCACUAAUAUAUGUGUGGACCCGCAUUUUUCACGUGCGUCCCUACUCGAUCGGCGAGACUCGCUUUUUAUUUGUGAAAAAUUAAUUUUAAAAAAAGUUGGAGUCGCCACCUAUUUUAUUUUUAUUUUAAAGGGAAAAUAAAACAAGAAAGAAAAACCCUAAAAAGUGACUCCAUAGUUUUGGAAAAAGCAUGUCUUUGAGAAACCUGAGUCUAAGUUCGGGAAUCAGGUUACUUAUUGGGAAGGUACCUCUAAGAGGUAGCACCCCUCUAAGCCCUAAAGAGGUCUCUACUGACUAAGUUAAGGGGAAUAUGGCAAUUAAUCGGUUAAUUAUGGAUACCUAAGUAGGCUAGGUGAUUUCAAAAAAAUUUGCAUGCUAAACAAGAUCAAAUCACAAUAAAGGAGAGUUAGGGUGUGUACCUGGACUGCCUCUCAAGCGCUAUCAUAAAACAUCAGAGUUAGUAUAGAAGUGUAACACACAACAUGUAUUUAAUCAUAGUGAAUCAAACAUACAUCUAAACACCUAAGGAUUAUCAAACAUAUGCAUACUUCACAGUGACAUGAUUGUUUACAAAAUUUAGAAAAGUAGGUGAUAGGGGGGGCGUACCUGGAUAGCAUAGAUAACUUACAAUGCGCUUCCAUAAGACAUGAGGGAUUAGAUAAUAAUAAAAUAAAGAAACCCUAGCAUGCUUGUUAUCUAAUUAGCAUAACAAAAAUUAUCAAAGUAUAUGAAAACAUUAAUUAUCACACACAUCUUGUAUACAAUUCCUAAAAAAGAUAGACAUAAUUUCAACAAGUGACAAAAAUGGCAACAAAAAUAAUUUUUGAAAAGAUUUUCUUAUGUAGGGGUUUCACCAAUUCCCCAAUUGAUAUACACGAAUUUAGCUCAGAGUUAUCCCAUUUAUUUGGGACUACAAGCUUUGAUUCGUGCCUUUGUUCAAAACCAAAAUUUUUGUUGAAAACCGAGAAGGAUGCCAAACUGAACAAGAUAUGGUUGCAUAUUAUUUUUAAAUAAUAAAAAAAAGGAAAUUUUGAUCCUGAGGACUCUAAUGAGUUUUUGAAAUAGAUUUUUAAAAUGAUUUUUUUUUUUAUAAAAGUAUUUUAUUUUAAAAUAAAAGGGAUUAAUUUGGAAAAAAUAAAAAAUAAAAUACCAAACAAAACAAAAAUGAAACCUCAAAGUAAAAUUUUUUUAGUAAUUAACAAAAAUGAUAAUGGUGAUGGUAGAGGCCAAUCUUCAUGAUUUUCCAAUGGCCUCUAAAAAUCAAAUUUAAUAAAUAUUCACCAAAGCAACAAACCAAACAACUUUAGAUCAAAUAAAACUAACGAAAUAUUAAUCGGGAUUUACAAGGAUCAAUCAAACACAUAAAUUGAAAUAAACAAUCAAGAACUAAUUUAAAAUCAACCAAACACCUAAACAUGUAAUUAUAAUAAGGUGAAUAUAGUAACACAAGCACAUAGAAUUCUAAAACAUAUUAACUAAUCAAAAACUAGAAUCAUCAAUUUUAGAACGUGAGCAAAAUAACAUAAGAUUAGUUAAACUAAUUAACCUAUUAGAAAAAAAGCAUGAACUAAAUAUUGAUAAACCAAGAACGAAGAUUAGUAUACUCAAAACAUGAAUAAUACGACUUAGGGUUAAUUAAAUUAGUUAUCUAAAACUUUGGAAAACAUACAAACUAAAAGUGGAUCAACCAAGAAUUAACCAAAUAUUUCUUAAACUAAUCAACUUAAAUCCUAAAAAGGAUGAAUCAGAAAAAAUGAUUUACAAUUUUUUUUUAAAAAACAUAAAUUUAAUUAGAUGGGAUCAAAUAGACUAAUGAGCUAAAAUUCUAAAAUACCUAAACUAAAUAAGAUGAACCAAAACAUGAUCAAAAUAAACUUAAAAACAUAAACUUUAUUACAUGUGAUCAAUUAGAAUAAUAGACUAAAAAUUAUAAAACACUUGAACUAAAUAAAAAGCUGACUCAUAAAAAAAACUGACUUUUAAAAUUAAAUCUAUUAAAACCGAUCUAAGCAAAAUUCUAACUUUUCGAACUAAGCAAGGAAUCAAAUCCAAACUACACAAAGAUUCUAAUUUUUCAAUGUAAUAUAAUGAAUCAAAAUUAAAAUAAAACAAAAAAUUCUCACCUUUUAAACCAAAGUAAUGAAUCAAAACUAAGCAAACAAAAAUUUACUUUUCAAUUUAAUAUAAAAAAAAUCAAAACUAGAUUAAACAAAAUUCAAACAUUUCAAAAUAACGCAAGGAAUAAAAAAUAAAUUAAAUAAAAUUUUAACCUUUCAAUCUAGUUCAAUGAAUAAAAAAAUUGAAUCAAACAAAAAUUCUAAUUUUUCAAGACAAACAUAAUGAAUUAAAAUUAAACUAAACAAAACCUAACUUUUGAAACCAAGACAAUGAAUCAAAAUCAAACUAACUACAUUCCAACUUUUUCAUCCGAUUAAAAAAAAAAUUAAAAUUAAUACAUAAAAACUCUAACUUUCAAUCCAAUAUAAAAUUAAAACUAAAAUCCUUAGAAAUUCUAACUUACCUUCUCUAGAAUUCCUCUAUGGUGGUGCGGCUGCUAGUGCUCAAUGGUGAAUGCGUGGUGGCUGCCUCCUUCCUCUUCCUUCAGACCUCUCUUUGUUCCCAGCAAAAUAAUAUCUCUUUCACCUUCUCAAAAAGCCAAAAAUCUCUCCUUUGCUUCCCAAAAAUAAUCUCUCUCCAUGUGCCUCUCUAAAAAAAAAUUCCGUGUGUUGAUCUCUCCUCGUCCACACCAAAAAAUAUAUUGUCUUCUCUUAUUUAUAUGGCAGCCUCACCCUCAUGGGAAAUUUUUAUUUCCUCUUUUAAUGCACAUGGAUGGCCUCUUCAGUAUGGAAAGUAUGACUGCUGAUAUGGAAUGCACCACCAUUCGUGUACGAGGUUUCUUAUUUUGUCCUCCCAAAGGAUCUCUUAUUCAGCCACAAUAUUUCCUUAUACGCUGCAUCUUUCCGGAUUUGAAAAUUAUUUAAUAUAAGGUGGAAGAUUCUUACUUUCUCAAUUCUAUAGUGCUGAAAGAUGACUAGUUUAUUGGCUCUCCCCUUCUCUUCGAUGUGAUGACUGCUCAUUUUUAAAGAAAGAAAAGGAAAGAAGCUACAGGCCAUGUUGUGGAGCCCUCCAUUCCCCGGAACUGAUCAUGCGUGUUGUACGCUAAUGGUAGACUACAUGUCCACUUCUUCUCAUGCGUGGACUGCGUAUCAUCCUUGGCGGCGUCAAUCCCAUGGUUUUAUUCCCAAUACGCUUCUACAAUCCCAAGAGCAUCAUGGUGCAUGUCCACUGCAGUAGCACCAAGCCUUCGCACACCUCUUAUCCUCAUAUGGAUAUGCUACAUUGCUGUCACCUUCAGAUUCAUCAAAAUCCAUGUCAGAUGACGAGCCUCCUUCAGAGUCAACGUCAGCUGUGACAUCUUCAUGAACUGGACGCCUCAUUACUGAUUCCAUGUCCUUAAUAAAACGGUCCACAUCAAGCUCCACUGCUUUUAGGUCUCUUGAUUGCUACAGUAGGUAAGCUCUUAAAAAUUUCAUGAAGUUUAAAUAGCUUUUUCUUGGAAGGAUCUAGGGCAUUGCAAUGCAGCUUGCAUCUAAGAACGUGACAAUCAGAGAGAUUCCCCCAGGCUCCUGUUGUCCCCAAUAUUGUAUUUAUAAUACUCUUCAUGUUUAACAAGCAUUGGAGUUCUCUUAUUGGUGCUGAAUUCAAGAAAACGCCCCUUCCUCACGUGAUAGCCCUCACUAAUUUCAUAUUUCUCCCUUCACAAGAGCCACUCAUCCCAGAUUAUGUAAUUCCACCUCCUCAUGCAAAACAAAAUAAAUAAAUAACUAAAAAAAAACUAAUGAAAAUUAUGAGAUUGGUAAUAAAAUAAAAUAUGAUUUAAAAGAAGAGAAAGGGAACAAUGAGAGACCAUAUUAUAUAAUUCCAUCAUUCAAUAAGGGGUCGUAUGCAUAUUUAAUGUCUAAACAAUUCUAACAAUUCUCUAUCAAGUAGGUAAAUAAAUAAAAUAAAGAAAAAUAAAAGAAGAAAAAAAAACGUAAUAGAAAUUUAAAAAAAUGACUAAAUAAAUAGAUGAAUAAAUAAACAAAUAAACAAAGUAAAUAUAAUCAUCAAAUGCAUGCAAUAAUGAUCAAGAGAUUAUAAAAAAAAAAGUUGAGCCUCAAUGAAGUGUUUAAGCGGGCCUAAGGUGAACCUAAGUGUCCUAAAGUGAUCGGGAUAUUGUCUAAGUGACCUAAACAUGCUUAAGAACCAUCCUAAAAAGGAAUGGAAAGCUUAAGUCUAAAUCAAAACUGCCAAGGGUCACAAUAAAGGGGCGGAUAAUCCCUCAACCAAAAUCUCCGAGGUGACUCAAAAAAGGGUAAGUGGUAUGAGUAGCUAUGGGCCACCAAGGAAUUAUUGUGGAGCAUUGAAAAUGAAUUUUAAAGACAUGUGCUAAAGGGACAAAAUUGAGGGUCUACAAUAUGAUAUGAUAGCAUUAGGUUCCAAAAACAUCAAGCAUUGUUCAAGUUCUAUAAGCCAAAAAAAAAAAAAAUACAAAUCUGAAGGAUUUUAUUUUUCCUUCUUUUUCACUUGGGUAAAAAAUGAUAAGAUUCUGAAUUUGUUAUCGCUUGCUGAAUUUCAAACUGGUAAGAAAGGCAAGAAGACAUAACUUAAACUGAAAAAUGACACCAAAAUAUACACCUUCUAGGAUACCAAGAGCCUAUACAAGACCAUUCAAUUUGGGAUUGCAAAGGGGUAGGUUCAGGUUGGAGUGCAGCCCCACCAACCCCAUUCCUAUUGAUAUAAAUCAUCAACCCUCAUCCAAGCUCAAAACCAAUGCAAGGCAGAACCAUGAAUCCCAUUCUAGGAUUGGCCAGGUCGGUUUAUAUUGGUUGAAAAACAACUCUGAUAUUUGAUUAAAGAAUAGUAGUACACAUAUAUAGUAGUGUCUAAGAUGCAAACACCCAAUUUACAGUUGUUCUAAUCACUAAUUUACAGUUAUCCUAGUCAAUAGUUGACUGUUACAAUUAUCCUAAUUUGUACAUUAAUUGACUAAUUCUACAAGCUUAUAUUAACAGCUAAUAUAUACCACAUAUAGGUCCUUUAAAGCUGAUCGAACCCUAAAAUGAAGAGAUUCUAUUGAUUUUCCACACUCCCCCUCAAGCUGGUUUGAAGAUAUUCUUCAUUCCUAGCUUGCAUGUCAUUGAGUUGAAGCUUGGAUUAGACACUCCUUUAGUGAAUAUAUCAGCCAACUGCAUUUUAGAUGAAACAAAAGGAGUGCAAAUAAGACUAUUAUCAAUCUUUUCUUUGAUGAACUGUCUAUCCACUUCAAUAUGUUUAGUGCAAUCGUGUUAAAAUGGGUUAUGUGUGAUGCUUAUGGAUGCCUUAUUGUCGCAAUAUAGUCUCAUAGGUUCUUCAAUGUCAAAUUGCAAUUCUUUUAGUAGAGUUUUGAUCCACAUGAGUUUACAAAUACUUAGGAUCAUAGCUCGGUAUUUAGCCUCAACACUUGAUCUAACAACUAUUGGUUGCUUUUUACUCCUCCAAGUCACCAAGUUGCCCCUUAGCAAGGGGCAAUACCCUGAAUUAGAUCUCUUGUUGGUUAUUUAUUGAUUUUUUUUUAUCAAAAACAAAUAUAUGUAUUAAUAGAGAAAAGGGACAUGAGAAGGAUGAGAAAUCCUCCCUAUGAAAUACAAACCUGAUCAAAAGAACUAGGUAAACCUCCACUAACCAAGGAAGGCUAUACAAGAGGUAAAAAAGGUCGCAUGAUCGAAAGAACUAAGUAAACCUCUUCUAACCCAAGGAGGGCUAUACAAAAGGAACAAAAUGGCUAUACAAGUAAAAGAAUCUUGACCCUCUAAACCCAACCCUACGGUGUACAUAGUGGAAGCGAACUAAGUUGGAUUACACUCAAAGGAUAGGGUUUAAAAAUGUCUAUACAGUAAGCCUGAAAAUAAACAUAAAAAUGUAAGGGAAUUUUAAGAUAUGUUUUUUAGUUGCAUUAAAGAUCGAAAAAAUGCAAGGGAAUUUUCUUUGGUCAAGUGCUAGGGAGCACCAAAGAGACCAUCUCAUUAGUUGGGACCUAAUGUGCAAGUCUAAAGUGGAAAGGGGUUUACGAAGAUUUCUCUAAGAAAUUAUGCUCUUUUAGGGAAAUGGCUAUAGAGGUCUCCUAAGGGAAGUUAUACUUUUUGAUAUCAUGUUAUUUGGAGCCUCUAUAGAACACAUUCUAAUAGGUAGGAUGUCGAGAUUAUAGUUAGGUGGUCACAUCAUUGUGCCUAGAAGGUCAUUGCACUUGUUUUUCAGGAUUUUUCUAAACAUACUCAUUUUAUAGUGGGUGAUGGGGUGAGAAUUUGUUUUUAAGAAGAUUUGUGAUGGGGGUAUGAACCUUUGCGCUCACAUUUCCUAAGUCUAUUAAGAAUUUUCAUGGUUAAAAACCUUCCUAUCUCAUCAAUUCUUAGUUUCACUUACCCUUGUUCUUUAAACUUUAAUUUCCAUUGCAACCUUUCUAACUCGAAGGCUGAAGAUCAUGAAAGACUCAUGUCCUCUCUCACUUGUUUAUAUUUAUCUCCAUCCAUCCUAAAUGCAAAAGGCUAAUUGUUAUCUUCAUGAGGAUUAUUUAUAGUGAAGUCAUUCUUUUUAGUCUUGUGUAACCAAUUUAAUCUAAUUUCGUUCUAUCCAUUUAAAUUUGUAUGGAAAUCUAAAUUCCCAGCUAAGCUCAAGACCUUUUCUUGGCUAAUGGCACACAAGAAAGUGUACACAAAUGGCAUGCUACAAUUGAGAAAAUUCUACAAAGCCCUUACUUCUUAUGUUGGCUUAUUGUGUAUGGAGAAUGGAGAAAUGAUGAAUAAUUUUUUCUUACUUUCUUUGUUGACUUUGGGCCUAUGACAUAUAGACUUUCCAAAUCUACUAACUUGGACUAGGUUCCUCCUAGGAGUAUUUGUGACAUGAUGAUCAUCUCAUAUAAGGGAUUGAGAAGCUCCAUUAGAGGCAACAUUGCUUGGUAAACCACUUGUCUCGCGUUUAUUUGGGUUGUUUGGUGGGAAAAAAAUGGGAGGAUUUUUUAAGGCAAGGUGAGGACUUCAAAGGCUCUUUGGGAUAUCAUUCAUUUCUUUUCCUCCUUUUGGCCCUCUUUCUAAAUCCCCUUCCAUUUUGGGCUUGCACACUAUGUCUCAACUAAUGAGAUGAUCUAUUUUCCUCCCCUAUCCAUGACCAUAGAAAAUCCCUUUGCAUUUUUUUAAUCUUUGUCACUACUACUAUAUAAUGAAAUGAAAUAAUUAGGAAUGUGAGUCAAGCAAGACAAGAUUACGGUAAUUCUUCCACUUAAAUACCAAAAAACCUUUUCCCAACCAUUUAAUCUUCGCUAAAUUCUGUCUUCUUAAUCUUAAAAGACACUAGCCUUUGGAUAGAUUCAAAUAGGUUAUUUAGCCAUUCAUAAACCUUACAUUCGAGCAUCGAAGCUAGCCUAGAAAUUUGAUCCUAACUCUUGUUGGAAAUUAUGUUUCUUAUAGACUUAAUCCACUUCAUUUGCACUUAUGCCAAUCAUUGAUGUGUUUAUAAAUCUGUGUUUGCGAUGGAUGUUUUUGUAAGUCUUUGGUGAUUUGGGAGAAAACCAGAACAAUUAAGUUAGUUGUUUUGAGAAUUCAUAAAUCUCCUCUCUCAAAAGAAAAAGAAAGACGUUCUUAGAGUUGUGGAAAUGACUAAUCUAGGGAGGAAGUUAGUGAUGAUAAAAAAAAAAAGUGUAGUUAUUGUUAUUGUACUAGAAGUGUAUAAAGCUAUCACUUCUCAUAGAAAGACUAACACGAGAACAAGGAAAAAGAAGAAAAAUAAAAAGAAAAGACUUAAUAUAUUUUGUUUUACGAUACUGUGUUUUAUUUACACAAGGAAAAUGCACCUAGGUCUAAUAGAUUCACCAUUACAAUGUUUCAAGAGUAUUGGGAUGUGAUUAAGGAUGAUUUUUUUCUAUGUACUUCCUCGAAAGUUUUUAUGAUUGUGUUGUUGUGAAUUCUACAAUUUGGUUUGAUACUUUUUUUUUCUCUAGGAUUCAUUGAUAUUACUUAUGUUGAACAUAUUAUUUAGAUUACUUGACCUUUUUCUCAAAACAUCUUAGAUUGGGAAUAUUCCUCAUCCAUUUGAAAUUUCUGUAUAGGUUUAGUGCAGAGGAUGAUGAAGAAGGUUCGUGAUUUGGUUCAGAGAAAAACAAUUGGAAAUGGUUGUCUUUGAUUUCCUUUAUUUCUUUAUUCAUAACUGGUUCGAUAUAAUUCUUGUUUGAGUCUCGUCAUCUUCCUUUAACUAGCAGGUUUUCCAGACUCAGUGUUUAACUGGACUCAAGAAAUGGAUUCAAAAUUGUCAAAUCAAGAUAUCAACAAUCAAGCCUUUUCCUCUAAUAAAAUGACAAUAAUAAUAAUAAUCAAGUCUUUCCCAAAAAGCAUUGGCGUCUUCUCUAAUGCCAAAAUGGUAAAUCGUUUUUGCGGCAUUUGCAUUAUUUUUUCUGUUUAAUACAAAGAUGAUAAUCAAGGAAUCAAUAUAACCUAUCUAGGGAGGGAAGUCAGACAAUUGAGUAACUGGUUAUCCCAUAAUUAAAUCCAUGAAUUAUUAAUUACAAUUCGUCUAGAUAAUUGUAGAACUUCGAAUUUUUGAAGAGCUUCUUGAAGUUGAUUACCUUGUAAGGCAUUGUUUAUUUAUUUCAUUCUACAGGCAUCUCAUGAUUUUGCUUUUGCAGUAGGCUAUUUCUCAUCAACGUAACAUGUACCUUUCUUUUUGCAACCAAGGAGCUAUAGUAGGGCAAUGAAAGCUGUAGGGGUUUGUGAAGGCAACCUGUGAAAAAAUAUUUGAGCUUGUAAUGAGCAUGGAUGGAACACGGUUUGAGUAAGUUCUUUCUAUUUUAAGUAAAGAUUAUUAUGAAUUAAUUCCAAAUGGUCAUUAUUAUGGUUUUUUGAAGAAUUUAUUUUGUAUAUAUCAUCCGACAGGUCUACUUCAAAGCUCAUUUAAGUUAUUUUCUUUUAGAAACUUUUCUUAUGUUCUUUCUUUAUAGCAUACAUAAAAGUGGUCAUGCUCCCAUGCAAGUCAAAGUUAUAGUGAUGGGAAUUACUUCUCUUGAAAUUUGCCUCAUCUUUUACUAAUUUUUUAGACCAUUUAUUAAUUUUUUUGAUAGGAUUUUCUUGACACCUUAUGAAAAGCAUAUACUCACUGACAUGAUUCUUAGUUUAAAGUUCAUAAUAUGAGCAUUCAUACAUGACAUAUAACAUGUCAAACCGAAUAUAUUUACUACUUUACGUGCAUUAGUUAUGUUUUAUGGUUAAAAUAUUCAAAACUAAUGAAAAUAAAUUAAAUAGUUUUUAGGGUUUAUUACACUUUACCCCUCUAACUUAUAGCAUGUUUUGCACAUUGCCCAUUCGAGUUUAAAAUCGAGCAAUAUACCUUCUAUGUUUUAUAAUUGCAUGCAAUGUGCAUUUGUUGUACGACGGCGUUAGCUAUAAUGAACAAAAGACACAUGUGCUAAACACAUGACAUGUUUAAAUGAGGGAAAAAUUGACAUUUCAUUUUCAAAUCUUCAAAUCCCCAAAACCCUAGCAUGUCCUCUUCUUUCCUCCAAUCGUUUGGUGGAUUCCUAAAUCCCCAAAUUGAAGUUGAAACCCUAGAAUGGCCACUGUCGAAGGAAUUCAAGAUUCUAAUGGAUCUCAAAACGCACUUGAGAUCGAAAACCUUGUCUGAUUCACCAUCGAUGAGCACAACAAGAAACGUGUUUUUUUUUUCUAUUUUUUAAUCUCAUUUUUCCUUUCUUUGUUUCUGCUCGUUUCUUGAAAAAAAUCUCCCAUUUUGUAUUUUUUUAUUUUUUUUUGUGAGGAAGAUAGAGAUUUGUCCGAUUCGCCAUCGACGAGCACAAUAGGAGACAAGUUUUGUUUUUUGUUUUUAAUCCCAUUUUUCUCUUUUUUUUGUUUCUACUUAUUUCCUAAGAAAUUCUCUCAUUCUUUUUCUUCUUUUUUUCUUUUUUUUGGAGGAAGGUAGAGUUUGGCUUAUGAACGUUUGCUUUUUUCUGAGGAACCAAACAAGGAUUUUUAUUUUUAAAAUUCGUUCCAUAAGUACAAUAAAAUAUUAUUUUUAGGGCAAAAGAAUAUGAUCAUUUGGUUGAUGGAAUUGAAGUUUUCAUUUCUUUUUUAUUUUGUGAAAUAAAUCAUUGCAAGGAGUUAGAUCCACAAUUUAAUUUUUGUUUCCCUUCCUAGGGUUUUUAAGUAGCCAAAGAAGGUGUUUUAUUUGUUUUUUUUUCCUCUUUAAAUCAUUCCUUGAAAAAUGAUUUUUUUAGAUGAGUUUCUAAUUAAGGAUUCUGCUUCUCCAAUAGUAAGAGCCUCCUUUAUAUCCAUUUCCAAUUUUCUCUUUUAUUUUUGGUUGAUUUGUUGGAUUAUGUAAUUUGAAUUGAUUUUUUUAAUUUAGUUUUGAUACAUUGGAAAAGGCUACUGCAAUUUGGGGAGACAAUCUCGGCCCCAAUUUAGGGAGACAAUCGGAGGUAGGAGGAAGGCUGGGUUAGGGUUUUAAAAUGAAAUAACGAUUUUGCCCUCAUUUAAACAUGUCACAUGUUUAGCACAUGUAUUUUCUGUGCAUUAUAGUUAACGUCGUCAUACAACAAAUGCACAUUGCAUGCAAUUAUAAAGCAUAGAGAGUACAUUACUUGAUUUUAAACUGAAGGGGGCAAUGUGCAAAACACGUUGCAGGUUAGGGAGGUAAAGUGUAAUAAACCCUAAUUUUUAUUUAUGGAAAUCUUUAACAUGAACUUAAUUCCCUCUUUUAAUGUAAUGAAAUCAAUAUGAAGAUUUUUUUUUUGUCCCAUAGCUGCAGCAAAUGAUUGUCCUUCACUUUUUAGUAAUAUAAAUAAAGAUUUAUUAUGUAUUAAUUUGAAGCUCCUCUACAAUAUAUUUUUAGCUUUACCAUGCCCUUGGGCAUUUAAUGGUUCAAAAUUAUGAAUUUUGAUUAAGGAAAAUUUUUUAUGUGUAUGAAAAUUUACAAUAGUUGGGAAUCAAGAAGGAUGAUUUGAAACUUAUAUGGAAGUUUUUUUGCAUAUGGGAUUGUUUGUUGGGUUCACACUGAUGCUACCACUUUUAGUUCUUUGAUCCCUAAUAUUGGAAUAUCUAUUCUUCUCAAGGACUGUCAACCAAUAAACCUUGUAGAAAGUUCAUGCAAAGCAAUCACUAGAGCUUUGUUAACAAUAAAUAAAUAAAUGAACUCUUUGAAGUUUGUUGUGAUAUGAUAUAUUAUUCAUUGAGGGGGCCUUAGUGAAGGUGGACAAUCAUAUAUUCAAAUUUAUGAGGACAGUGUUGGACAUUGUGGAAAGCCGAAUCCUGGGGGUUGGUUGUGAAAUUGGAGUUCCUUAGAUUAUGUGAGACAGAUUUUUGUGAUGGAAGUUGAUAAGGGGUUGAAUGCUCUUUUGGGGCUUUAAUAGGUUGGUUCGAUGCUAUGAGCUAACAAAUGUCUUAAGUAGAUCUACAUCCAUAGUGGAAUAGAAAAUCUCUUUCUAGGUUCCCAUUUAAAAGAAAUUGGUAGUCUCCUAUAUAGCAUAUAUGGUUUGCUAAUAAUGUGAUCAUUUUCAUCUGAAUGUGGAAAGCAUAAAAUUUUUUAAUUUUACUGCCUUUUGUUUUGAGAUAGUUUCUGGAUUUAAAAUUUAAGAGCAUUCCUUUGUCAUCAUCUGAUAAACUACAUUAUGUGGACACUUCAAAAUACAUAGGUUUGAUGACACAUGAUUAGGAUUUAAGGGUGUGAAUAUGGUUUGUUCUCUCUCUUCCACAUCCAUAUUCCCAAUGUGAGUGAAUGUCUAACAAGAGGAACAAAGGAUUGAUGGAGACGAAUGGUAGCCACCUUUAGAAGUUUAUCAGAAAAGCAAAGGAGUGGGCUCCAAGGCUCAAGCUUUAAUUUGGCACUCUCUAGAUGAUAAUGGGCAUAGUUGGGAUCUUAUAUAAGUCAAUAUAAGUUUAGCCUAGAAAGUACUUUCAGAAAUUAAGUUAUGGGCCAGUUAAUGGUCAUAAGUUACCAUUUCCAGUCAUUAUUAUUGUCAUUUUCCAAUAGUCUUUAAUGUGGUCAGUAGUUAGUCCAAGUUUGUCAUUUUCAAGUUGCAUUAUUAUUGUGUCUAGUUCCAAGGAGUUAUAAGUCUCUAGAAAAGUCUUAUAUAGUAGUUGAUUAGUUUUUUGAGAGGAAUCAAUGAAUGAAUGAAUUUUUAACAACCAUUUUUUUCCUUUGUGUGAUGCAAAGAGUACUUGGGUGUGAAGCUUAAGGUUUCUAGGAGUGAUUCCUAAGGUCCUUUCAAUUGUACUCUCGUUGCAUUUUACUUUUUGUACCGCAUCACCAAAAUUCUAGUUUUCUAGAAGUUCCUUUACCUCCUUGAUUCCUUCCUUUCAAUUAUGGUACUUCAAAUGAAUCAAGUACUAGUUUUCAGCUAAAGAUAGGCAUGUAGAAAAUUACAUUGAUAAUGUGACUAUGUUUCCAAGUCAUGGGGUUUGGAUGUUAGAGAAGACGUAUUUUACACCUAAUCCACAUACUUGCACGCAAAAAUUGCAAGGUAUUGGAGCAAAAUUGACAGUGUGGAAUAAGAUCACUUUUAGAGAUAUAAGAGAGAGGAAGGAUUCCAUCAUUAAGGAUAUUGCCAUGGUAUAGAUUCUCUUGAGCCAUCCUUAAGGGCUACAAAGAAAGUAGAGUUGGAAGAAAUGUUGUUAAGGACAAAGAGGCAUUGGAGGCAAAAAAUCUAGAGUGAAGAGGGCCAAGGAGGAAGAUUUAAUUCUAGAUAUUUUCAUAGAAUUGCUAAUGGAAGAAGGAAAAAGAAGUUCAUUAAAUCUUUAGUGAAUGAGAAUGGAACCAUGUUAGAUGACUAAGUUAGCAUUUUAAAGGAAAUUUUGAUAUUCUUUGAUGAAAUAUAUAGCAAGUCUAAUGAAGUUUUGUGGAGAGUAGAAGGAUUAGAGUGGGCCCCUAUCCACUUUUUUCAUUUUCUUUUUACUAUUUUAGCAUAUCUUUUGAGUAGAUUGAUGUUCAGAUAGGAGUUUGGUAGUUUUUAGGGCUUCUUAGUGGGUAGAAGUACAACAAUGGUGCUUCAUUAAUGGUUUGUUGAUGACACCAUACUCUUUUCAAUAGCUAUUUUAAAUUAUUACAAAGUCUUAACUAAUUUUGUUGGUAUUUAAGCACAUUUCAAGUUUGAAGAUAAAUUAAGACAAUGAGAAAAUAGGGUUGCUUUUGAAAAUGAGGAACUAUCGGUCCAAAUGAUGAAAUACUCUCUUGUUAGCAAUUUGUGGUCUUGGUCCAAAUGUUGUAUAGUUGAGGGUUUAAUUCUUUAAUCAACUUUUUUGAGUGGGUGGGCUAUAGGUGAAGAGGAGGGGGGUGGUUAGUUUUUUGUUUCCCUCUUCCUUUUGUUUUUAGUCUAUAGGUGCCUAUUUGUAUACCUCCUAUAUGCUUUGAGUUUGUUGUUGAGCACCCUGUUCUUUUAAUAUACUCUACUGUGACUUUGCCUAUAAAAAAAAUUAAAAAAAAAUAAAUAAAUCUAGACAAUGGUAUCUUGUUGGGUAUCAAUGUGAGUUUAGACCUAGCUUUGAAUUGGCCUAUUUAGAAUGUAAGAUUUUGAUUAACCUAUAUCUUUUUCGGGUCUUCCUUUAGGGUGAACCUUAGAGGCAUAUCUUUUUGGGAUUUAGUUUUGGAUAGGAGUUGUCGAUGUUAGAUGGUCGGAAAAAGGCCUACUUGUCUCCAUGUGGAAGAAUAACUCUAGUGUAGUCUUGCUUUUCCCAUGUCCCCCUCAUCAUUAUUAUUAUUAUUUUAUUCUUAAACCUCCAAUUAAAGUGGGUUAUACAAUUGAGAGAUUACAAAGGAACUUUCUAUAUUUAGGUGUUGGCGAAUGGAAGAGAGAUCAUUUUAGGGAUCAAUGUCUAAGCUAAAAGGAGAAAGGGCCUUGGAAAUUAAAAGAAUGACUUUGAGGAAUAGAGUCUUUUCAAGGAAGUGGUUGUGGAGGUUUCUUAAGGAAAACACUACUUUAUGGUACAACAUAUUUUGAAAUUUACGGGCCACAUUCUUACUGAUGUGAUGCUAAUGUUAUUGUUAUGUGAUCUCAUUAAUGUCCUUGGAAGGUCAUUGCACAAGUAUUCUAUGGUUUUUGUCAUUUUACUUGUGUUUAGUGGAUAAUGGUACAAAAUUCACUUUUGGGAGGAUAUUUGGUGGAGUGCUUUUUUGCGUUUGGCUCCCAAACCUCUAUAAAGUAGUAAGGGCGAGAAAUUCAUGUAGUUCUUCAGUUUCCAUUCCAUUCUCCUCUUCAUUAUGGAAUUUUAAUUGUUUGCAAAAUGUUACUAAUGAUUAAAUGAAGGAACUUUAUAAUGUUAACUUUAAUCCAUAUGUAUUUAUUGCUCACAUUCUUCGAUAUGAGAGUUUAAUCUUUGACAUCCUAUGGUCUAUUUAGUCUUAGUUUAUGCUUUAGAACCCUCUUUGUUUCCACCAAUUUAAGAUCCUAUCUUUUGGAAAAUUUCUUUUAGAAAUCUAAAUCUCUAUCAAAAGUCAAGGCCUUUACAUGGCUUGUGGCAAGUAGGAAGAUUAAUAUCCUUGAUUUCCUACAGAUAAGGGGCCCUUUCAAAGCCUUUACCCUAGAAUGGUGUGCCUUUUUUUUUUUUUUUUUUGUAUUUUCCAUUAGCAUUAACAUUAUUACAUAAGUUGUUUGGACUAUAAGAUUGAUUGGAAACCUAGGAGUGUGGUGGAGAUGCCAACAAUUUCCUAAAGGUUUUGGAUGUCUUCCUAAAGGAAACUCAUGGUGUAUUGUUAGUUUCACAUUAAUUUGGAAUAUAUAGCUGGAGAGGAAUGCGAAGAUUUGAAGGAUAGAUGAAGAAUUUUAGAGGCAUUGUAGAAUUCAAUCUAUUUCUUCUCAUUCCAUUCGGCAUCAAGUAGUAUAUCAUUUCUAGGCACUUUUUUGAGUGUUAUAUUGAUACAUUGGACAUAAUAUGCAGUUUAACUAGGUUGGCUAAGAAAAUAAUCUCUAAAUGGACUUUCCCAAUUGUGUCAACUUGAAUUUUGAUGGUUUCUCAUUAGGAAAUUCAUAACAAUUAAGGGUUGGAGGAAUGCCUAUGGAUCAUCAUGCAACACUAAUGAGAAUAUUUUCUAAACAUAUUAAAAUAGAUCUAGAAAUUGUGGUGGAGAUUUUAACCUUGCUGAGAAGUUGAUCAAAGUAGAGGGUCAUUCCAACCUAAUGUUGGAGUGAGAUUUUGUAAUAGUCCUUGGUUGAGUAAGAAAGAAAGAGGCUAAUGGAAAUUUGACAAGUGGCUUCAUUAAACUUUUAUUUUUCUUGAAGGAUGGGAUGCUUCUAUUAUUGGAUUUCUCAUUCAUCUAUAUAUUAACAAAGCAGGGAGCCGAACUUCUGUUCUCUUUUAUAGGGGGUAUUUUCGAAUAUGUUAGCAAAGCAUCGAGCCAAACAUUUGAUCUCCUUUGUAGGGGUUUCUCUACCUCUCUGAAUAUUGAUUUUGUAAUUGUAUCCAUUUUUCAAUGUGCAAUGACUUAUGGGGUUUCUAGAGUAGAUAGUUUUUUUUUUUCCCCUACUUUUGAUUAGAGUAGUGGAUGAUUUUUUUAGAGGGAGGAUUUACCAUACUUCUUUGUACUUAUUUCAUAGUAAUGAAGUCUUUUAUUCCGAUUGAAAAGAAAAAAAAUAAAAAAGACAAAUACUUGAACCAUGCAAGAUAACCUACAGUAUAUGAAACAAUAUAAUGAUCUAUUAGGACUUUAAUUCUUUUCCUAAAACUUCUGAGUUUUUCAAAAAGUGGAAUAAAAAUAUAAAAUAGAAACUUUCCAAAAUAAAAUGUUUAAAUAUGUAGGAACUCCAUAUGAUAAGAAACUUCCACAAAAGUAUAACUUUUCAAUUCUAAAUAAGACUCAAAUAGGAAAAAUGAGUAAGUUCAAAAAGUAGGAAGUUCAAAGUGUAUAAGUUUCUUAAAACAAAAAUAACAAGAAGACUUACUAAGCUCAAAAUAAGACUAAAAAAACCAACUACUACUAAUUAUGACACCAAAGAAUUAAAAUGUGUGAAAUUAUACAAAUCCCUUGGACAAAUCAAUUUAGGAUUUCUUUGCUUCUUUUCUUCCUUUGCUAAGAGACCUUGAAAGUUUAGUCCCAUCACCAAGGCUAUAUGUUUUUGUUUGGUAUUUUUUUGGAUUUUCCUUUUUGUUUUUUUCUUCUGAGGUGACUAUAUUACAUCCAAUUAUCUUAUCUUGAUGUUGGUAGAUGAUUGUUAUUUCCUGUAUUUACCAACUUUUAAUUUGUUCCAAUAGUGAGGAAGUAGUGGAAAGAAUCUUUUCAAUUUUCUGAUAUAGGGUUUAUUUUUCUGAUUCCUUUCCAUGAUCCUCCUAUGUGGGUGCUCAAGUGUGGUGGCACUUUCUCCUUCUCUUUUUCCAUUUCUUAUGACUUGUUGAUCUCCUAACCAACAACCCUGUAGAGUUUAUCUGUAAAAUGAAAGUCUCUCAUAAAGCUUAAGCUUUUGCAUGGGCUAUAGCUUUAUAAAGUUUGACCAUAUUGUAUAUCUAUUGUUACAUCUCAAGAAGUUACAAAUUUGUGAGGUGAGCUUUAGGUCCCAUACUCUUCUCAUGUCAUAGUUGUUGCUCUCUAUCACUGUGUGGGAGGUUAAUAACUGAUCCUCAACUAUUUAGCAGUCUGUUUUUAAGAAUCAGUAUUUGAAUGACACUUUUUUCUAAUAUUAUCUAAUGCUGAAAUAGAUGUCUUAUUUUGUCUUUGAAAAAUAAGUUUUCAUAUGAAAGGGUCAUAAAGAUGGAAAAUGCAUCAUUUUUGUUAGCAUUGUAUCAUGAUAUAUGAUAGUCGGAUUCUUAUCCUUAAAAAUAUAGUUGUCCUUAAGAUGACAUGGCGGUUAAAGCUUGUUAGUAUGUCCAAAACUUUAAACUCCUAUAUAAUAUUUUAGUUGGAAUGCAUGUAAUAUUUUGUUCAUGCCUAUCUCUAGAACACCCAGUAUGUGGUGGUCAAUAAAAUUAAAAUGGUUAGUAGUACUAUUAUUUUGUUCAAUUUAAGAAUUGUAUUACAUGUAGUACUUUUAUUUGUGUGUGAAAUAAAUGAUAUGUCAAUGGUGAUUCAUACCUGAUAUGCCACUUUCUCAAAUAUAUUUUAGACACAUUGCAGUUAGUGCCUUUACUAGAGUCCAUGACUCCAUGUCAUAUGACUUUCCACCUUCAAAAAAUCAAGCCAUAGUAAGGAAGAGCCUCUUAGUCACUUGAACAAGGUUACUAUUGGAUUCUAACACCUCCAAAUUUCUGUGAUUAACUAAAACCUAUGAUUUCUUUUAUAUGUGUGCACUUUUUCAUGUCAUUAACUUUUCAUGUCAUGAGUAGGCGGAUUGUAGUUUCCAAUAUGGCAGCUUAGUGGAGGAGGUAGAUGGACAUACAACUAUUCUCUAUCAUAGGCUUCAGCUAGAUUGGUUCCCUAUGUAAUAUUGUCUCAAGUUAAAUCACUUUAUUUAUGCUUUAUGAUGUUACAGAAUCUAGUAAUUGUAUGAGUGCAUACAAAAUUUCGUUGUUUUUUUUGUAUCAACAUUGUUAAAACAUGGCACUUUUGUGCAAAUUCAAAUUAAAGCUUUUACUUUACCUCUCUCUAGUUGGCAUGUAAUUGCACUUUAGAUUCAUAAUCUAAGUCUUUUAAAUUUUCUUAUAAACCUCAUAUGGGAGAAACUUCAAUUAUCAUUGAUCGCCACAGUUGGGCAUCAUAGCUUGUAGUUGUGUAUGGAGGCCAUAUAUACACUAAAUUUGUACUCGAACUAUUACAGUAGUUGGGCCCUACAUGUCCAUAAUGCAGUUCAAAAAGCCAAGUCUUGACUUUCUCAUGGCUAGGUAUGAUGCAACUUGGCAUGAAUGCUUAUCCCUCAGGUGGAUUCUGAACACUACCCCUAAUCCCAACUACAUUGAAGUCUAUUAUUGGGGUUGCCUGGGGAGAUCUCUUGAUAAAUCCUCCUCAAAGUUGCUGAGGCAUGGAGGUUUGAGGAUUCAACUCCUUCCUAGUAUGGUAAUAAGGCUUGGGGUUUUACAUAAACCUGUUAUACCUUAGUGGUGAACGUAGUCCCUUUGGUCAAGGGAUAAUUUGGAUGGAUAGUGGGCUUUUAAAUCAUGGUUAGAGGUUUGUGAACACACAAUUUCAUUCAUAUGUUGACAUAUAAAUAUUAUAAUUUUAGGCACAUUAUUGUUAAGUCAGUACCAAACCCAACUAACACAUCUAGCUUUUUCAAAAACAAAUUCCACAAAAUACGAAUCUUCACACCUUUUCAACUAAUUCUACUAUUAACAAAAUAUACAAAAGAUUUCUUAAAGUAUCUAGAAAAUUCUCAAAUUCUAACACUCCUUCUUGAGAAUUUUUCUUAGAGACUCCAAGCCUUGAUCUUAGCUCUUCGAACUUGGCUUUGGAAAGUGCUUUAGUUAAUAUGUCAGCAAUCCAAUUUUCUGAGCAACAAUGCACCAGAUUGACUUCACCAUUCUUCUCAGCUUCUCUAAUUGCAUGAAACUUCACAUUUAUGUGUUUGGUUCUUCCAUGCUGCACAGGGUUUUUUGCAAUAGCAAUGACUGACUUGUUGUCAACCUAAAUUACAGUAGCUUCAUCUCGGCUUUGCCCCAAAUUAAUCAAUAGUUUCCUUAACCAAAUAUCUUGGUUUGCAGCUGCUGCUGCAGAAAUAUACUCAGCUUCUACUGAGGAUUGAGCCACGACCUCUUGCUUUUUUGAAUUCCAUGAAAAAACUCCAUUACCAAACGAGAAAGCAUAACCAUAAGUGAUUUUGGAAUCAUCUAAACUUCCUACUCAGUUACUGUCUGCAUAUCCCUUAGAGUUCUUUACUUUCUUUCUUAACAAACCACAAACCAUAGUCAAAAGUACCUCUAAUGUACCCUAGAACUCUCUUAGCUACCCCAAAAUGAAUUUUACUUGGUGAGUGCAUAAACCUUGAGAGUAGGCUUGCUGAGAACAUUAAAUCUGGCCUUGUAGCAUAUAACUAGAGCAGACUACCUAUUAGGCUUCUGUAAACAAAGGCAUCUGCUUUGAUGUUAACUUCAUUCUUUGAUAAUUUCUCAUUCACAACCAAAGAAGUUGCUAGUGAUUUGGAUUCUCCUAUAUGAAACUUCUUCAAAACCUUCAGAGCAUACUUCUAUUGUGAGAUGAAGAUUCCAGCUUCACAUUAGUGAAUUUCCAUGCCUAAAAAAUAUUUCAUCUCACCCAAAUUGGACAUUUCAAACUCACUCUCCAUCUGUAGCAUGAAUUGCUUCAAGAUUUUUGAAUUACAACCUAUAACCAGUAGGUCAUCUACAUACAAAGAGACAAUAAGCUGAACUUCUUCUUGAACCUUCAACACAUAUAGAGUAGCUUCACUUUCACUUCUUUUAAAUCCUUGCUAUAGCAGAUAGGCAUCAAUUCUACUAUACCAAGCUCUUAGUGCUUGUUUCAAGCCAUAGAGAGCUUUGCAGAGCUUGUUAACUUUGUCUUCACAACCUAAAACUUGAAAUCCUUCCGGUUGCUCAACAUAAAUAUCUUCUUCAAGCACACCAUUUAGAAAGGUUGACUUCACAUUCAAGAUAAUGAAUUUUCCAUCCCAUCUUUGCUGCUAAAGCCACCAAAAGCCUUAUAGUAUCAUGCUUAGCCACUGGAGCAAAAAGUAUUUGAAAAAUCAACACCAUACUCUUGAGAAUAGCCCUUUACAACCAAUCUGGCCUUAAGUUUGUUUACAGAACCAUGUGAGUUAUAUUUGAUUCUAAAAACCCACUUAACUCCAAUUAUCUUUUGAUUUUUGGGCCUAUCAACCAGCUCCCAAGUUCCAUUUUUAUUUAUCAUUUUUAGCUCCUCCUCCAUUGCAAUUCUCCACCCAUUUUCUUUAGCUGCUUCAUCAUAACAUGUAGGCUCCUGUAAUGCUACAUCGCAUCUCUCAUAUAUUCAUCAAGUGACCUUGUUCCUCUUACUGGAACAUUAUCUAAGUUAUCAACACCAACUUCAUCUUCAAUUUCUUCUGGAAUUUGGGGUACGGUUACCCCAAUUUGAUCAACAUCUUCAACUUCUAUCUCAUUUUUCUCCCAGUUCCAUACUGCUGCUUCAUCAACUUUGAUGUCCCUGCUAAGCAUUACUUUUUUUAUUUUCAAAUUGAAAACUCUAUAGCCCUUGGAGGUUGAGCUAUAUCCCAAGAAGAUUCCCAUCUCAGCUUUGUAAUCCAACUUGUCUCUUUUCACAUCUAGCAUAUGAGUGUAACACAAACUCCCAAAUACUUUCAAGUGUUCCACAGCUGGUUUAACUCCAUACCAAGCCUCAAAUGGAGUUUUAUUCUUCACAGCUUUGGUUGAAGUCUGUUCAACAAAUACACAGUUGUGUUAACAGUUUUUGCCCAAAAACACUUGGGUUUUUUCUUUUCAAAUAGCAGACACUUUGUCAUAUCCAUUUGGCUCUAUUCUUUCUCUCACUCACUCCAUUUUGUUGAGAGGAGAAAGUGACAGUCAACUGAUGUACAAUUCCAGCUUCAACACAAAACUUGUCAAACUUGUCAGAUGUAUAUUUAGUCCCAUUAUCCGAUCUUAUUACCUUAAUGCUGAAAUUUGCUUGAUUUUCCACCAAGGCCUUGAAAUUCUGAAACACACCAGCCACUUCUGAUUUUUGCUUCAUAAAGAAAACCCAACACAUCUUUGUUUUAUCAUCUAUGAAUAAGAUGAAAUACCUACUUCCAUUCAAUGAGGGUGUUUUCAUUGGUCCACACACAUCAGUAUGGAUUAAUUGCAACCUUUUUUAAGCUCUCCAAGCCUUGUUUACAGGAAACGACAUUCUACUUUGUUUCCUAAAUUGACAGACUUGACACACAUUUUUUUCAUCACAAAUGACAGGGUAGGCCUUGUGUUAAGCCUUUCUUAUGCAAGUGUUUAAGUGUAGCAUAAUGGAAAUGGCCAAAUCUUUUGUGCCACAACACAGACUCAUCAACAAUAGUGGUAUAGGCAUGCUAAUUAGUUUCUUUCCACUUAAUUGGAAAGCUUUUGUCUCUCAUUUUUACAGUCAUCAACUUACAACCAACACUAUCAACAAUAGUGCAGGACAUAUUUUGAAAAUGCAAAGAAUAAUUCUUCUUUAGCAUUUGACCCACACUUAAUAAGCUUUGACUAAUUUUAGGCACAAACAACACAUCUGAGAUAUAUUUAAUACCUAUUGGAGUCUCAACAGCAACAACUCCCUUGCCCUUGACAUUAACCAAAUCUCCAUUUCCAAUCUUCACUUUCGACUUAUAUGAGUGAUCCAACUCCCUGAAAUAGCUCAAUUCAAGAGUCAUGUGGUUUGUACAACCACUGUCAAUAAGCCAAGUUUCUGUACAACUGCUUGUUGCAUGACUUGUAACAAUAAACAAUUGCUCCUAUUGCUACUGAUUUUCAGCCAUUUGUGCUUGUUUCCCUUACUGAUCAUUUUUAUUCUUGCAUACCUUCUCUACAUGACCAAAUUGCUUGCAUGAUCUGCAUUGCACACUUGGCCUAUACCAACAAAAAUUCUCUGAAUGACUCUACCUCUUGCAGUGAGGACAUGGAGGAUACCUCUUUUUGCCACCACUUUUUCUUCCUUGGCCCUCAUUCUUCUCUUUAUCUUUCUUCUCACCGAAUUGAUUUUUCUCUCUACCUUGAGAAGCUUUUCUUUUUGCUUUGCAAGAAAAGCCUCUUCAUUGUUAUCUUUCUGUCUCAUUGAUCUCCUUUGUUCUUGAGCUUGAGAAGCAUGAACAAGCUCAGCCAAGGAAAUUUUGGUUAAAUCCUUCGAGUCUUCAAGUGAAGAGAUCUUGGACUCAAAUCUUUCAAGCAAGCUCACUAGAACUUUCUCUACAACCCUUUGGUCUAUUAGAUCCUCACCAAGAAGUCGGAUUUUGUUAACAACUUCCAUGAGCCUGUCUAUAUAGUCUUUGAUGGACUCAUUGUCUUUCAUUCUCAAAACUUCAAAUUGCCUCUUCAGAUUCAGAAUCUGCAUUUGCCUAGUUCUAUCACUCCCCAAAUACAUCUCCUUGAGCUUGUCCCACACCUCUUUUGGUGUUUCUCAAGCCAUAAUCCUUGUGAAAAUUGGUUCUAAGACAAUAGCAUGGAUGUAAGAUAAAGCUCUUGGAGCAUUAGCUUCUUCUUCUUCAUGAGUCCUGAUUUGAUUGAGGGUUGGAUUGUUUCCCAAAGGUUGUAUUUGUCUUUCAAUUUCAACCCACUACCACAAACCAAGACCACUCAGGUAAGCUUUCAUCUUAACAACCCAAACUUGAUAGUUUUCACAAUUGAAAACUGGGGUUGAAAGAGUAGACGUAUUGCUGGAAACCAUGAGGGUUUUUAGAGGAAGCCUUGCUGGUGGUUUUUUGUCACUCACAGGUCCUAUUAAGAUUUUUUUUUGUCCUUUGAUACCAUGUGAACACACAAUUUCAUUCAUAUGCUGACAUAUAAAUAUUACAAUUUAAGGCACAUUACUAUUAAGUCAAUACCAAACCCAACUAACACAUCUAGCUUUUUCAAAAGCAAAUUCAACAAAAUACGGAUCUUCACACCUUUUCAACUAUUCUACUAUUAAAAAAGAUAUAAAAGAUUUCUUAAAGUAUCUAAAAAUUCUCAAAUUCUAACAGGUUCGUUGAGGAAGUUGCAGCACAUGGUUGGAACAUUGGGAGCUGUUAACCUCACCACUUCACUCAUUUUCAUACCCUAUUACUUGAUAUGUUGCUUGCCAAGUUUGCAUCAUGUGCUCCUCUAUCGCAAGAUCUACACAUGGCAUUGCUCACCAUUCAUUGGAUUUUAGUACUGUGGAUUGACCCCUUAAAACUAGUUUUCAGUUAUAAGAGCUCCUGGGGGAUGGGGACUAGAUAUGUAUGCAAUGGAUGUGUACAACAAAGGGGGAAAAAUAACAAAUUCCUCACUCAUUAUAAGCAACCUUAGGCUCAUGUUAGAUAUUCUUAGUUACAUUCAAUUUUAGCAAAAAUGACAAAGUAGGAAGAAAAUGAAAAUUAGGUUAUCUUGCCCAAUUUCUGGGGAUUAAAAGAAUCUAAUAUAGACACAGGUUAACACCCAACACUUGUACUCAAGUUCAUGUUGAAACAGAUUGACACCUAUUGACUGGGAGUAUCUUUGGGAUAGAUUGGCACCUAUAGACCAGGAGUAUCUCCACAUGUCCAAGCCUCCUGAUUAGUUUGUUCAUGAAGCUUUUAAACCAAAUCUCCGCAAAAAUAAGGAAAAUUUAGAAGAUUCUGGACAAUGCUACUUUUUUCCUUCUAGUUAAGAUGCUUAAAUAACUUAUACAAGGUGACCCACAAAGCAGAAAAAGAUAUGAUUAUUGACUAGAAACUGUUCUUGAAUCACAAAAUUCAAACUAGAAAAAAGAAUAAAUCUUAAUGUAUUCUUUGUUUGAAUGGGUUGGAAGAUCCUUAGGAGGUGGAAGUGUUUUUCGAUAUAUCUAAUUGAUGUUUUUAAUAGUACUUCAAUCGUAAAGAGUCUCUUUUCCCCUCUACCUUUGGGCACUUAUUGUAUAAAAUUUUACUCGUCAAGGGGGAAAAAAUAAUCUCAACCAGGGCUUGCUUAUAAUUCAUUUUCUAACUAUAAAACACUUAAUACCAUGAGAGUCUUGACCGGAUAGUAUUUGAGGGAACAAUUACACAUAUGGACAAUAGAUCUUAACCAGACUUGGUUGCUCUUUGUUGGAGGUAUGGGCUGAUCAGAUUGGUGAAAAAAAACAAGUUGGGGUCUCAUGAGCUGGUUAAUUGUACUGUGUUGAGGUUUGGUUUUGGAUGAGAAUUGGGUUGGUUUGGGAAAUUAUCAGGCCAAAUAUUGAUUCUUAGUGGCAUAGUGGUAGUGAUCGUGGCAGUGGUGGUAGUAGUCGUGAGAUAGUUGUCCCCUCUCAUACUUAACUAUGAGGCUUUGAGAAUAACACCAUUCACAUGUUUUGAAACCUAAGAUAGUAGGAUUUUAAACCCUACCACCUGCAAAAUGUUCCAAACAAGGCAAUUUUGUUUUUCCUAAGAAAAAAGACUUCUCAAAUUCUAUUUUAACAUGAGAUGUUUCUCCAACUUUAUAAUCCAAGUGGACUUGAAGGGUCAAAAUCACUUAUUUAUUUCCACCUUACUAGAAGAACAUUUCUAAUCUUUAAAAUGGAUCUUUCUUUUGUUACUGUUUGGAACAUUAUGUUAGAUAACAUGAGAAAAAAAACCUCAAAAAGGUGUCCUGCAUGUUGGUUUUGGUGUAUUUGGGAGAAGGGAAAACCCAAAAUUUGAAGAAUAUGGAGCUACCCAUUUUUAACUUGAAAAGUUAACCAACCAAAUAGUAUUUCCUUUGGAGGUUCUGCAAGGGAGUAUAGCCUUCUCAAUAAUUCUUUUGAGUUCUUAAAUGAGAUAAGAUGUUGGACUUUCCACCCUUAUUUUUCUUGUUUGCUCAUGUAUGUGUUUUUUAACAAUAAAAUUCUCUUAUUUACAAAUUGGAGAAAAAAAAUGAUAUGUCAUGCUCUAAAACCCACUCCAAGGGCAUGACAGUCAUUUUACACCUUAAACUCGAAGGCUCAAAGUGAAAACAACACAAACUUUCAUCUUGUAAAUAGAAAUUACCAAUUACCAAAUUGUUGUUCAGAGUAGUAAAAUAAAUCAAUUCUAAAAUCUCCAGAUACCAAUAUAUAAAAACUAACACAUCAACCCAAGUGUUAUUGUCCAAAUAACUUCAAACUCAAAUAAUUCAAACGGAAAAUAAAUUUGAACAUUUAAACAAUGUUCAAAAUAAAAAGAGUUUUAACAAAUGUCCUAACAAGUCAAUUUCCCCUCCUAAUCGUCACUCCUCGUUCGAAUUGAGGGUACCUGGAAAAUUAUUAACAAAAGAGGAUGGGCUCAAAGCCUAAUAAGGAACAUUAAUACAGUUUCAUGGAUCAAACAUUUUCAAUUAUAUUUACAAAUAAAAUAUAUAACAUAUACUCUUUUUAUGAAACUUUUGAGUUAAACAUGCUAAUACAUUUAAACUGUUCAACCAAACAUUUUCAUAUAUAUCAAAAUCAUUUUACAUCCAUUUCAAAUAAAAAAUAUUUCAAUUGUUUUAACUCUAGUUAUCAAAUAACAAAUAGUGCCUAGUUAAGUGGGACUUACAAAUGGGUGGCUAGCCUUAAUUGUUCCUUUUAAGGUGGAUGAAACCAAACAUUACUAAUACUAGUAACCUCUAACCAAACCCCUAGAAGUUGGGGUCCAAAUCAAUUACAUUCCCCACCACGAAAGUAUAAAAGUCAAUUAUUAUAUCCCGUUGACAAGAAUCAAAAAGUCAACUAUUAUAUCCUGUUAACAAGGGUCAAACAAACCAUAGUCAAAUUCCUUGUUUUAUUUAUUCAAACUUACGAAAGCAUAAUAUCUCCGUAUGUUCUAUUAUAAACAAAAGAAACGUUCUAAUAUAUUUUUCAUGUAAAAUUUUUUAAAAUAAACUAACCCUAACCUAAAUCGAAAUCUUCCAGAGAAUCCUUUUAUUAUUAUUAUUAUUAUUAUUAUUCAUUUAAAAACUUAAGAUUUUCCAAUUUCCAAUAAUAAAUCAAUCCAUAUUCUUAAAUUUCCAAUAUUUUGAUCUUAAAAAAUUUAAAUAAACUAACCCUAAUCUAAAUUGAAAUUUUCUAAAGAAUAUCUAAUGUGUUCAAAACUAACUAACAAAUAUAAUAUAUUAAUCUAGGGUUAGAAUCUUACCUGAAAAAUUCUGAACUUCAAACUCUAGACCUCCAAACCUUUAGCCCUACGUUCUCUAAUUCUUUGAUUUUUGGUUAAUAGGGUUUUUUGAAUAGAGAAGACAAGAGGGAAAUCUAAUUUACACCUAUGAUUAUUAAUUGUAAAAGGACUCUUUUACCCUUAAUGAGUUUAAUUAAUUAAUUAAUUAACUUGUAAUUUAUUGUUUUGCCCCUAAAGUUAAUUUUGGGGUGUUACAUGAUAUCUCUAGUAACUCCAUAAAACUCUAUAAAUAGCCCUAAGAGGUAACCAAUUGGAAGGAUCAAGAAUUUGAUCUCUAAAUUAGUUCUUUACAUCUCAAAAGUCCAUCAUCUUUGUUUUCUAUAUUGAGACCCUUCAAAGGGUUACUGUCAUUCUUCCCAACCACAUCUUCCCUGUCAUUUCCAAUCUACUCCUAUAACUAAGAUCGCUCUAUAAGCAUCCAUUUCUUAGGCUUUUGGUGUUUAAUGACUCUUUCCCUUCUUUCCCUCUCAAUUUCCUUUUACAUAAACUUUUAAUUUAAUUCAUUAUGAUCUUUUAUAAUUUCAUUGCUCAAAAGGGAAAUAAAUGUGCAAAUUUGGAGUUUGUUCAAUUUAAUAGUUUAGGACACAAAAAUGCCAAAUUUAGCAUAGUGAUUCAAACGAUGAUCACUAUGGUAUUACAUGUAUUGUGACCUUAGGCCAAAUAAACCUAUCUUAUGUUACUAUUAACCUGUCAAGCUUGGAUUCUUUAGCUUUGGUGAAUUUGAAUUUUGAUUGUCUUCCUUGGAAUUUGGAUAAAUAGAAAGUAAAAGUGUCUGUAGAGAUGACCUCGGGGAACAUAGAAUUCAUAUAAAAGAAGCUAGUGCUCUAGAUUUUAUAUGUUAUUUCAGGCAAUUUCAUUAAUGUCAUACUCUCAAUUUACCAAUUCACAAAAAUAAAUAAAUAAAAUAACACCACACAAUGUGUGAUUACUAAUGAUUUUUUUUUUUUUUUUACUUUUUCUUUUGAGUAUCAAUCAUGCUUAUUUUGAGGGUAUGAUUGCUUAGGAAAUUGUGUGAUUGCCAAAAUGCCUUUGUAUGAUUUGUAACGACCCGUACUCAACUGUGUAGAUAUUGUUUGCUUUGGGCCCAAAGGAACCUCAUGACUUUAAAAUGUGUCUACAAGGUUAAGGGGCCCAUACUUAUAAGGCUAAGAACUCUCUCCCCUAUCCAAUGUAGGACAUCACAAACCCCCCUAUUCAGAUACAACUUCCUUGUUGUGUCUCAUGGGAUUACGGGGCCAAACAAAAAAACACCCCUCAUUAGGCCAAACAAACAAACACUCCUCAUAAGGCCAAACAACCCCCACACCGAGAUCAAGGGUCAACUUUAAUACCAUUUGUAACAACUCGCGCCUAACCAUGUGAAUAUUGUCCGCUUUGGGCCCAAAGGUGGCCUCACUGCUUUAAAAUGUGUCUACUUAGUUAAGAGGAAUCCAUGCAUAUAUAACCUCAGUAACUUUCUCUCAUAUCCAAUGUGGCUACUUAUAUGGCUAUAAAAUUAGCAACUUGGCACUAUUGAGAGUAAUGUAACUCAUAACAAUGGAAAUGAUUAUGUGUACCUUAGAACAUUAUAUGAUACAGAAUCUAAACAUUGUAUGAUCAGUUGAUAAUAAAGAAAGGUGCUCGACUUCAGGGAAGAAGCAGAGGAACAAGGUAUAUGAAAUGUGAGGGUAGUACUUGCACAUGUAAAGUGUGAUUAUCCCUUUAAGAUGUUGCACAAUUUUAGCACUUAGCAGAAGUAGAGAUAGUGCUCUCUCUUUGAUUAAUCUCCAUGCCAAAAGCAUCCUAUAUAAGUGCCACAAUAUAAGUAACACCAUAUGAGUAACAUAUACAAUGUCUUUAAUUGUCAUUGGUCAUUGUAAGACAUCAAUUGCUUUGACUAUCCCUUGCUACAAAAUACCAUGAGCAUUCAAAUGUCCCUCAGUUGUUGGCAUGCCCAAAACCCAACAUUUGAUAGGAAGCCCUUUUAACUUGUCAAUUUGAACGAAAGUUAGUGGUUGACACGAAGCCUUUAACUUCCAGCAUGUCUAUUGUACAAUGUAUGAGAGGAAAACCUUCAACUUUUGAAGUGUUUCAUAGUGUAGUGUGUGAUAGGUAGACCUUUAAUUAUCAGCAUUCUCUAAGUUUGUGAUAUGAGAAUAUGUCAACCACUUUUAACAUCUUAUAGAAAGUAGCCAUGCUUUUAAGACCAUUCAAGGUGGUUGCAGUAUGCUUUUGUUGACCUAUGAGACUUGUGAAAUAUCUCCAAGGGUGCAAAGACAGGCAUGAUCAAAGUUAGAGGAAGGUACAUGGAACCAAGUGGUCAAGAAAAGCAGCACAAGGUUCUAGUGAUGGAACCUUGAUAAGGACAACCAGAGGAUUGGACAUCCUAUGUAGUUGCCCUAAGGACCACUUUGAUUGUUUUGAAUGAUUUCAAACCAGACAUGAUCCUUUGAUCUAUCUUCUCAUGCAUGUAUUGCUAUCCUUUGGAAUUGUCAAUUCCAUGUUGUCUGUUGUGAUAAAAUCUUAGGUCCAGGGUUUAGCCAAGAAGGAGAUGGGAUAGGGAAAUACUAAAGAGGAAAGAACAUGGAACUUCUAUUUUUUUUUUGGCUGGUGAUGCAUGUGAUAUGUGAUGGUAUGAUAAAGUCUUGUACAAAAACAUUUCUUUUUUUUUUUGACAAAUUCUUUAUAUUUUAACCUUUCUUAUACUACACAUACUUUAUCGGUGUGUAUUUUAGACUUUGCAUGGACAUAAAGCAGGAGAAAAAUUUUCAGGUCACUAAAGCUUAUGGAUUCAUAGUCAGGGGAAAGCUAGAAAUUUAAUUCAGAGGCACCCUUUUGAGAAUAUACGAAUAGAAAAAUGAAAGAAUUAAUAAUAAUACAAAAGGUUGAUUAUGCUUAUACUCAAUAAUUUAUCAUUAAUGGGAUUUAAUGAUUUAUCUAUUUAUCUCCAUUCAGGUAUCUAAUUAAUUUUAAAUAUAUAUUAUUAUUUUUUUUGAAAUCUUAUAUAAAAAAUUUAAAGAAUAUAAAUUAUUUCUUUUAUUAAAAAAUAGAUAAAUAGCAUCCACAUUAAGUUAAUAUAGAAUUGCUUUGGGAACUAUUCUUAUUUUUUAAUUUUUUUUUUUCCUUUUUUGUAAUCUUUUUUAGAAUAUUGGAAUAGAAAGCAUUGAUUUGAGAUUCAUCUAAGUAUUAUAAUUACUUAUAUUAAUCAAAUAGCAUAUGUCCCAGCUUAGUGGUAGAGCAUUUUAUAUGGAUACACAAUCGAACCCCAGUUUGUAUCAAAUUUUUUCAACUUGUCCUAGCUUAGUGCAUUUUUGCUUCCAGGUGGUGUGCGAAAGGAUGAAAAACUUCUGCCAUUUAUUGGGCUAGUGAUAGAUGAAUUGAAGGUUCCUAUGCAAAUUGACUAGUAAUAUGUUUAAAUGCUUUAGAAUUGUGUGAAGAAGUAUUAUAGGUAUUUGUAAUCACUACAAUCUAGUUUAUAUGAGCAUUGGCAUGGACUUAGUAAGCUCUACUACCAUUUAUUACUCAUUUUGGUGUUAAUAUUUUCUUUUCCUUUCAGUAGCCUUCUAGGUUGUCUUAGGGCUGAUGACCUCCUGUUUAUUCUUGUAUUUUGGAGUUCUUGUAUGUCAGUAGCUACACCUUCUCAAUAUCACUAUUGGAUUUAUUGUUUUUAUCAAUUCCGUCCUUCCAAAUAGAAUGAUUCCUUCCUUCAUGCCCUAUUCUUUGUGCCUGCAAGUUAAGCAAAUUGCUACGUUGUUGUUGCUUCUCUUAAAGGCCCUUGAUCGGUAACAAAGCAUGAUAUAGAACUACCUGUGAAACUUGGUCCAAAUUAUGACUGAAAAGAAAAUGUGUAGGAAGAGUAAGAAGAAACUGAUUUUUUUUCCCUUUCCCUCCCUUCCCCAUCCACAAACAACCCCUUUUUUCCUUCUUUUUUUUUUUUUUAAAGAUAGCUAAGAGUAAGAUGAAACUGAUAUUGGAACAUAAUAAAGAUUCUUUCAAUCAAUUAAAUAACAAAAUCUAUAAGCACAUUUAUUUUAUAGGAUCUUAGUGAAUGAGUUCAGGUUUUAAAUCCUACUGAUCACAAUGCUAAGUUGCAAGGUUUUUUUCUUUUUCUUUUUUUAAUAUUUCAUUGCAUUAACAUAUUAAGAACAAAGAAGGAUGAGAAAUUCUUCAUUACACAAUUCUCUAUACAAAGUUUCAUCAAGAAGGUGGAUUUGUAUAUACCGAUUCAAUAAGUCAAAUCUAGCUAUAAUUCAUGAGGUAUAAAAUCUCCUACAAAAGAAAACAUAUGUCUAACUCCAUGUUUUGAUAACUUAUUUGCUGCAUGAUUGCCUAAGCGAGGAACCUGAGGGGUACAUCUUAACUCUGAAGAAAUAUCAAUAAUUUGGCAUAACCACCCAUGAAACUUCCAGAAUCCUCUUCUUUACCGUAAUACGACAAUAGUAGAAUCACCUUUUGAAAGGGCUAGAAUUUUUGCCUUAAUGGCUAAUCUUGACCUGCAUGGUUAGAGGUACUCUUAACACUUUGCGAAAGUGAUCCCUAAGUAACCUUUUUGUUCCUAACUACCUUGGGUUGCCCAAAGAACAUCUAUCAAAAUGAAAUAGAGCAAAACCCAUUGAAGAUGGUAGUCAUUGAAAAAGUGUCUCCUUAGUCAACCUUGUGGUUCUGCAAACUAGGUUCCAAUCUAGUAGAAUAAAGCUUAAAAAACCUUCAUUGGUGGAAGCCCACAAGGAAUAAGAGAAGUAAAAUAAGUUCUUAAUUGUUUCUCGAGACCUCUACCUAUCCUUAAAAAUUCUUGCACUCCUCUCUUGCAGUGUAGUCCAAAUCAAAGUGAGGUUAGCAACGCGCCAAAGAUUCCUACCUCAAGGAAGUCCUCCAAAACCUUUGAAGAAUAUAAUCAGCAUUGCCUCUGCCUGUUCAGGUGGAGCCCAAUCAAUUCCUACAAGUAGAAACAUUCUACAUCAUAAUGUCAAUGCUACAGGGCAAUGUAAUAGAAAAAUGAUCUAGAGACUCCCUACUCAUACACACCAUUCAAAGCUAAGUGCUUUGUAUGGUCUUCUCCAUUGGAGCAAGUCAUUAGUAUUGUCCUUCUUAUUUGUCGCAAGUCAUGCAAAGGUGAAGACUUUUGGUGAGACUUUGAAUUUCCAAAUGACAUUUGCAGGAAUAAAAGAGACUACAUUGAUAAAAAUAGAGAUAACCUUAAAGAGGGAACUAACUGAGAACUAUCCUAAAGAUGUCAAAGACCAAACUUUCCAAUUAGGAAAAGUGGGUGACAAAUAGACAUGGGCAAAAGAAAACAUUAGACGAGCUAGUUCCUCAAUAUCUUGUUUUCCACUACUUUUAGCCCAGGAUAUUUUGACCAGAUGGAUUUCUAGGUUAUCCACUAAAUAGAACCUACAAAUUUAAUCCUAGUGCCUCUUAUGAGAAUUAUGUUAUAAGGAAGUUCCUGAAAAGUAUUUUGGUUGCACUUUUUACUGCAAAGUAGAAUCCUUGAAAAGAAAUUCUCAUUAGCCUAAGUGCAGUUGUCCAAGCCUGUGCAUGUUUGUUGUAAGCCUGAGCUAUCAUUUCAAUGUUUCAAUUGAUUACAAUAUAAAAUUUUCUUGGAAAGCUUUACUAGUCCAAUAGUCUUCUCAUGUUUAAUGGUGUAGCCUCACUUAUCUUGGGAAUGUUCAUUUUUAAGAUAAUUUAUUACUAUGUGUAUUUGAGUUCGUCAUAAUGGAUAUGCACCCAAUGCAUGGUAAGUGAUAACCAGUUGCAUCCAUGGAUAAAUAUUAGUGCAUCUAUAGUAAUGAUGACAAUCAAGAACCUAGUUGUGGGGUUGUCUCUUUGAUGAGGAUGAAUCUCCAAGAUAUACAUCAAGAAAAUGAAUUAGUAUCAGUUGCAAUUAAAGUAUGAUUAAUAUUACUUCGACUUAAAUUAGGAUUAGCAUUUGUUGGAAUUAAAUUAAGAGUAGCUAAUUAGGUUAUUGGAGAAUAAGAAUUAUAGUCAUAAUGGGUUAUUAGAAUCCUAGUAGACUUGGAUUUAUUAGAGAAGCCUAUAAUUAAGGUUAAUUGAUGUAAAUCAAAGUAAUGGAUUGAUGAUUAAUAAUACCAUGUUUUCUAGCAUACUUUGCAAUUUUCAUUGGUGAGACUCUAUUGAUUUUCUUCUACAUGAGGCUGUUAGAAAGUCUUAGUGAGACUUUAAGGUUUCUAUUCCUUCUUCUUCUUAUCUUCUUUCUCUAUAUUUUUUAUUUUAUCUUUCUCUACCAUCAACUUUAUCCCUCGUUCCUCUCCUUAAAUCCUAAAAAAAUGAAAAACCCUAGCCCACCUAUUUGAGUGUAGGUAAGCAUCCUAGGGUUGUCCUACAUCACUCUUCCCCCCCACCCCCCACCUUUUUUUUUUUCAUCUGUGUUUGUGGUGGGGGUAUCGUUGAGGAAUGUUUUCUUUCUACAACCUAAGGAGAAGCUCUUCAAAUCUGGAUUAUCUGUCCUGGAUUUUCCUCUUAGGAAGCUAGGCUCAUAUUGGCCUAAUCAUAAAAAAUUUUACUUGACCAAACUGAAUAAGUUGGUUCUCCAUUGAAUCAUACACAACUUGUUUAAAGGAUCAGAGUCUCAUCAUCUGUUCAUUUUUUUAGAAUCUAUACCACUUAAUCUAAUAUAAAUAUACUGAAAAAUAUUUUUUCUAGGUAUUUUUUAUUUCUUUGUGUGCUAGAAUAUAACUAUGUUCUUGUUUAUAAAUGUCUGUGUAGGUUGCAUCAGAGAAAGGACUUUUCACUAUUGUCAUAAAUCUGCAAGUAAGUUUCUUUUCUCCAUAACAUUUUAGUUUUUAACUAGGUGCUUCUGCAUGCUGGAAGAGGAGUAAAAGUUGUAAUCUUACAGGUACCCGGUUCAACACACUACAGUAUGAUAUUUUAUUUUGUAACUAAGGAAUUAGUAACUGGAUCCCUGUUGCGACGAUUUGUUGAUGGUUAUGAUGAGUUCCGAAAUAGCAGGCUGAAGCUCAUCCCAUCAGUUCCCAAGGUACUUUCUACAUUUUCCAGUUUUUGAAGGAUGCUCAAAUAGAAUGUCAGGACUGUUGCAGGCAGUCCUCACUCCUGCUUGCGGUGCUCAAUAAUUUAUAUUUGGAUGAUCAUGCUGAUUACUUCUUAGCAGAUCUUUUAUGCCUCAGAAGUAUAGAAUUAAGCUAAGAUGCCACACAUGUGCAUUUGCACUUCUUUCAUAAUGUGGUUUGGGUGGAUAAUAAAUUGGUUAGCAAGCAUGUAAAGUCAUGCUUGAAGUUGCAGUGGUAAUCAGGUUUUGUCAUAUUAAUUUACUUCUUUAUUAUUACUAUUAUUUUUGUUCAACUGGAUCCAUGCAUACUUCAAUAGAUUAAAUGCUUAAUUGCUUCCAUAAAUUAUUUAAAUAACUAACUGCAGGUUGUUAAGUCUAAUUUACACUCUCCUUGUGGACCAUAAAUUAUUUAAAUACUUCAAUAGAUCCAUGCAUAUGUGCCAGAUGUUCUGAUUUGAUACAUUGGAUUCUCAUUGAACUGCGCCAAGUGUCCUACAUUACAUCACCAUAUCCAAAUUUUGUAUUAGCAUGUGACAAUUUGCUUCAUGUGCUAAGAUGCAACGAGUGUUGAUCCAUUGGUUAGAUGCUAUUAUUGAUUACUUGAAAUUGGUUCAAGGAUCUUGAUUUGGUUAUAGAGUUGGACGCUCCUCGAGAGUAAUGGACUAUGCACGAAUUAUGCCCAUUCCAACUGAAUUGAGAGAGGGGAGCACCACGUCCAAGGGGUAUGUCACCAUUUAUGUUUGAUGCACUAUAUGUGAGGUUGACCUGUUUCUGUGACAAACCUAGUCAUGGCCCUUGAUUCAAUAUACCCAGGAGAUUUUUGAUUGGUUUAGCAUGUUCUUGUGGUUAGCAUGGGCCUCCCAAGUCAAUAACUAUCAAAGACCUCUCAUUGGUUAAGUCUAUGAAUAUGGGCUCUUAAAUAAGGUGUAGACUACAUGAUAUACAUCAUGUGCUCAAAUCUUACAAGUUUAAAUUUUUAGGAUAAUUAAUUCACCAAUAUUCUAUCAGAGUCUCAUUUGGUGGGAGGUCAUGUCUUUGAACCUCAUGACAUAUUUAUUUCCUUAAUUUAUUAAGCCUAAAUGAGGCUAUUUAAUUCUUCAGUUUAUUAAGCUCACACGUACGCCCGGAGUGUAAGCCUAAUGGAGGCUACACUUAAAGGAGGGUGUUAAGAGUGCAUGAUAUACACAUACAUUGUGGGCCUACUACAACCUUAUGCUUUUAGGAUAAUUGGUUGUUCAACAUAAAGGGUUGUAGAUGGCUCAUUGAAGAAGGAUUUUUGUUUAUCCAAAGAGUACUCUUCACCCAUCUUGAGUCCUUGAGAUUUCCUGUACGAGCUUAAGCCGUCCUUGGGGCACUAUCAUCUUUCUCCAUCUGCUCUCUUUUUAGCCCUUUUUGAUCUCCUCUCAAACGUUUUAUAACUCACCAUUUCCAUCGUUACUUAGGACCUAUCAUAAUGAUGCAAUAUAUUUAUUUUAGUUAAACUAACUUUGCUUCCUCAAGCAUUUCUUGGUUUUGCUUGGGUGGGUUAGUAAAUAUUUGAACCCAGCCCAAAUUCACCAUCCGGACCUUAAACAUUCCCAAGUUUCAGUACAAACUAUUACGUCAUUGAACUGAACCUGUCCUAUCUAUGGAUUUUCAUGUUGACUCAACAUAGUUCACAGCCUUAGGAUGCAUUAGUGGCUGGUAUCCAAUGGGUUUCUUGAUGGCCCUUAAAAACAUGCCAUCUCAUUUUCAUGAAACCUUAUAUUGAUGUGGGCAGUUUUUUCUCUUCAUCCUCACUAGAAUAUUAUUCCAAUUCUGUUUUCUGCUUCUUUGUGCUCUUUGACAUCUCUAUCUUCUGGGCUUGUUCUUUCUAUACUGUUUCAUGCAGGCUCCAUGGAUGGUGCGCCGGAUUGUUGGAAGCACCCCUCAUUUCCUAGGAAAAGUAGUUGAUUGCAAUUAUAUCCGUGGUCCAAAGUACUUGGAGGUAAAGGCCCUUCUCAAUUCUAUAGUAUAUGAUUUUACCUUCAGAAAAAUUCUGAAAUUCACUCAGGAAUACUGUAGUUUAACAUCACUCAAUUUUCUGUAGAUUGAUGUUGAUUUUGGUUCUUCAACUGUUGUUGAUGGAGCUUUGGCCUUUGUAAAUGGUGCAAUUCCUAACUUGGUUGUUGACAUGGCUUUCCUUGUACAGGUAUGUUCUCUUUAUUAAUCCUGACCAUCUUAACUGAGUGUUGAUCAGGACUUCCUACAUAAGUUGUUGAUUAUAUUCAAUGACAUAAGCAAGGAUUCACUUACAGGAGAGCUAAUCAUGUACUGACUGUCUAAUUAGAGAUGACAAAGUCUAAACCUGCCAAGUUGUUGCACAAGCCCUGGAACCUGCUUAUAUUAUUUUAAACCAAUAACUAUAUAUAUUUUAUCUGAUUCAAGAAACUUUUUAAUUUGGAUAACUUACAGGAAUGUCAGUGUUUUUAUAGUACUAAAAUCAUCACCAUGUACCAACUUGGUGAGUUACAGAGAAACUUUUAUGGGAAGGGAUGGGGAGGCAAGAAAGACCCACUUGGUUAAAUAUGAGGUGGUCUGUUUGUUGAAAGUGGAGGGAUGAGUAGAACAUUGUUAGGAAAUAGCUUUGAAGAUUUGGGGGAAGAAAAGGUUAGUGAAUGAAAUUAGUGUUAAGGAAAUUCGAGGGAAGGAGUUUUGGUGUUCACGAGAGGUAGGAGAUUUGUUGGGAUAGGGUUGUGGAAGGUGUGAGAAAGGGGUUUGUGUGGUUUUGCUCAGUUGUUGUUAUGGCAUGAUCAUGCAUCAGGGAAGACACUGUUGAAGGAGUGAUCUCCUAAUCUGUUCAGAGUUACAGUUAAGUAGAGAAGUGGAAAAAUACUGAUUCUUAGGUUGGAGAGGAGUGGGAGAAACUGCAGUCCAAGCUUUAUCAGGGUUCUUCCCAACUGGGAAAUAUUGAAGUGAUCUGUAGUAUGGUGGGGUGGAAAACUGGGGCUGAGGUGAUGCAAUUGAGUGGAAUCUUACUGCAGAUAAAAGUAGGAUAUCUGCUGAAUCACUUUUAUCAAAGCUAAGGAUGAAUUGGGGUACAGUUGAUGCAAUUGAGUGGAACCUGACUUCGAAUAAAAUAAUUUUUUGGUAAAUCACUUCUUGUGGCGAUAGGGAAUAGGAAAUGUUGACUAUCCAGGAGAUUUGGGGUUUUUUGGCACAUGCGACAGUGGCACUCUUCAUGAGUACAGCAGUUUGGAAAAUGAUGUUUACCAUGCCCGCUGGUGAGCAGGGGAAGAAUCAUUGCUAAUCAGUGUUGUAUGUUAAGAAGGAUGGCGACUGUAUUCAUCUCUUUCUCUGGCACAGAGGCUUGAGACUUAUGAUUUGCAAUCUUGAUCCUUUUUGGAAGUUUCAGGUGCUCCCCACAACUUAUGAGCAAGGAGCAGUCCAAUCGGCAUUAUGAGUUUGUAGUGAGGAUAGGAGGAAAGGUGGAAGACUUCACAUUAUAGUUGGUUUAGUGCUUAUGGAAGGAGCAUUGUGAAAGGACUUGUAAAGGCAUUGAAACUCCAGUCUAGAUUACAUGUAGCUUGUGUAGGGGGACCCCUCCCCCUGAGGCCGCGUGACACACAUUUCUUGGUGACACGUGGUACGUAUUCUCAUCCGGAUUACCCAAUCCGGAUUUCCCCAAGAGUACACAUGGCGCGCUUCUCCUAUCCGGACUUCCUCAGAGAGAAGUACACGACACUCGCAAAUAUCACAUCCGGACGACCGACAUAUCCUAUCCGGAUAUGUUUGUCCGGAUCAUUGACUGAGUAAGCAAAUCUUGCACGUUAUUAUAACAGCCUGCCAUGGCCUACAUUCCGCCACCUGCAGAGUGAAGGGAUAGGAAUGAAGUGACAACAAGUCACUUCCCAUGAUCUCUGACAGCCGCGGCGCCUCCCACGAUCUCUGUCAGCCACCCUAUGAGUGAUGAUGGCCCUGCCACCACCUAGGGGCAUCAUGACAAGCCAAAAUAUCUCCUUACCAUUAAAGAGGGAAACAAAGCUUCUGGUACUUAUAUAUAUGAACCUUCACACAAAGAGGAAGGUAAGCCUACUAUACCUAGUAAAAGGCCAACUAAUUUAUCUCUCCUAUCAUGGCUGACAAAACCAUCGGAGGGUGCGUCCAGACGCCUUUUGCAAGUACGAUUGAAUCAAGAACCUAUAUUGGUUAAGAUCGUGCGUCCAUCCAUUUGGCAGCUACGUGGAUCGCCAGGGACGCGAGGCCUCAACAUUGGCGCCGUCUGUGGGAAAAUUCGUUGAUUCAGUCACCGACGAAGAUGGCCACACCUUCCCAAAGUCGUUCAUCUGGUAAGGGAGAAGAAGAUAAUUAUGAAUGGCGCCAAGCCAUCGAAAGAAGACAGUUGGCAAGCGAACGACAACUGAAAGCUCUCCUUCAGGAGACAGAAAGAUUAAGAGAAGAAAACGCUGUACUACGCAUCCAGGCUUCAACAUCGGGGCCUCCUCAUCGUCAGCAUUCAAGAGGCCAUGUAGCAAACUCAAGGCCAGAACCAGAGUCAAUAUAUCCUGGGACAGCGGGAGCUAUCCCAGGAACAUACAACGUGAGGCCCCAUGAGCCACACACGCCCAUGCCUCAAGCUCCCCGUGAGGAAAGCUCGGACUCCACUCAUUUUUCAACAAAAAGGCAACGCGAUAGAAAAUCCCAGUUGUAAAAUUCAAUGCGCGCGAGACUAGGCCCACAAGAGCCUGGGAGACCAAGGCUACCAACAGCCACAACCUGGGCAAUGCGCCCUGACCCUAUGGUCACCCCCAUGGUACAGAACGUGCUCCUGCACCGUGACCCUAUGGUCACCCCCAUGGUGCGGAACGUUCACUCGCACCUAGCGGCACAACAAGAUGGGAGAAACCUCCUAAAUGGGCCACCUGUUGGCUCCAUCAACAAAAGACUAGACGACAUGCUCUCCACGCCUUUCUGCUAUCAUAUCAUUCAUUACGAGCCCCCAAGGGGAUUCCUCGUACCCAAAUUCUCCACAUACGAUGGGUCCAGCGACCCCUUCGAUCAUAUCAUGCAUUAUCGACAGCUCAUGACUCUCGAUAUGGGCAACGACGCGUUGCUAUGCAAAAUAUUUCCCGCCAGCCUACAAGGGCAGGCCCUCUCAUGGUUUCAUCGCCUACCUCCCAACUCUGUUGACAAUUUCAGGGAAUUAUCGAAGGCUUUCGUGGGACAAUACUUAUGCUCCGUUUGACAUAAACAGAACAUCAGCACUCUGCAAAACAUAAAAAUGCAAGAUAACGAAUCCUUAAGGGAGUUCGUGAAACAGUUUGGUCAAGUCGUACUUCAAGUAAAGGCUUAUAGUAUGGAUGCUAUCCUGCAGAUCUUCAAGCGAGGCAUCUGUCCAGGCACUCCAUUUUUCGAAUCACUCGCUAAAAAGCCUCCAACAACGAUGGACGACUUGUUCAGACGUGCAAACAAAUACUCAAUGCUCGAAGAUGACGUACGAGCAGCCACCCAGCAAGUCUUGGUUGCUGGACAGGCAUCUAGAAGUGGCGCGGAUAGAAAUGCCAAACUUCCGAACAGGCCAAGGCCGUUCGAUCAAAGGUAGGAAGGGCCAGGUCGCCCGGAAAGACCGCCCCUCACGCCUCUCUCCAUAUCAUAUGAGAAACUUCUCCCUAUGAUCCAAGGCAUGUCCGACUUCAGGUGGCCUAGACCCCUCGAAACGGACCCAUCCAAAAGAGAUCAUAGCAAAAAAUGUGUCUUCCACAAGGAGCAUGGUCACACAACUGAAGAAUGCAGGUGCCUCCAUUAUUUGGUCGAAAGGCUCAUAAGAGUAGGACACUUGAAGCAAUACCUCCGCUCAGAUGCUGGAGGUAAAAACGCUUCUCAAAACCACAACACUGGAGCCCCCAGGGCCCCAACCGCCCCCAAAGCCGUUAUAAACUAUAUUAACGGAGGCCCAUCUGACGAGGAGUAUGACUCCAAACGAAAAAGACAAAAGUUGUUGCGGGCCGCAUCGGUACAUGAACGUAUCAACUCCAUCCGGCCUGGGAUAUCUGGAGGGGGCCCCCGCCCCAUAGAUGGGACAAUCAUUUUUCCACCAGUAGACUCCACUCGGAUAUUGCAUCCGCACCGCGACGCCCUCAUCCUGUCCCUAGAGAUAGGAGACUUCGACGUGAGGCGCAUCCUGGUCGACCCAGGCAGCUCAGCCGAUCUUAUACAAGCAUCGGUCAUUAGCCACAUGGGACACAGUCUCACAGGCCUCGAAAACCCUGUGCGAAUCCUAUCCGGAUUCAACGGGUCAUCAACUACGUCAUUGGGAGACAUUGUACUGUUGGUCCAAGUUGGCCCAGUCACUCUCAACGUACGAUUUUCGGUGGUACAAGAUUUAUCACCCUUCAAUGUCAUAUUGGGGCGCACAUGGCUACACUACAUGAAAGGCAUCCCCUCUACAUAUCACCAAAUGGUAAGUUUCCUUACCAAAGAUGGGCAAAUUGAUCUAUAUGGCAGCCAGUUAGCUGCUCGCCAAUGCUACCAGAUAGCACGAGAAGCAGGGACUAGCCAGGAGGAUGCAUCCCUUCCUCAGUCCAGCCUUGCACGUAGCCAAUAGCAAUUAUUGGGUCCGGCGGACAAAGAUCCCCCGGCAGCGGAUCCCUUGCAAACAAUCCAAAUUUCAGAAGAAGGUACUCACCUUACGAAUAUCAGUUCCCUCCUGACAUCGGAAGAAACCCAGAAUAUGCAGAACGCCCUCAGACAAAACCAUGACGUCUUCGCAUGGGCACAUUCUGAUAUGAAAGGAAUUCAUCCCUCCAUUACCUCUCAUAGACUCAACGUCUUACCAACAGUCAAACCCAUCCGGCAAAGGGUUAGGCGUUUUCACCCGGACAGGCAAAAAAUUAUCCGGAGUAAGAUUGACAAGUUGCUAGAAGCCGGAUUCAUCAGAGAAGUGGAUUACCCGGACUGAUUAGCAAAUGUAGUAGUGGUACCCAAAAAAGAAGGCAAAUGGCGGGUGUGCGUUGAUUACACCAACCUCAAUAAUGCAUGUCCAAAAGACAAUUUUCCUUUGCCACGGAUAGAUCAAAUUGUCGAUUCCACAACUGGGCAAGGGAUGCUCUCUUUUUUGGACGCCUUCUCCGGAUACCACCAAAUCCCCAUGUCCCCGGAUGAUGAAGAAAAAACAGCCUUCAUAACACCACAUGGUCUCUAUUGCUAUAAAGCCAUGUCAUUCGAACUCAAAAAUGUUGGCGCCACUUAUCAGAGACUGAUGACAAAGAUCUUCAAACCUCUGGUCGGCCGCACAGUAGAGGUAUAUAUUGACGAUAUCGUGGUCAAAAGCAAAACCCGAGAGGAGCAUGUCCUCCACUUGCAAGAAGUUUUCCACCUCUUAAGGAAGUAUGGCAUGAAGCUAAACCCUUCCAAAUGCGCCUUUGGCGUAAGUGCUGGCCAAUUCCUGGGAUUUAUGGUCAGCCAAAGGGGGAUAGAGGUUAGCCCGAAUCAAGUGAAAGCGGUCAUGGACACACCACCCCCCAAGAACAAAAAGGAAUUACAACGCCUCACAGGCAAGCUUGUCGCGCUUGGGCGUUUUAUAACCCGAUUCACUGAUGAGUUGCGACCAUUCUUCUUGGCAAUACGAAAAGCUGGAGCCAAUGGGUGGACAGACAGCUGUCAAAACGCUUUUCAAAAAAUUAAACAUUGCCUCAUGCAACCGCCCAUCCUGAGCAACCCCAUCACUGGUGAAAAAUUAUACAUGUACCUAGCUGUAUCAGAGUGGGCGAUCAGCGCUGUUCUAUUCCGCUGCCCCUCACCCAAGGAGCAGAAACCUAUCUACUAUGUCAGUAGGGCAUUGGCGGACGUAGAAACCAGGUAUUCAAAGAUGGAGCUAACGGCCUUAGCUCUUCGCAGUGCUGCCCAGAAACUCCGCCCCUACUUCCAAGCACACCCGGUGGUCGUGCUAACUGACCAGCCCCUUCGCAACAUUCUGCACAAACCGGACCUAACCGGAAGAAUGCUUCAAUGGGCCAUAGAGUUAAGCGAAUAUGGAAUUGAGUUCCAACCCAAGCUAUCCAUGAAAGGCCAAGUCAUGGCUGACUUCGUGCUGGAAUACUCCCGAAAGCCUAUCCAGCAUAAGGAAUCAAGUGAAAAAGAGUGGUGGACUUUGCGGGUCGAUGGAGCCUCACGAUCAUCCGGAUCCGGUGUAGGGCUCCUGCUGCAAUCACCAACGGGGGAACAUUUGGAGCAAUCCAUCCAACUAGGGUUCCCUGCCUCUAACAAUGAAGCAGAAUAUGAGGUCAUCCUAUCCGGAUUGGAUCUCGCCCUGGCUCUAUCCGUCUCCAAGCUCCGGGUUUAUAGCGACUCUCAACUCGUGGUAAGACACGUUCAGAAGGAAUACAAAGCUAAAGAUGCGCACAUGGCACGAUAUCUGACUAAAGUAAGGGACACUUUACAACGAUUCCCCGAGUGGACAAUCGAAAAAAUCAGACGAACUGAAAAUGGGCGCGCCGACGCCUUGGCCGGCAUAGCUACCUCCCUCCCCAUCAAGGAAGCAAUAUUGUUGCCUAUAUAUGUGCAAGCCAGUCCUUCCGUAGCAGAAACCUCCACUUGCAACACCAUCGAGGUAAACCAAGCAGAUGGCCAAGAAUGGACGAACGACAUUAUAAAAUACCUUCAGACAGGCACUUUGCCCAAGGACCCAAACAGGCACACAAGAUUCGGGUGCAAGCCUCCCGCUUUACCCUAAUUGGGGGGCACCUGUACAAAAGGUCUUUUACAGGUCCCUACCUUCGAUGCUUAAGUCAUUUAGAGGCCUUGUAUGUAUUAGCAGAAUUGCACGAGGGAGUAUGUGGAAAUCAUUCUGGAGGAUGAUCUCUAGCACACAGGCCCCAUUCUCAAGGAUACUAUUGGCCAACAAUGAAGAAGGAUACGGCAGCCUAUGUCAAAAAAUGUGACAAAUGUCAAAGGCAUGCCCCCAUUUCGCAUAUGCCGUUAGAGACACUAAAACCAAUUUCAGGCCCUUGGCCCUUCGCGUAGUGGGGCAUGGACAUAGUGGGACCCCUCCUAGUCGCACCCGCCCAGAAGAAAUUCCUACUCAUCGCCACGGAUUACUUCAGUAAAUGGGUGGAAGCUUAAGCAUACGCUAGCAUCAAAGACAAGGAUGUCACUAAGUUCGUAUGGAAAAACAUCAUCUGCCGCUUCGGAAUCCCCCAAACCAUUAUAAUCGACAAUGGUCCACAGUUUGAUAACAUCGCCUUCCGAAAUUUUUGUUCGGAACUGAACAUCCGGAACUCAUACUCCACACCGCGUUAUCCUCAAAGUAAUAGGCAAGCAGAAGCCACAAACAAAAUGUUAAUCAUGGCUUUAAAGAAAAGGCUCGAGCAAGCAAAAGGAAAGUGGGUGGAGGAGCUACCCGGAGUCCUAUGGGCUUACCGAACCACACCCGAACGCCCUACAGGAAACACUCCCUUUGCCCUCCCAUACGGUAUGGACGCAAUCAUUCCUACCGAAAUAGGGUUACCCACUAUCCGGACUGAGGCAGGAAAGCAGGAUGAUGCAAACGCAGAGUUAGGAAGAAGCUUGGACUAGGCAGAUGAAGUAAGGGAAAACACAUCCAUCCGGAUGGUAGACUAUCAACAAAGGGCAUCCGCUCAUUACAAUCACAAAGUAAGGCCUAGAAGCUUCAAAAAUGGUACGCUGGUCCUUAGAAAAGUUUUUGAAAAUACUACUAAGACAAGAGCAGGAAAAUUUCAAGCCAACUGGGAAGGCCCCUAUAUAGUAUCUAAGUCAAGUGAAAGUGGAGCUUAUCAUCUACAAAAGCUAGACGGAACACCAUUACUCAGACCAUGGAAUGUGUCGAAUUUAAAGCAGUAUUACCAAUAAAUAAAAAAAAAGACAAGUGCAAAUGUGAAAGAAUAUACGUUUUAUUGAUAUUUGUAAAAGUUGUAUACAAAGGGUCCUCCGGACUACAAAAUACAGCGAGAAGAUAGCAGUACAAAAAUUAUUACAAAAAGAAAAGCUCUCAUUGAGCAGGCUUGCCGCGCAGCUUCUCCUCCUCACCCGGGGGAAUUGAAGGGACAUCCCGCUUGAUGCCAUGUUUCUUCAUACAGUAGCGAUAGCCGAAGAAGUACAUGUCGUUUACUUGCUUCUGGUAGUCCGCUUCAAGUUCCUCCCUUUCUACAGCAAACUCAGCCUUCAGCUCUUCUUUUUGCGCUGAUAAACGCAACUGAAAAUCUUCUCUCUGCUUUUUCUCGAUAGAUACCUCCGUCCGGAGUUGCCUCACCUCACCCCUUAGAAGAGCCUUCUCAUCCUCCGCCUCAAGCAGACGAGCAUCCAAAGUUUCCUCCCGGCUCUUUGCCUCAACAAGCUCUACCCGGAGAGCCUCGUUAUCCUCUCGAGCGGCGGAUAAACUGGCUUCGACCUGCUCCAGUUUCAAGCGCAUCUUCUCUUCAUUAUUUUUGCGCUGAGAGACGAAGGCCUUCGUAUAAUCAGCGGUCCGCAGUAGGUCAGAAAACAGAUCGUGUUGUUGAACCAUGCCGCGAAGACCGCUCACCAGUUGCAGAAAAACACACCAACAAGAAGUACAUAGUUACAAACCAUGCCACAAACACAUUAGUAUGGCAAGAAAAAUCAAGAAGUAAAAACUAUACCGUUUCCACCACUUCGAACAUUUUUGCUAAAGGCAUGACAACGUCUGAGUCGGGUGGAAUCCGUUUCAGCUUUUCUUCUAACUCCGCGUAGCUAAAAGCGCUAGCAGAGAUACAAACUGCAUCAUCAACUGGAUUCCCCCCUGAUGAAGCAUUGGAGAGUGGCUCCUCCUCCAGUUCUGGGGCCCCAUCAAUCUCGACCGGCUGAGUCGCUCCGGGUGAAUCCCCAUCCGGGACCACCACCGGGGCAGGUGGGUUCUCUGCUGCCAUCUCCGCCUCGCUCUCCUCCGGAUGAUCAUCCUGGACGGACGAGCAACUGACUUCGAUGGUUUCAAAGAACCGAUCCUGAAGCCACCCGAUGAGGCCAGACUUUAGGUCCCGAGUCGGACGCGACCUCCUUCUAGCUGGCCCCUUCACCGGUACAAGGGUAAGGGGGUUUGGCCCGCAAGGAGGUAAACUCUGACUCUCUGCCCCCAUUUCCUUCAUUGGGGAUGUCGUAGGAGGCAAUGCUGCAGCACAAGAAGCCUCGGCUGUGUCCCUAUCCGGAUGGGGAGAGCCGGGUUGAUUUAUUAAAGUAGCUUCUUCAGCCAGAAGAGCCAGACGGCCAGCCACUGACAUUGAAGGCCCUGAGUGGUUCAGACCCGCGAGAUUUCCGGGGCCGCUUGAAAUAGAGGGUGGGACGGGAUGUUCCGACUCUCUUAUUGUUACUUCCUUCACAUAAGUCGAAAGGGGAAUUACCAACUCCUUCGGAGGAGUUGGAAGUUUUAUUUCUUUACCCUUAUUAUGAAGAACCAGCUUCCUCUUAUUCUUCUUUUUUGCUGGAGCUUCACCUGGAAGGGAGGCUGCGCAACAUUUUUUGCCAGGAGCCUUCCGCAAAGUUCCCUCUUUCCUCCUUCCCUCCAGAUCGUCAAGGAGUGCUCGGCGUUUCUAAGCGUCUGCCUUUUGCACCUCCUUGUAGAAAGUGAGGUCUUUCAAAAUGUAAUGCUCCCCAGGCACUACCUUCUUUGGCAGCUUCCUGGGGAGAAUAUUGACGAUAUACUCUUGGGACUCCCUGACAACGGCUAACAGGUUUCACGCAGUGAGCAGCGUCUCAUGAUGCCUCUAGGUGGCGGAGAUCUCAAAUAACUUGUUCAGCCGGGCGAACGACGCUUUUUCUACCCACUCAACUGCGCGACCCCUCUUGUCCGGACCUGCAGUAUCAGCAAACAAAGAUGUUAAGCCAGAUGAUAACCCUCCUAAGCAGUACAACAAGAUGAAGGCCGGACAAAACCAGCAAACUGCCUUACUUGGAAGCACCAACGAAUGAUUUGGGGAAAAUGGCCUAUCCGGAUGCCCCAAAAGACCAGCCCAGGCACCCCGGACCAACACAUGUCCCUUGGCUCCUCCCUUUGUUGAAUCUGGCAACUCAGUCACCAGUUGAAGGGAAGGCAGGUGGGCAGGUGGGCAGCCAUGCUAAAUAUGUCAUUCUUCCCCUUCUUCAGGGAGUAGACAAAAAGAACCUCCAGCAGGGAGAGGUCCAAGUUGAAAAGCAGACUGAGAACGCUGCAUCCCAUCAGCACCCGGACUAUGUUGGGGUGGAUGAAGGCUGGUAGGAUCUGUGUGAAGUGAAGGAAUUCCUUGAACAGAGACGGGAGAGGGAACCGGAGCCCAGUAUUGAAUUGUUCCUUUGUAAAAGUGAUGGCAUUGUCUUCAGCUUUCUUAGUAGACACGGCCUCUCCAUCUAAAAAUUCCAAGAGCACGCCAUUGGGAAUACAGAAACGUUCGCGGAACUCCUUCACACUCAAUUUAUCAAUAGAUUUCUCAGCACGGGCAUCUUCGGACGAGCUAGAUGAGGUAGCUUCCUUGUUCGCAAACAUUUUUUAGCCUAGGGCUGCAAUGGAGUCUACAUGAAAGAAGGCCAACAGUCAAUAACCCCCGAAAGAGCCCUAGAAACCGAAUAACAAACUCCCAGUCGCAAAGCAACUAGCCCAACAAACCAACAACAAACCACAAAAGCAAACACAACGAAGCAAAGACAAAGAUAAGCGAACGUACCGAGCGUAAACUGGAAAAAUAGGGUGGAAAACCACACUGCAAUCACCGUCACGACGCGAAUGUUGCUAGCAGAAAACCCUAGAGCUCCCCUCAAGAGCGACGAUAUACAGAAGGUAGAAGAUAAAUGCACUAGCAGAAAAACGCAUAAGGAAAAAAUGCAAAAAGAAGGAACAAUCUGCUAUUUAUAGCGAGACAAGCCUCUCGGUAUUUUAAACAUUCAGCUGUGCCAUUAUUCCAACCAACACGCUGCCUAGGAAUACCCAGAGUCGACGGCUCAUCAUAAAUGCUUUUUCUACCUCGUCGCCCCCGCUUGCCACGUGGCCCAAUCAAGCAAAAAAGUCAACUUCAGUUUCCAAAAGAAAUCAUUUUUAACCCGCCCAUUUUGCUCAGGCAAAAAUCGGCAAGUUAAAAAGAGGGGCACUGUAGGGACCCCUCCUCCUGAGGCCGCGUGGCACACAUUUCCUAGUGACACGUGGUACGUAUUCUCAUCUGGAUUACCCAAUCUGGAUUUCCCCAAGGGUACACGUGGCGCGCUUCUCCUAUCCGGACUUCCUCAGGGAGAAGUACACGACACUCGCAAAUAUCACAUCUGGACGACCGACAUAUCCUAUCCGGAUAUGUUUGUCCGAAUCAUUGACUGAGUAAGCAAGUCUUGCACGUUAUCAUAACAGCCUGCCAUGGCCCACAUUCCGCCACCUGCAGAGUGAAAGGACAGGAAUGAAGUGACAACAAGUCACUUCCCAUGAUCUCUGACAGCCGCGGCACCUCCCACGAUCUCUGUCAGCCGCCCUAUGAGUGAUGAUGGCCCUGCCACCACCUAGGGGCAUCAUGACAAGCCAAAAUAUCUCCCUACCAUUAAAGAGGGAAACAAAGCUUCUGAUACUUAUAUAUAUGAACCUUCACACAAAGAGGAAGGUAAGUUUGUUAUACCUAGUAAAAGGUCAACUGAUUUAUCUCUCCUACCAUGGCUGACAAAACCAUCGGAGGGUGCGUCCGGACACCCCAUCCGGACGCCUUUUUCAGGUACAAUUGAAUCAAGAACCUAUAUUGGUUGAGAUCAUGCGUCCAUCCAUUUGGCAGCUACGUGGAUCGCCAGGGACGCGAGGCCUCAACAGCUUGUGCUGCACAUAUAUUUCUGGUUACCCAAAAAUUUGGACACAAUCUUGAAACCCACUCAACUUCUUUCCAGCACUACAUCUAAUAAUCUCCUUUUAAAAACCUAUAACCCUCUCAAGCUUUGUGAUGCCCUGGAGCAUUUGCUAAUUGCUACCAACCAUAGGGAAGACCCCAAGGAAAAUACUCAAAAGUUUGGGCCACCGGGAGACUCUAUUCUAUCCCAAAAAAAUUGCAGAAGAAGGCAAGCACAAUGGUCCUCUCUUUGGUGGAUUAUGGAUUCUUCCAAUACUUUCAAACAACACUAUGCAUAAAACCGGCACCUAACCCUAUGCCUUCUGAUUUUUCAACCCAUUCACUUUUCUUAUGGAUUCUUUGAUAAGUAAAAGAUUGGGCUUGGUUGGAUAUAUUAUUUGUUUUUUGUUUUUGAAAUUAGAAACUUUUAUAUAAAAAAGGUAAAAACUCUUAUACAAAAAUAAUAUACUCACCAUAUGUCCUUAAAUUUUUUUUAAUCUUCUAUUCUAAGAAACAAAAAACAAAAAGUGUAUCCAAGCCAACACUUAGGCUAUGUUUGGUUCCCGGAAAAUGCUAAGGAAAGGAAAAAAAUGUAGAGGAAAAUGGUUUUCUUUAGUUUGGAUGACAUGGAAAAUAUGAUGGAAAAAAAAAUACAAAGGAAAGUAUUAAAGAAAAUAUUGUAAUAUUUUCUCUAUUAUUUUCCUUAAAAAAUAACGAGGAAAAUAAGAGAAAAAGAGAAGGGAAAAGGGGGGGGGGGGGAUUUUAUCGGGCUCUUGUUCACCGAGGCUUCACCUCUCACUUCCUCUUCAUCAAUGGUCAUGGCUUCUCACCGUCGUCGACCCUUUCAACGGCCACCACUAUCACUCCGACCACCUUCCAGUGCUGAAAACCUACCCUUUUCAAGCACCCGAGUUCCCAUGGAUGAAGUGCGCUCUUCAAAUCAAGUUCCCAUGGAUGAAAUGAAUUCUUCAAAUCCAGUGAAUGUAUUCAGAUCCAUGUCUUCAGAUCAGGUAUGAAUUGAACUCCAAUCCACCUCAUCCUGUGAAAACUCGGAACCCAAGGUAAUCGUUCUCUCUUGGGUUCUCUAUUUGGGUUUCUAGGUUGCUUUCGCCUUUCCCGUUUCUUAAAUUUCACCAGAAUUUUUCUAAACUUUCUUGGCUUGUUGCUUUCUGGAUUUGAUCUGAUUUUUACCCUUGAUGUUCUGCUAUUGUUUACUGGCUUAUGGUUUUUUCAUAAUUUGGUUGGGGGAAUGGGUCUAUAGUUGUGUAUUGCAUAUAUGUAUCUUAUUGCUGCCUCUGAGUGCUUGGUUAUUGUUUUGUAUCAUUGUUGGUGGCAUCAAUUUUUGGAAGGUUUAUUACAUAUAUGCUGUAAUUAGGCUUGUGUUUAUUGCAUAUAUGUUGUAAUUGGGAAUUUGACAUAGUGUUCACACGGGAAAUGCUUCAUUUGAUCCAUAUUACUUGGUUUUUUCAAUGACAUGUGAAUGUAUAUUUGACAAGAGAAGACGGGUGGCUCUUCUGGCAAUGGUAAGUUGAUCGCUAACCAGCCACACCAGACCCUCUUUCAUCAUCAUACUUAGUUUUUUGAAUUACACUUCAUUUGUUUCUCUUUAAUAGCCAAAUUGGUUGAAUUGUCUAAAAAUGAAUCAAAUUCCACAUAUGACUUGGCACAAAAAUCACCUCAAUUGAUAUCAUUCCAGGGGAUUCCCAAAUGAGUCUCUGUAUUUCUUGAUUUGCUCACAUUAUGAGAGUAGUUAUAGAACUUAAGUUGUACAGUAAGCAUCAAUUGUACAAUAAGCAUCAACUGGUAGGCUAUGAUCAUUAUGACUCUCUAGGUUGUGAAAAUCUAAACAACAGCAUGUAAAAUAUUGUCUUCGAAAUCUAUUUACAACCCAAAUAAAUAAAUAAAAAUUGCAAAUCUUCAUUGUUGUAAGUCUUAUUAUGAAAGAAUAUGAACAUUACAAGGAUGAAAAAACAAAGAGUUCACAUACAGAGGCUAUCAGAAAACAGAGUAAAUGCAGGGAGCUAUGUAAAAUAAAUUGAAUUGUCUUGACUAUAUUGACAAACUGUAGAUAACAUAUUGGUAAGGCAAACUGGAUAAUGAGGAAUUCCUUACAAAAUUUGUUGCUGAGACAUUGCCUUCAUGAAUUAAAGGUUGUGCAAUCCUUCCUAAUCUCUCCUUGGUCACCAGUUUUGACGCAAACUCUCCCAAGCCUCCUCAUUACGGUGAUGAAAGCUCCAUUGAACUCACCUGGGUUGUUGGCAAAAUCAGUGACUAUAGGCUGAGAUGAAGGGUCACUGAAGAGCGCCUCAUCUGAAGUGAACAAACCCUUUCCUGCCACCAAAUUCUGGUAAUACCUUGGUUAAAAUCAUUGAGAAUUUAGUUGUAUUGAUUCUGAUAUACAUACCUUCUCCCCUCUGGCUUGUUCCAAUCACUCCAUCCGCUAGGAGUUAUCAUAUCAACAAUCCUGUAAUUUGAGUAAACUGCUGUUGAAUAUUCACCCCAAGCUCUUCUUAGGUAGAUUUUUCCAGUUCCAAUGAUUGUGCAGUUUACAAAGGAGAAUCUUGUGCCAUCGUUAGGUGAUUCCAUACGAUGAGAUGCAAUUGCUCCUGAAGUUGUCGUUAUUGAUUCGAUGACACAUCCCUAGUUCAACACAACUUCAAGUAUCAAAAUCAUACAGAAAUACCCAACAUUUGGAUUGAAGCAAUAACAGUAAUUUCUAUUAUCAAAAUGAUCAAGAUCAACCCCUUUACCUGAUAGAUUGAUCUUGCCCCAUCAAAGAUAAAGUCAAUGCUUCCUUGGAUGUAACACUGGUUAAAGUAGUGUGUUCCAGACAGAUCCAUGAGCCAAAAGGAUUGUUUGACUCCUCACAAAUUGUCGGGAUGAUAAUGAAAAACAAGUUCCCCAUAUUUCCUGUGCAUAACAUACCAGCAAAAUAUAUGAUCGACAGUUGUUGGUUAUAUUGAAAAUGGUGUACAAGAUGGUGUCAUGAUCCAGAAUGGUAAAUUUGACAUCUUGCCAUCUUACUGGUUUGUCCAAUGUUUGGUCAGGCAUGGUAUUAGUGAUGCAUAUGACUUGAAAAUAGUUACAAUCACCUACCUGCUGAACAACAACCAAGUAUAAGUGCAUGUAGAUGUUGGGGUGGUCUGGUGAUUUUUAUGAGUAUCCAACCAAGUGCUAAGCCAAUGAUAAAAGUUAGAAGUAUAUUCACUAGCAUGAGCCACCUAUAAUUUAACCAAAAAUUAUAGGUGAAACAGAUAGAGAAUAAAAUGAACUUAAAGCAACAAUUGAUGAAUGGGAAGUAUUUUAAGAGUGAACAGAACUGAACUCACAUUGUAGCCAAACUACUAGCUGUAACUGUAUCACCCAGGUUGCUAGCUACCAGCGCAGGAUAGAAUAUAUAGAACACAAGCUACUCAGAACACAUCAAAUUUUGUUGUCAUGGGUAGGGAUGGAGAGAGUGGGACACAAGAAUAUAUUCAAGAAGAAAAAAAAACAUUUAUGAGCAAGCAAGCAUAUACACCGCACAAAAUUAAAAAAUUAACCAAAAGAAAACUUCAAACAUGGAUCUCUUAGAGGUUUGAAGCUAUAAAGCAGUGUAAUGUCAACUAAAUGGCUUACAAGAGUAUGAAGAUGCAUACUGUUCAUCUUCAAAUUCUACUCAAAUGGCAAGGGUAGUCCAUGUGAUGUCCAAGAAUGCAAUAACCUCCAACCAACACAAUUUACAAAGCUAAUAUUCCUGUUUUGGGUGUUCCAUUUCCAUGAUUUUCAGUUUAAUUGCAGAGAAUGCACCAGUACCCAAAGUCGAAUGUGUGUAUUACAUCCUAGAAUACAUAUAACUAGAUUCUAGAAUUGCAAUGUAUUCUGUUGCAGACCUAGAAGACCACAGUCUUCAAACUAGAAAAAGAACGGUUUUGUUGCUUCAUUAAACUCCCCUCUUUAAUUGUUUCGUCUAUGUGAGUAAAUUACAUUGACCUCAUCUGAGAAUGGGCCUGAUGAGAGGGACCUGAAAUUCAAAUUGAAAUUUUCAAACAGAGAUCUCCAAGCAAUAACAUUAAUUAUAAAAAAAAACUAAUAAUACUAUCUUCUUAAGAUUACUUUUUCUUUGACUCAAAGCAGGAAUAAUGCUUUCUCAAAACUUUUUCUAUUAUUUGUGCAGCCAAAGCAAGUUCAUCCUGAUAAAAAUCCGAGUGACCCUUUGGCAGUUGAACGAUUUCAAGUAAGUUCACUUCUUUGUCAUUCAUUCAUCAUCUUCUUCUUAAUACUCUACUCUCCUUCAUUCAUCCCAAAACCAAGUGGAGGACCAAGUAUUCUUAAGUAAUCAUACAAAUUUCAAACUGAAUAUUGAACUUAGAAAGAGUUUCAUUUUGUUAUCAUGCUUUAAACUAGACAUUUCAACUCUAGUAAGGUUUGUUUUACUAUUUCAAGAAGUGGUAACUUGUCAUUAAUUUAACUAUCAUAAAUUAUCAUAAUCAAUCUUAAAUUAAGUUAAUUUAACUAUCACAUUUCAAGACUGAAUAAUGACUUUACUAACUCAUUCCUCUUACUUUGCUAUCACGUAGACUUAUAAUGAAGAGUGGCAAAGACUUAGAAGAUGGGCUGCAACUUGUGUAGCUAUGUAUGCUACAUAUGCAGCAAUUCUUGUUUCAAUUUAUCAUCACUCAAACUAUUUGGAGAGAUCAAUCUCUAAUGAAGGAGAUUAUGAACGACAUGCUUUGAUGGAAAGACUUACACUAAUGGAUAAUGAAGAUUGUUAUAAUCAACUACGAAUGGGAAAGGAUGCAUUCACAAGACUAGUAAACAUUCUUCGGGGAAUAGGUCGUCUUAGAAAUAGUGCACAUAGUAAUGUAGAAGAACAAGUUGCCAAAUUCCUUCACAUUGUUGGUCAUAAUUUAAGGAAUAGAACUAUGAAAUUUUAUUUCAAGCGUUCUAGUGAAACUGUUAGUCGUCACUUUCAUCAAGUUCUUAGAGCUAUAAUAUCUUUAGAUGAUGUCUUCUUAAAGCAACCUGAUGGAUUAAAGUGUCCUCAAGAAAUCAAGGACAAUACCAAAUUUUUGCCCUACUUUAAGGUAAACUUACUUAUCUAAUAAACAUCAUUAGAAUAUUAUUUAUAUUUCAAAAUAAACUAAUAAUUUUGUUUCUUUAUAGGAUUGCAUAGGGGCGAUUGAUGGGUCAUAUUUUCGUGUAAAAGUGUCAAAUGAUGUUGUACAAAGGUAUCGAGGGCGAAAGUACUAUCCAACACAAAAUGUUUUAGCAGCAUGUUCCUUUGACUUGAAGUUCACAUAUGUUUUACUUGGUUGGGAAGGAUCUGCAUCAGACUCGAGAAUCCUAGAUAAUGCAUUAAUGAGAGAUUUUGAUAAAUUGAUUGUUCCACAAGGUGAUUAUUGGUGAUUAGAUAAUAAUUUAUUAGCUCAAGUGACUAUUACUAGUAACAAAGAUCCUUUGUCUAUGCUUCUUAAGUAAAUAUUAUUUGGCUAAUGCGGGUUUUCAGCUAAAAAUUAGAUUUCUUACCCCAUAUAAAAGCACUCAUUACCAUUUAAAAGAGUAUAGUGUUCAUCAACCAAAAAAUGCUUGAGAGGUUUUCAACCUUCGACACUCGUCCUUGAGAAAUGCAAUUGAAAUAACAUUUGGUAUUUUGAAGGAAAGGUUUCCAAUAAUAGCUAGUGGGACGGAGCCACAUUACCCUAUUAACACACAAUCUGAUAUUAUACUAGCAUGUCGUAUCCUCCAUAUCUAUCUCAUGGGUGUUGAUCCAAAUGAAAGAUUAAUAGCAGAGGUCGAUAGAGAGCUUUUUAGCGAAGAAGCGGAGUUUGAAUCAAUGGUCUUGAGUUUAGCUAAAAAAUGCAAGGAAUGAGAAAUCUUAAGGGAGAAAAUAGCCAUGGAUAUGUGGAAAGAUUACAAUAGAAACCAUUGAUGAGUCCUUUUAUUUUAUGGUUCUUUUCUUAUAUAGUUUUUUGUGUUUCAUAUUAAGUACGAUGAUUGUAUUUAGAACUAUAACUCAUCUAGUUAAAAUCACACUUUGAAUGAGUUACAAUGAAGUUAUUAUUAUAUCUCCUCCUCUUGACUUUUCAUUUUAAACAUAUAUAUAUAUAUAUAUAUAUAUAUAUAUAUAUAUAUAUAUAUAUAUAUAUAUAUAUAUAUAUGUAUUAUUAUUUCAGAUGGAACAUAGUGAAGGCUUUGAAGUACACAAAAGUGUAAGUGAAAAAAGAAACUUGACUUGGAUUGAUGAAAUGGAUAACCUUUUGGUUAAUCGAUUAAUGGAGCGAAUGCAUAAAUGGCAAAAGAUAGGAGGAGUCUUCACCAAGACAGCUUAUGCAAUGGUUGCGCAAGAAAUUGGGGAAAAUUUUGAAUUGAGUUGUAACUUGGAGCACAUAAAAAAUUGAAUGAAAACUUUAAAAAAAAAACUUUAAUGUUGCUUAAGAAGUUUUACAAAAUGGUAGUGGAUUUGGUUUCAAUGAAUCAACUCAAAUGAUCGAAGCUACCACGGAAGUAUAGACUACCUACACUAAGGUGAGUUAAUUAUUAUUUUUGAGUUAUUAGAAAUAAAAAUUUUGCAUGUAAUGUAGAGCUAUAAAUUUCUAAUAGACAUUAUCACAAUUGAACUCGAGUUUUGUUAAUAUUUGUUUUUUCUGAUGUUAAAAGGCACACCCAGGAGCAUCUCAGCUCAGAUACAAACCUAUUAGAAAUUAUGAUAAGUUGUCCAUUCUUCUUGGAAAAGAUUGAGCAAUAGGAAGUCUUGCUGCAGGUGCAAAAGAAAGACAACUUCGUUGGGCCUAGGAACAGAAUUUGGAUGGCACAAUUCAAUUAGGAUCAUCACAACAUGGGAUCAAAGAUGAAACAUUUGCUUAUGUUGAAAAUGAAGCAACAACUGAGACAUCUUUCUCAUCUACAAAUGCAUAUGUUUCUGCACCAAAGUCAAACAAAGAAACAAAAAAGUGAAAAACAAAAUAUGCUGAUAUUGUAAGUGAAGAAUUGAGGUCAAUUAGAGUUGGAAUGGAUGCAGUUGUUGCGGCUCUUGAUAGAAGCAACCUUCAAAAUUGUACAGAAGAGCAAUUGUUUGAAGAGAUUGCUAAGAUUGGAGGCAUGAGUGAUGUAUCUCAUAAGAAAGCAUAUCAAGCUCUUACCGGUGAUGUGAGUGCAGCUCGAGCCUUCCUUGCUUGUCCAAUUGAUAGGCGUAAGCUUUGGCUGUCAGUUAAAUUUGGACCUACUUUUUUUAUGCCUAAUUUGAGAUGGAGAUUAUUUUUAUUUUUAGUUUUACUUUUGUUUUGGGACUAUACGUUAAGUUUUGAUAUUAAAACUCAUGGAUGAUAGUUGACUAUUAGAAAUUGAUCUAUUAUAUUUUUAGACUUACGAAGACUUUUUUUAUUCAUCUAUCUUUUCAACAUGUUAUUCAAUUAUUCCUUUGUUUGGUUAGCUAAAAAAUGGAGGAAAUUAUGCUUUUUUCGGUUUAGACCAGCUUGUUGUUUCUUGAGUUUUCAAUAAUUUACAAAUUGAAUUUCAAAUUCUGGACUUCUUUUUUCAUUGAAUUAUCUUAUUAUCUAUGUUUUUGCGGCUACCAAACAAAGCACAGAGUUCAGUUUGAUUGUCUCAGGUGCUUAAGGUGAUAUGUUUUGUAUAGAUAAUUGGGAAACUUUUGAUCGUGUUUUGUUUGUUUAUUUUGAUGAUCUGUUGCCUUGGAACACUAAGAUGUCUUUUUGUAGUUUUUGUUUUUCUGUGGCAAACUUGAUAAUUUCUUUUCUAGUGAUUUUUCUUUUAGUAAUUAAAGGGUUUUUUGAUAUGCUGUAGCAGUUUAAUCAGAUCAUAAAUUAGUUUUGUGAUUUUCUUUGGAUUCUUGUUAAUUCUGGAGGCCUAGGGCAGUGAGAUUACGGUCUCUUUGAUUCCAAUUAAUUUAAUCAGUCUAUGAUUAAAUUGAGCUUUGAACUUGUCUUUUUUUUAAAAUAAUUAAACAAGGUCUUUGUUCAUUUAAAUCGAUUUACUUUGAUUGAAAAUCAUGUCAUGUUUUCCCUAAUUUAGGCUGAUGUAAUUAAAUCGAGAUUUGAAUGCUUUUUUUUUAAUGGUUUACUAUACAUUUAAAGUAAAUUAAUAAUGUAGGCAAAAUUUUAAAACAUGAUAAUUUCGUCGUUAAAAGUUUUAAAAUAUUAUUAUUCUUUUUUGAUAAAAAAAAAUUAUAUAAUCUCAAUAUUUAUUUUUAAAAAUUGACGGAUUUUUUAUGAGAGGUAAAAGAAAUUAAAAGAAGAAAAACAUAUUUUGUUUUAAACGGUAGCUUCAACAUUCAUGAAAAAUGAAACUUGAGUGAUUAGAUUGGUUGGGUUGGUUUGGGCCUAUAUUUGGAGAUUUUGAAGGAGCUCCUUAGUGAGUCUUGGCCGAAUGUAAGAUCGAAAUAUGUAAAAAUAAAAAGUUACUAUUUUUUAUACAUAAAUCUUAUCAUUAUUAAUAAAAAAAUAAUAACAGAGACUUUUUAUGAGCAAUGUUUUAUGUCGAAAAAUUCACGUUUUUCAACAGUUUUUUUAUUGAAUUAAUUGAUUUUAUUAUUCAACAAAUUAAUAACCAUUUAAAACAAAUUGUUGAUUUUAUUUUCCUUCUAUUUUUCCUUAACUUUUUUUUUUUCCCUUGAAUUUUCCAAGGAUAACCAAACAAGUGAAAAAAAUUAUAUUCAUUUUCUUACCUUUUUCUUUCCUUCCAUUUUUCCUCUCAAUUUUACUUCUCUCACAUUUUUGGGGAACCAAACAGAGCCUUUGUGACUUAGUGAGCAAGUAUAAUGAUCAGUUGAUUUUUAUGAGUGGAUCAAGUCAGUUCUCUAAAGCAUAUUUCUUUCUUUUUUUUCAGGGUUGUUGUUUUAUUGUCACAUUCGUAUCACAUUUUCACUUAUAUGAUAAAAAUUAAUAUAUAUAUAUAUAUAUAUAUAUAUAUAUAUAUAUAUACACCAUAUAAUUAAUCAAAUGGCUAUGUAACUUAGUGCUUCUCAACCUGUUGUGUUAACCAGCAUAUCUUAGUAGCGGACAAAUGAGCAUGGGAGGCCGGAACAGGCAAAUGAGUUUAGAAAGAAGAAUGGGGAGCAACAAGUUUUUGGAAAGGAGAUGCUUCUUCCAAAUGCCUCACCGCCUCUUUCUCACAUCACACUUACCAGUCAAAUUCCCUCCUACCAGUAAACCUCGCAUGCUUCUCCCCUAAGUCAUCCUCCUCCUUUCCCCCUGUAAAACACACUACCUCUCAAUCUCAUUCCAAAAAUACCACCUAUCAUGUCUGUCCAUAUCAUAGUGUUCCCAUGUUUUGGCCAAGGCCAUCUCCUCCCUUGCUUUGAGCUCUGCAAACACCUCGCCUCCCGCACCUUCAACACUACCCUCAUCAUCUCCUCCAAUCUCUCCUCCUCCAUCCCCUCCGAUCUCCGCCGUAUUCCUCUCAUCCACAUCUUUGAGAUCUCAUCCUCAUUUCCUCCUCCUCCUCCGCCAUCGUCGCCCUCCCCGGAUUCCGAUCCCAUGAGCCACCAUCAUCGCCACCAGCAUCAGAUGGGUACGGCCAUCGAAUCCCUCCUCUCUUCCAGAUCCACAUCCCCAGACUACGUCCCACCCCUCUGUGCCAUAAUCGAUGUGAUGAUGAGCUGGAGCAAAGGUAUUUUUCAUAAGUUUAACAUCCCACUCGUUUCUUUCUUCACCUCCGGUGCCUGCUCCGCCGCCAUGGAGUACGCCUCCUGGAAAGCCGGCGCCUUCAACAUCAAGCCCGGCGAAGUCCUACCCCUUCCCGGCCUACCCGAAGACAUGGCCUUGACUUACUCCGACCUUCAACGCGGCCCUCACGGUCCUCCUGGCGGCCCACCUGGACCCCCCGGUUCAGGUCGCCCACCUGGACCACCCGAUGCAAGAGGUCCACCACGGUCGGGUCCCAAGUUCGGGGGGCCACCCAAACCAGGGCACCAGCCACCGUGGGUCGUCGAGGCAGCGGGCUCGAUCGCGCUUAUGAUCAACACGUGUGACGACCUGGAGCGUCCGUUCAUCGAGUACGUGGCCUACGAAACCGGAAUCCCGGUCUGGGGUGUGGGCCCGCUUUUGCCAGAUCAGUACUGGAACUCAUCCGGUUCGCUCCUCCACGAUCGAGACAUCCGACCCAACAGGAAAUCCAGCUGCACUGAGGAGGAGGUGAUCCAGUGGCUAGACUCCAAGCCCCGUGGAUCCGUCCUCUACGUGUCAUUCGGAAGCGAGGUAGGUCCUACCAUGGAGGGCUACGCCCAACUGGCGCUUGCAUUAGAAGCCUCGAACCGGGCAUUCAUCUGGGUGAUCCAACCCGGUUCAGGCCGGCCAGGUCCACCUCGACCACCGGGUUCAGACUCAAACGAAGACAGCGGAUACUACCCACAUGGAUUGGAGGAGAAAGUAGGGAAAAGAGGUCUGAUAAUACGUGGGUGGGCACCACAACUGUUGAUACUGAGUCACCCAUCGACAGGUGGAUUUCUCUCACACUGUGGAUGGAACUCCACUGUGGAGGCAACAGGGCGUGGAGUGCCCUUUUUGGCUUGGCCAAUCCGUGGAGACCAGUACUACGAUGCGAUGCUAGUGGUGAAACAUCUCAAAAUUGGGUACAUGGUGUUUGCUAAAGAUGCUUCUGAAACCAUCGUAAAAGAGGCCAUAGUUGACGGAAUAGAGAAGGUGAUGAGUGAUAAAGACAUGAAGAAAAGGGCGGAGAUGAUAAGUGGUAAGUUUGGGAAUGAGUUUCCGGCGACUUCGGCUGCUGCUUUGGAUGCUUUUAGGGAUUUUAUCAACCAAAGGGCUCCAUAAGCACUUAUAAUUAAUGUAUCAUCCAUCCAUACACUUUUUUUUUUUUUUUUAAAUGUAUUUACAUAUCAUGUAUCAUGGAGGCCUAACGUAUUAACAGUACG
Molecule: long non-coding RNA, 113024 nt
Filed under: Vitis vinifera (wine grape)
Lineage: Eukaryota; Viridiplantae; Streptophyta; Magnoliopsida; Vitales; Vitaceae
Description: long non-coding RNA (VVIN_LNC000522)
Source: RNAcentral